RNAcentral lists this long non-coding RNA (106794 nucleotides) under Triticum aestivum (bread wheat). RNAcentral's name for it is "long non-coding RNA (TAES_LNC022012)". Lineage: Eukaryota; Viridiplantae; Streptophyta; Magnoliopsida; Poales; Poaceae. The record is from RNAcentral.
GAAAAGGAUGACAUGCCGGAUUACAUUGCACGUGCUGAGGUCAUGAUGACAAUAUACAAGAUCUGAAAAAGAUCCUUCACGUUUUUCUCUUUCAUCUGGGGAAAAAUAAUAGAGAAGCAGUGUACAUAGAGGUUCCAACUGGAAUCCAUCAAAAACAGAAACGGGCACGAGGUGGAGUAGCUAUCUUUUCAUCAAUCGGCCAGGGACAACCACAUAUACGAGCCCAACAUGCUACGAUUAAACUUACAGUAUCCAUCCCCUAAAAGAACUGGGCUGACAAUUCCAAACAAGGACGGGAUACGUGCAAAUAAGAGAAGCAUAUGAUCAGACUUCCACAUGGUUUCGGCCACGUCCAAACAGCCAGCGCAACCUACAUAAAGAGGUCCAACCUGCCGCAUAAGCACACAGAAAAGAAAUAGAAGUCAGCCAAACCAUGACUUGAAGACCCCACAAGAAAAUCGAAGUCCCAUGACCUAAUGCAUGACUCAGGACGUGCCAUGGAGAUUAAAGUUGAUUGCUUCACUCAACGUAUGGCGAAGUCAUGCCCAAGCACGCUCGACGCUUCACGAAUCAUGAAGCGAUGCCCAAUUGCUUCGUUCGACAUCCGAUGAAAUCACGCGUAAGCACUUCUGACCUGAAUCAUCAAGUUUGGUAAUUGUUAUUUACAAAUCUUCAUAGGUACUCUAUCAAUUGAUACUACGACGUACAAUAAGUUCAACACCAUAAUGAUAAGAUACGAAACUGGAACAUUCUACUAAAAGUAACGAGAUGUGGGAUUUAGUCAAUCCUACAACAGAUGAGCUAAUUAGUCUAAGCUUAUUAGUCCUGAUAUUAUAUUGAUGGAUGAGCAUGUCUGUUCUUUAUAUUAUUAAUUUCAAAUUGGUCAAACAAUUUAAACAAUGGUUACUAAGUAUAUCUGAAAAAAAAUUACAAUUUACGCAUUCGACAACUUUAAGGUCACGGAAUCCACAAAGUAUCGACCAGUGAGCGGUGAAAUUCAAAUAUUUUUUGAAUAUAUACAAAGGUAAAGGAGAAAAAAGAUCUCCAGAAGUUUUUUUCAGAUUAUUAUUUCGAGUUUGCUACCAAGGGCACACUACAAGAAUGGGAAGAAAAAAAUAUACAAUGCUCAGGUAUGUUUAUAGUUGUAAUUACGACUUUGAAAUAAACAGUCGUUCUAAUUUAUAUAUUACUAAUCUACAAGUUUGCAUGUGUCAUUGUUUUACUAACACAAACGAAGACUGUGGAAACAAGAAUAACAAAAAAGACCCACAUCCUUCAUAUAUCCGCAAGAUUGAAAUUCUACUACCAGAGUCUGUGUAUAUGCAUAUGCAUGUCUCAAAUUGAACUAAACCUCCUUUGGCAACCAAACUGUCCUUAUUGUGACCUCAAGAAUGGCGCGUAAAUUCAAUGAUAAGUCAAUAAUCUUACAUAGAGGGAUACAUUCUUGAUUAAAUAGGUUUGCGGCUAAAGUCCAAUAAUGCCACAAGAAUAUAUGCAGAUCUGGAUAUACCUGAAACAGAUGAAGUAUGAAACACUACCAUCUAAUAUUUUUGACUCAUGAAUAGUGAUUCACGUUUAAUUCAGUAUUGCAUAACAAUUUUUCUCACCUUUGGCACGCAAAACUAUGCAAUAAAAAGAACAUUUGUGCCUAAUGUUGGGAUUGAGAUGCUCUACUUGAAUGACAAAGUAGAGGAGGUAAAGGCGCAUUUAAUUCUUUUCCUAAACUAAUACACCUUACAUAUAUUGCACAUGAAUUGAUGGAUGAUGAAGUAGACACCGUGUUAACGAAGAAGCAAAACAUGGCCAAUAAAAAGGUGAUUGAUUUUUUCCCCAUGCAUAUUUACAGAUUCUAGAAAUGUGUCAAAUUUUUUUAAAAAAAUAUUUCUUUUGUGGUCACAAAAUAAUAGUCUCACCUUGCAAAUUGCCAUGCAAAUCAGUCCCUAUGAAAGAGGAACAACAUGACAGUAAUGGGACUACAAUAAACAAAGAUGAGCAUCAAGACAAAAUAUAAUCAUCAUCACGUGAGCUCCACAAUGACAAAAUGAGACUGGGAUCUGUUGUAAUAUCAGAUGACUCAUAGGAUGAAUGCACUUAGACGAGUUUGGCAGAGCGAAAAGAAAAGGGUGUCUGCUGAAACAAGAAUUUUUUUAAAAGUAAAAGCCAAAAAUACAAGUCUUGAAGAUGAAGCUGAAGUACAGGAAGUGCCUUUGGGGAACAAGGAAGGUUUCUUGAAAAUUUACCUUGCUGAAUAGCAGAACCAUAUAUAAGCAAAUCAACGGCCUCUCUGGUGUUCCACACAUACCACUAGCUUUGGUAGUGCCCCAUUCUGACCAAAAAUAGUGUUACCACUUUUAGACUUACGGAAAAAAUAAAUCCACUAAGUAAUCGCAUUAAGAUUAUUUCACGACUACUUGAUCAGGUGGCUAGAAGUUAUUUGAGAAAACUCAACAUGCAAAAUCCUGCUCAACAACCCUAUUUGCGAAUUGAUAAAAUACCAUCCAAGUUGACAUAUUAUCUGACAAGGUAAUCUGAUUACCAAACUAAUGCAGAAUAAUCCAUCAAAUUAAUUUUGCCAUAAGGUUACUUAAAAAAAUUGAGAAUGUUACAAGCCUAUCCAUAGCAGUCUGUAUUGUAUAAAUUAGAAAAAUAUAGUCAUACAUGCACUUCUGUCAGUUUAUUGUUCUUGGUAAUAAAAAACAUCAAUCUCAUAAGGCCUUUUCAUUAAAAAAAAUCAUGAAGCCUUAUUUUUAAAGAAAAGGCAUCAUGAAUAAAAUAUUUCUUGCUAACAGCAAAUGCAAAAUACUACGGAGUGCAACACUGCUAUGGAUAAACUAGAAGAGAUAUUUUUUGCUAGAAAGGAUGCAUAUCUUCAAUCGGCACUUACAUUUGGUAGAAAUCUGACAGCACCAACAAUAAGAGGCCACGAUCUCAUGGUCGUCCGCAGAAGCCGCUCACACCUUGCUGCUAUUUAUCAAUCCCACGAUCUACUUACACUCAUCUGCCUUCAGUGCCCCCAUACGAACAGCAACAAGCCCAAACUCUGUCCCGCACCUCACAUCCAACAGUCCACCAUCAGCCCGUGACUCCAUCAGUUCACUCACAGCCUCCUCCAUGGGGUGGUCGAGGAUUCACACCACAGAGGACGCGACGAGCGUGUCUACGCACUCCAUGCGCACGGCCAACUGAGCCAAUAGAUCGACGAAGUGAAAUCAGAAGAAAUGAAUCUACGAGUACGACCGGGAUAGCUUGGGAAUUAGUCUGAUGAUGGCGAGCGGCGACAUCUUCAUCCGCUGGCCGCUAAUCGAAAGAUGUGGCGCAUGCGGAUGGAUAAGGAUCCUGGCAGUGGUGGGGAUCGACUGAGAUGAGAGGAGUGCUUUUUUUCUUAUACGUAGAUGUCUAGAUUUUUUUUUGAGGGGAACGUAGAUUUUCUUUUGAGGGGAACGUAGAUGUCUAGAUGAAGGCCUGUACGGUUGUUCUACUUGGAGAUAUGAGUAGUAGUACUACUUUUCUAGGUGAUCAAAAUGGGCCUCCAUCACGUCGUCUAGGUCUAGGCCUAACUAGGCUUAAUAAUGGGCUGCACAACUGCAUCGUUCUACAUGUGAGGAAUGACUGAGUAAAAGUUGAGGCUUUUUAAAUCUUUCUCUUAUACAAUAGCGGGUCUAUCUGGCAUAUAAUUUUGCAAAGAAAAUUAAGAUAAAAUAGUACCACAACUAAAAAAAUUUAGUAGAUCGAUAAAAAAUCAAAAAGUAUAUGACCAUAUGAAGCUACAAAUAUGAGCGCCGAGUUGCUCAAUUCACAAUAAUAUAAAAUUCCCAACAUUAAAUGUCCAAAUCUCUAAUAUUAAAUAUCAAAAUACAUUGCAUUCAUUCUAAAUACAAGAUAUAUCUAAAUCUAGCCAUGUGAAUGCAUGGGUACAACAAAUUUAAGGAAAAAAUAGCACGGCAAACUGAAAUAAUACAUUGAGAAAAUCAAAAUACAUAUGAUUGUAUGAAGCUAAAAAAAAUGAAUAAGCACUAGCUCAAAUACAUAACAAUACAAUAUUUCCCACAUUAAAUGUCCGAAUCUCUAAAUUAAAUAUUAAUAGUCAUACAAUUUACUCUAAAGAUUUAUCAAAUUCUAGCCGCGCAAAUGCGCAGGUGCACACGCUUGUUGUAGUGAUUGUAACAGUAGUAACGGUAAAGUAAAUAAGCGAAGCACAAUAUGUGAAAAGCUUGUAGGCAUUGGAUCAGUGAUGGAUAAUUAUGUCGGAUGCAAUUCCUCAUGUAAUAGUUAUAACAUAGGGUGACACAGAACUAGCUCCAAUUCAUCAAUGUAAUGUAGGCAUGUAUUCCGAAUAUAGUCAUACGUGCUUAUUAAAAAGAACUUACAUGACAUCUUUUGUCCUACCCUCCCGUGGCAGCGGGGUCCUAGUGGAAACUAAGGGAUAUUAAGGCCUCCUUUUAAUAGAGUACCGGACCGAAGCAUUAACACAUAGUGAAUACAUGAACUCCUCAAACUACGGUCAUCACUGAGAAGUAUCCCGAUUAUUGUCACUUCGGGGUUGUCGGAUCAUAACACAUAAUAGGUGACUAUAGACUUGCAAGAUAGGAUCAAGAACUCACAUAUAUUCAUGAAAACAUAAUAGGUUCAGAUCUGAAGUCAUGGCACUCGAGCCUUAGUGACAAGCAUUAAGCAUAGCAAAGUCAUAGCAACAUCAAUCUCAGAACAUAGUGGAUACUAGGUGUCACAGCCCUAGAGUUUGCUUGUAUCUAGUGGCAUUGCAUCCAUGCAUCAUGUCUAAAUUCCUUUGAAAGUUGAAAUGGGGAUUGUUGAAACCCUAGUACCAAAUGAAUUCCACUAGGUUCAAUAAAAAUAUCUUCAAUAAACCCAAAUGCCCUUUAGAAAAGUUCAUGAUUUUUGUUAAAGGUGAAAACCUCUCCCAAAAAUGGUGCACAUUUUCCUAGGCCAUUCUGGAUUUUUGAAUUAAAUCAUUACGUAUUUGCAUUUGGGCAUUUAAAUACUAUAAAAUAUUUUAAAUGCUCAAAUAAUCCCAAACUAAAAUGUUUGAUGUAGGAUAUAUUUCCAACAGUGGUCAUGAGCGGUUGCAUGAUUUUUGGGAUUGUUUUAGUAUUUUUAAGAAAGCCACAAAGCUGCAGAAAAAUAGAAACAGAAAGAAUUAGAAAGAGAGAGCGAGAGAGAAUACCUGACCACUUACCCAGCCCAGCAGUGCGGCCCACUGGCCCAACUGCCAGUCAUCAUCUCCAUCGCGCCAGUCGGACGCCGAGCGCGUGUCCGACGCGCGCGCACGGCCAUGCUGCCACGCCACCUGCCUGCCUGCCUGCGUCCCCGGGACAGCGCAACGCCGCGGGUUUUCCUCCUCGGUGCCNNNNNNNNNNNNNNNNNNNNNNNNNNNNNNNNNNNNNNNNNNNNNNNNNNNNNNNNNNNNNNNNNNNNNNNNNNNNNNNNNNNNNNNNNNNNNNNNNNNNNNNNNNNNNNNNNNNNNNNNNNNNNNNNNNNNNNNNNNNNNNNNNNNNNNNNNNNNNNNNNNNNNNNNNNNNNNNNNNNNNNNNNNNNNNNNNNNNNNNNNNNNNNNNNNNNNNNNNNNNNNNNNNNNNNNNNNNNNNNNNNNNNNNNNNNNNNNNNNNNNNNNNNNNNNNNNNNNNNNNNNNNNNNUCUCCCCCUCGCCAUUCCCCAUCUCACCGAACGUGUCCGCCGCCACCGACGAGCACCGCCGCGGCCAUCGCCUCUCCCUCGCCCCCUCGAGCAGUCCAGAAGCUCCGCCGCAUCUUCCUCGUCCUCUCCACCGAGCUACACGGCGCCGCAGGCCCUGCAUCAUCGCCAUCUUCGUCAUCUUCGUCGCCGGCCGCCGGAGAUCCCCUUCGCCGUUGCGCUCGCCCCGGUGCUUCCCCGAGCACGCCGAAGCCACCCCUGCAUCCGCCGUGAGCCACUAACCAUCCUUCCCCUCUUCGUUCUCUCUGACUCUCGCCGUACUCGCCGCACCAAGCACACCCGCUCGCGCCGCCUCCUGAGCUCGCCGCCGACGUGGCUCCGGCCACGCAAUGGCCCCGUCGUCCUGUCCACUGACCUCGCCGCAUCUCGUAGGGCCCACAUAUGCCUCGCACGCGCCGACUCAUCCGCCGUAGCCUCGAUCCUGAGCUCACCCGAGCUCCGGCAACCGCCGAGGUCAUCGCCGGCGACAACUCCGGCCACCCCAGGCUCAAUCGCCACCACCACUCGAUGCGGACGUGCGUCCGCAUCAUGUAGAUGCCCUCCGCCGGCCGUUUGGUCGCCGGAGACGCAAACCCGAGGCUCGCCACCGUGGCUGGCCUCGCCGGCGUCAUGUCGCCAGUGGGUUUGACCCCACUGACCCGGGAUUUGACCCUGUUUGACUUCCCCAGGGUCACUGACAGGUGGGCCCGUGCCCCUGCUAAUUAGGUUAAGUGCUAACUAAACAUAAUUAGCCCUGUUAAUACUGACAUGUGGGACCAGGGCCUUAACUGGUUUAGUUUAGUAUUAGUUUGGAGCUAAUUAACUCAGGUUAAUUAGUUAGACACUGGCAUGUGGGUCUCGGCCGUCAGGUUUGACCUGAGCUGGCGCCUUUGGCCUGCUGACGUCACCCCGACGUCACACUGACGCAGAUAACCCUUUCUGGAUUUAUUUUUAUUUCAGGAAUUUCAGAAAAUACGCCAAACUUCUAAAAAUCAUAGAAAAAUAACCGUAGCUCAGAAAGAAAUAAUUUAUAUAUGAAAAAUUAUCAGAAAAAUCCAAUCUAUCCAUCUGUACCAUUUUCAUGCAUGUUAGAACAACUUAUGACUACUAUUUAGGACAAAUCAUUUGAAUGACAUUUGAAUAAUCACAUAUAGAGUUGAAUUUGAAUCUUUGGUUCAAACCAACUUCAUUUUAAUCUGGUUGCUAGUUGCAUUAGCUCAAAUCACAUCAUAUUGCCAUGCCAUAUUCAUGCAUCAUAUUGUCGCAUUGCAUUGAUUGUGUUCUUCCUUGUUUGCCGGUGUUUGUCCCCUCUCGAUAGACGUGGUUCCGACGAUGUGAUCGAUGACACCGAUGAAGAUCUAUACUAUCUUCAGAAGUGCCAGGCAAGCAAAACCCCCUUAUUCAUUCCGAUACAAUCCCACCCUCUCGCUCCUGCUCUAUUUUACUGCAUUAGGACAACAACGAUACAACUGUUACUUGAUGCGGUAGUUGAACCCCUUUAUCCUCUGCAUGACCUGUCAUUGCCACAGUAAAUAGAUGAAACCCACUAGCAUGAGUAGGAGUUGUUUGAGCCCUGAUGUGCCUACUCAUUCAUGCUUGUUUGUCAUGCCUGCUAUUGCUUAGAGUUGUGUUAGGUCUGACUCAUCAGGGAUGAAUUGGAGGUGUGUGAACAUGUCCUACUGUGUGUGAGCUAAGUGUGUGAACACGAUUUGGUAAAUGUAGCGGUGAGAGGCCAUGUAGGAGUACAUGGUGGGUUGUCUCAUUGAAACUGUCCUCAGGAACUGAGUUCUGUGUUUGUGAUCCAUGAACAGCUACUAUCACACAUUGGAAUGCUUAAGUGCCCCUCUCGACUUAUUAAUCAACAUGAUCUCUGUCCAGGAGUUGCAACUAGUUUCUGGUGUUUGUAGGUAGUGUUAGUAGUCUACCAAGUGGCACCCGGUACAAGUGGGCUUGGGACAGACUAGGCGCAGUGGCCCGGUGUACCAAGUGGCACCCGGAUGGUGGGCUUGGGAACCCUGCACACAUCGUUUGGGGCCGUGAGCGACACCCUAGGCCGGAUCUCCUUGCGGAUGGAACCCGAAUAGGCGAUAAACCUGGAUUAGAGACUUUUGUGGUUAGUCAGGUCGUGGUCGACUCCCUCGCCAGGCUUCCGCUUGAAGGUUGCCGAGAUACACGACGUGUACAUGGUGGUAAGUGGCGAGAGCGUGUGUGAAGAAGUACACCCCUGCAGGGUUAAUAUGAUCUAUUCAAAUAGUCGUGUCCGCGGAAAAGGACUUCUGGGUUGCCUGUACAGUUCAUAGACAAGUGAAAGUGGAUACUCUAGAAUGCGCAAGAUAAGCGUGAGUGCUAUGGAUGGCGUUCUCGUAGGGAGACGGGAGCGGAUCCAUAGUGGUGUAUUGAUAUGGUGAAUAUGUGGACUCGUGCGCCACCUCAAAAGAGUUACUUGCAGUCGUAGUUCAGGAUAGCCACCGAGCCAAAGCUGGCUUGCUGCAGUCAAACUCCACCACCCCUUUAUUGAUAAUGAUGCAUAUGUAGUUAGUUCUGAUGUAAGUCUUGCUAGGUACAUUUGUACUCACGUUUGCCUAUUUUAUGUUUUUGCAGAGACUUCCGUCUCACUAGUAGUUCCGCGUGGACUUCGACGUUUAGCUUGUUACCUCAGCUACGAUCUUGUGCCCUCGGCAGGAUCUAGUAGAUAGUCAGGCUUCUCAGCCUUUUUCAUUUAUAGUUGUCUGUACUCAGACAUGUUAAGCUUCCGCUUGUGCUUUGACUUGUGUGCUCUGAAUGUUGGGUCGUGAGACCCCUGUUUGUAAUAUCUCGCUCCUCGGAGCCUAUUGAAUAAAAUACUUGAGUUGUAGAGUCAUGUUGUGAUGCCAUGUUGUAUUUGCACAUAUCGAGCAUAUUGUGUGUAUGUUAUUGAAAUGCUUGGUAUGUGUGGGAUCUGACUAUCUAGUUGUUUAUCCUUAGUAGCCUCUCUUACCGAGAAAUGUGUCCUAGUGCUUCCACUGAGCCAUGGUAGCUUGCUACUGCUCCGGAACACUUAGGCUGGUCGGCAUGUGUCCUUCUUCGUUCUUGUGUCUGUCCCCUCGGGGAAAUUUCACGCGAUAAAUACCGGAGUCCUGUUAGCCCGCUACAGCCCGGUUCAUCGGAGUCCUGCUAGCCCAGUGCUACAACCUGGAUUCACUCACUGAUGACCGACACGUUCGAUGCUGGGUCAUGGAUGCCUGUCCCUGUAAGUUUGUGCCACUUUGGGUUUACGACUAGCCAUGUCAGCCCGGGCUCCUAUCAUAUGGAUGCUAGCGACACUAUCAUAUACGUGUGCCAAAAGGCGCAAACGGUCCCGAGCAAAGGUAAGGCGACACCAGUGGGGAUACCGUGCGUGAGGCCGCAAAGUGAUAUGAGGUGUUACAUGCUAGAUCGAUGUGGCAUUGAGUCGGGGUCCUAACAGCUUUGGUAUCAGAGUUUGACUGCCUGUAGGAUUACUAAGACAAACUGGUCGAAGUUGAGUCUAGAAAUGGUUUAGUUAUAUGUUGGGGAAUUGAUUGUGGGAUUGAACGUAAGGCUCUUUUUACUCCUUUACCUUAUGCCCUUCUGAUCUGAGUCAACCCCUUCUCUUCUACGGGGAUUAAGAACUAGGCUUCUCAUCUUUCUAUUAGGAUCACAUGCUACUAAUCCGUAGACUUAUAGAAUUGUUGGACUUAAGCCUCGGUUUAGUUCCUACUACCUCCAUAUGUUAACUGUUGAUCUUGAAACCUUGAUAUUGUGCUUCUGAGUGGCUAUGCCACCAUCUUUGUAGCAUGUCUCCAAUCUUUUUGAGCAUUUACAGUCGUUAUGUUGUCCGAGUCAUCCCAGAUUUCUAAACAAUUUGAUGCACUUGCAAAUCCUUUCCCUCUGGUUUUGAUGCUCCUUUAGGCCAGGUUAAUCACACUAAUUGUUGACUUGAGGUAUUCUAUUGCCUCGACAUUUAUGUUGGAAUUAUUAUUAUGACUCUAGGUGUCCUAGGGGGAUCAUCUAGUAAUCUAGCCAUGAUUUGUGUCCCAGUGUGAUGAUUCUGGCCUUUAUUCUCGAAAGCAUCCCGUGAUGCCACUUAGUAGUAGGUAUUCUACUCCCUGGGUUUUGAAGCCCGAGAUUCACCCUACUUACUUCAUGUUGAUAGUAAUUGCUAGCUCCCUUAGGUUAUUAGUAACCUUUGCGAUAGUCCUCGAGGUCCGUGGUAUUUCCUUCUUCCAAAUACCAUGAACCAUUUUGGCAGAAGUUCUCUUGAACCGAAAGAUCACAACAAGAGUGCUCUCAAUGAGUUUCCUAUCCUAUGUUGUGAAUCUGCCAGUCCUACCUUCCCGCAUGGGUUAUCCGAAAGAAAUAUGUUGCACUUGUUCGACAUACUAACCUAUGCAUCCACAACUCAGAAAGAUAUAUGUUCCUUUGAGUUGUCCCUCUGUAGUUGCAUUCCGAUCCUUGUCUAUCAGUUUAUAGCCAAGUUUAUGUCGUGCAUUCGUGUUAUCGAUGCUUAUUAUUCUUGUGGUCCGUCAAGCCAUUCUAUUCAGGAUGACUAGGAGAAACAAACUCCAGUACCUCAUCCAUAUCCAGGAUUGGGUCAAAAUAGUUGUGCUCCGCAGAUCAAAAUGCCAACCCAGCUUUUGAUUCUGUUCUACCCUGAAGUAUUACCGUCUUUAUGUCAGGAUUUUCAUGAGAAUUACACCGGCUCUUGUGAAUUCUUGACGUAGUGAUACUUUUCGCCAUCAUUAUUCAUUCCUCGGUUUCGUGUUGUCGCAACCGGAACGCCGACAAGUGAAUAAUGAUGUGUGAAAUCUAUAUUCCUAGCAACCAUGUUACAUAGUGAUUAAUGGACGAUAAUCUCAUUCUUAGUGUGUUGGUUAUGGAAUCAUCAUUCUGAGAUUGAUCGUGCUACCUAGUCCUUAUUUCCGGGUGCACUCCUCGAUCAAUGAGUCAGGAUUGUGUCAAACCCUUGCUCUUUGAUCAUAUCGUCUUGCCCUGAAAGCAAGAUUGUUCCCGAGCUUAAUAACAUAUCGGUGGUUCGUGAUUUUCCGAAUAUCCUCUUGGAAGUAUCACCAGGACGUCACAUGACUGCUGUGUUGAGUUCGUGAGCAAGUUGGUUGCUUGUAACCACCCCUUCUCCAAGAAUCUGUGUUGCAUACCCCUGAGCUGGUUGGUUAAGCUAAACAACAACUUGGAGAGUUGGAAGAUGAAAGCUUGUCCGACUUAGUUCAUUUUAAGGGAUAUCUUGUGUGUGUGUGUGUUGAAGAUAGAUGAUAUCUUCCUUGAUUGAACCUCGUGGUCAAUUAUUGGAUCUAUUGUCUUGCCAAAACUUUGAUUUGAAUAUGGGCUAUCCUCAAAUCAAAUCAGAACCAACGAUGCUCUUAAUGUUGUCUUACCCAUGGUUGAUCCCUCGAGCAUACACCAUUAUAUCUUUUGGGUCUAACCAAUGCUAUCAUUUGUUCACAUAAUUAUGGGAUUCCAUCUUCAUGGAAACCUGGAUGAAUUGUUGUUGAGCCCAUCAGCAACAUUUUUUAUCUUCUCCAUGAUUUUGCUGAGCAUUAAGCUAGUGUUGGAAACUUUUGAAAGCAUUUCUUCAUGCUAGCUCAUGAAGCAUAUGUUCGGAUGUAAGAAGCUACUUCCUCCAGUUCAUGUGCAUUUGGUGCAAGUUGUCGUCGUGAAUUCGAGAAAGUUAAUGUUGCCCCCUCUGGAACCAUCCCAAGUCAGUCAUGCAUGUGCGAAGUAUGCUAUGGUUUGAUAGGCUCGCUACCUCCAUUCUAUAUGUGUCCCUAGCACACUGAGGGAGUCCUGGACUAGGGGGUGUCCGGACAGCCGGACUAUCAUCGUCCGCCGGACUCCAAGACUACGAAGAUACAAGAUUGAAGACUCCGUCCCGUGUCCGGAUGGGACUUUCCUUGGCGUGGAAGGCAAGCUUGGCGAUACGGAUAUGUAGAUCUCCUACCAUUGUAACCGACUCUGUGUAACCCUAGCCUCCUCCGGUGUCUAUAUAAACCGGAGGGCUUUAGUCCGUAGGACACAACAUACAUUACAACAAUCAUACCAUAGGCUAGCUUUAGGGUUUAGCCUCCUUGAUCUCAUGGUAGAUCCACUCUUGUACUACCCAUAUCAUCAAUAUUAAUCAAGCAGGAUGUAGGGUUUUACCUCCAUCGAGAGGGCCCGAACCUGGGUAAAAACAUCGUGUCCCUCGUCUCCUGUUACCAUCCGCCUAGACGCACAGUUCGGGACCCCCUACCCGAGAUCCGCCGGUUUUGACACCGACAUUGGUGCUUUCAUUGAGAGUUCCUCUGUGUCGUCACCGAUAGGCUCGAUGGCAUCUUCAGCCAACAACGCUGUCUAGGAUAAGACUUUCCUCCCCGGACAGAUCUUCGUGUUCGGCGGCUUCGCACUGCGGGCUAAUUCACUUGGCCGUUUGGAGCAGAUCGAAAGCUACGCCCCUGGCCGUCAGGUCAGAUUCGGAAGUCUAAACUUCACGGCCGAUUUCCGCGGAGACUUGAUCUUCGACGGACUCGAGCCACAGCCAAGUGUGCCGCACUAUGACGAUGGGCAUGAUCUAGCUCUGCCGCCGAACAGUGCCUUGGUGGCCGCACAUGAAUCUGCUUCGGCCUUUAGUCCAGAGCCGAUCGCCCAAAUCGAGGAGCGGUGGAUGGACACCACCUCGGGGGCUUCAACCUCCACGGCGAUGGAGCCGAACGCUAAUCUUGUCCCACGCGAAACUCGUGAUUCCGAGGUUCCGGACUCCUUGCCGGACUCCGAACCUCCCACGCCCCUACCAAUUGAUUCGGAUUGGGCGCCGGUUAUGGAAUUCACCGCCGCGGACAUCUUCCAACACUCGCCCUUUGGCGACAUGCUAAAUUCACUAAAGCAUCUCUCGUUAUCGGGAGAGUCCUGGCCGGACUAUGGCCAGGAUGGUCGGGAUUCGAACGACGAAGAAAUUCAGAGCCCACCCACCACCCACUUUGUAGCCACUGUCGACGAUCUAACCGACAUGCUAGACUACGACUCCGAAGACAUCGACGGUAUAGACGACGAUGCCGGAGACGAACAAGAAACAACGCCUAUAGGGCACGGGAGGACCACCUCGUCAUAUGACAUAUACAUGGUGGAUACCCCAAAAAGAGAGCGAUAACGAGGACCAACGGGCCGCGGCAGAAGAUAACCCCGCCGAUAAACAACCAAAACGGCGGCGCAGACGCCGCGCUAAGCCCCGCCUCGAUAACAACAACGCUCCUAAGGACCCCACAAUACAGCAGGGCACACAAGUGGACGACGAACACGUAGAUAAGCAACCGUCCGAACAGGACGAGUCAGAUAAUCAGUCCAGGCCCGGCGAAAACGACAGUCCGGACGAUCUCAUGCCGGACACGCCGCCGGAGAGUAAAAACCUUCGGAAAAUACUCUUCAGCACUGCAAGAAGCUUGAAGAAGGAAAAGCGGAAGCUCAAAACAGCGGAAGAUACACUCAGAAUGAGGUGGAGCAAAGUGCUCAAAACCGCGGAUAAAUACGGCAAUGGCCACCAAUCAAAGAGCUACCCGAAGCGCAAGCUGCUACCAGAAUUCGAUGAGGAGGCCAUAGAGCCCCCACCGUCAAAAAAUAAAGAGGCUGCCUGGUUGGAUAGACGGCCAGAUGAUAGGCCAAAUUCUGAAAGCGGCGUCGCACAUAAACCAACUAAUGAACCUGGAAAGACAGAUGGCCCAGCCAGGUCCAUUUACGGGCCAAAGAAGAAGGCCCCAGGAAGAAAGGCGACACGCCAAGUGUCCGAAGAUAGUGGCACACCCAAGUACAUGGGCGCCGCACACCCACUAUGUUUCACCGAUGAGGUGCUGGAUCACGAAUUCCCAGCGGGAUUUAAACCCAUAAACAUAGAGGCCUACGAUGGAACAACAGACCCUGGAGUCUGGAUAGAAGAUUAUAUACUACAUAUACACAUGGCCAGAGGAGAUGAUCUCCACGCCAUAAAGUACCUACCCCUCAAGCUCAAAGGGCCAGCCCGUCAUUGGCUUAAAAGCCUCCCAAAAAACACUGUGGGAAGUUGGGAAGAGCUCGAGGACGCGUUUAGAGCAAAUUUUCAACGGACUUAUGUCCGCCCUCCGGAUGCAGAUGAUCUAAGUCAUAUAACUCAACAGCCCGGAGAGUCAGCGUGCAAAUUCUGGAACAGGUUCCUCACCAAAAAGAACCAAAUAGUCGACUGUCCGGACACCGAAGCCUUAGCAGCUUUUAAACACAAUGUCCGAGACGAAUGGCUUGCCAGACACCUCGGCCAAGACAAACUGAGGACAAUGUCCGCGCUAAGAAGCCUCAUGACCCGCUUCUGCGCGGGAGAGGAUAGCUGGCUAGCAAGAUGUAGCACCAGCAACCCAAGUACAUCUGAGAUAAGAGAUGGAAACGGAAAAUCAUGGCGCAGAAAAGAGCAGCGCCGGAAUAAAGAGAAAAGCCCAAAGAGCACGGCAGUCAACGCCGGAUUCAAAAGCUCGCGGCCAAACAACAAAACACCGCCUCUUAAGGAUGACAGCGAUGAGCUGUCCAACUUAAACAAGAUUUUGGGUCGGAUAUGUCAAAUCCAUAGUACCCCCGGAAGGCCUGCAAACCACACCCAUCGAGAUUGUUGGGUUUUUAAACAGUCCGACCGACUAAACGCCGGACACAAGGGGCUCGACGCGUCAAGCGAAGAAGAUAAACCCCACCAGCAGAGCACCGGAAAACAAAAGACUUUCCCACAGGAGGUCAAAGCAGUAAACUCACUUCAUGUGAUAAUACGGAAAAAUAGUGCGGCACUUCCUAAAAAGAGCCUCGCACGGUCCAACCCAGCAGACCAUAGAGAUUUGAUAUCAAAACCAAUCACUUUCGACCACCUGGACUAUUCCAGAAGUGUUCGAAACGCGGGACGGACUGCCCUGAUAUUGAAUCCCAUAAUCGACGGACUACAAUUUACUAAAGUCCUAAUGGACGGAGGCAGCGACUUAAACCUGCUGUAUUCAAACACAAUCCGCAAGAUGGGGAUAGACCCUACCAAAAUUCGACACAGCCGCACUUCCUUCAAAGGAGUGACGCCAGGCCCUUACGCCAAGUGCACAGGCUCCCUACUACUAGAAGUUGUGUUCGAAUCACCGAACAACUUUCGGCGCGAAAAACUAAUAUUUCAUAUCGUCCCAUUUAAAAGUGGAUAUCAAGCACUCUUGGGACGAAAGGCUUUUGUCCGUUUCAACGCCAUACCGCAUUACGCGUCUCUUACACUCAAGAUGCCCGACCCACGUGGCAUCAUUUCAGUGCGGGGGUCACUUAAAGACCCCGGACUCGGAUAGACGAGUCCGGCUUCAGUAGGCUAGGGGCUCCCUAGCCGCACACCCCUUCACAAGGGGCUGCGCGCACAAACAACCGUGGGUUCAUUCAAACCCCGCUUUACUCAUUUAUAUUUUUUCUUUGCAAACAUAACUUUCUUCGCACGAAUUGUUUUCAAACUAAGCGUUCCUCUCUUUUUUACAGAUGAACAACGUGCAUACCCGUCCAGGAUAACGGCACAGCGGAGACACAGGCGCAGACGUGCAGUAGGGACCCGUUGUGAGGAUUCUUUUCAGAUUAAGACCCUGCGUAAACCUUUUUUACUGUCUCUUGUUGUUAUUCUCCCUUGGUUUCUUCCUAUAACCAAAGCGGAGCCUGACGUUUUGGCAUCGGCCGCGUCAGAAGACCAUGCCCGUACCUGGACACUAGGGGCUUAGGGCAUUGUUCUGCCCAUUAUUACAAAGACUGAACACCUUAGGGAGUGUUCGGCGUCUCGAGUUAGGCAUUAUAUGCAUCAGCUCCGAAUCAUGUCUUUGGUCAAAUGUUGGGUUUGCCCGGCUCCUGUGCUUUGCUGCCUUACGUUCCGUAUCAUCGGCUAACGUGGCACCAGGAGAACUACUGCGAUUGUGCCCCAGUUCGGCUGGGCGAGCACCUCAGUAGAGAAAGCCGAAAACUGACUGUCAUGAUAUAGCGCGAGACUGGUCAACCACUCGAUCGACUACCGGAAUGUUUAGAAUUCCCCGCUUUGACGAAGGACCGUUUCCCGGUCAGGCACACACGCGCCCCGAACUCGGAGAAGUGCGGUGCCCCCAGGGGCUAUAUCGUAGCCCCACCCUCGAACUCGACUGGCUAAGUGAAAGUGAUAAAGCAUUAUAGUCCGGAUUGCCUCGUUUGCUACGCUACCACCUCCUUAACAGGACCGAGACGUCGGAUUAAGUGUGAAAACGUGCUAUUUUUGCGAACACCCCCGCACCUUGUGCGUGGGGGCUGAAGCCGAAGACUGCAAUCUUUCAGGUUAUACAAAUGUAUACGUAAACGGCCGCAUAGGAAAAGUUUUACUAUUUGGGACGCACAAGUAUAAAAAGCAGUUAUAGCAUAAUCAUCGUUUUACAAGCUAAAACAUUCAUUUGAACGUGACAUUCUUUGAGCACUGCGACUCUAUUACACGAGCGCCACGCAUAACUUCCCCGAAAUAGUGCUCAGCGGGGAGCCGGCUUCCAUCCGAACCCUGGGUGGCAAUAGCGGUGGCAUCCAUCUCUGUCCAAUGUGUCUUCACACGGGCAAGAGCCAUCCGCGCGCCUUCGUUGCAGGCCAACCGCUUCAUCUCCUUAAUAUGCGGCACCGCUCCAAGAAAUUGCUGCAGUAAGCCGAAAUAGCUCGUCGCCUUGGGCCUCUCUGGCCAAACAUGAGCCACGAUGUCGGUCAUGGCAAGUCCGGACAAUCUAUUUAGCUCAGCCCAUUCGGCCAACCGGUCGGUCAACGGAAGUGAACGAUCCAGACUACGGAAUUGAGACCAAAAUAGCUCUUCCGUCUUGUGAUCCUUCUGGCCCCGGAAGUGCUCAACGGCAUCAACCGCAAUUGACGCUAAGUCCAUAUACGGAUCAUCCGGACUCCACAGCUGGCUAAAUUGGGCAUACUUUUGAUCCAUAAACCGGCGACGCGGCAGAAAAGGAUGGCCAGCCACGAUAUCUCCGGCCUGGCGCAGCUCCUCCUUCAUGGCCCGCAUUGCAGAACGGGCAUCCUUGGCCUCGGCGGUGGCCUUUCUCAGGUCUUCCCGCUCCGAUAAGCGCUCCUUUUCAAGAGCCUCAUUACGGUCGGCAGCAUCUUUUAAUUUUACGGCCAAUUCAGCCAUCUCUUCCCUGCUUAGGCAGUGUGUAGCCUUUUCGGCUUUCAACUCCUCGGCCGCCCUCGAGGCAGCCACGUCACUCCUUCGGGCUUGCUCCUUAGCUUGAGCAAGUUCGGCCCGAAGGCUCUCCACAGUAGCAGCACCGUCUGUACCACAUAUAAUUUAUCAGUGGAGGGUUUUGACCCCCUCAAUAAAGCGACUGCGGAGAACUCAUUUACCUUGCGACUCGUCAAGUCGCCGGUUGACAAGUGCGAUGUCCGCAUCCACCACGUCAAGUUGCUGCAUUAACUCGGCAACUCCACCAGUCCGGCUAGCCCUCGGACUAUCCGCCACCUGCAUAGGAACAACGACAUUCAUUACUUGCGAUUUUGAUCCUCGGCACGCUGUCGUUCUUGACAACCUACCGAGUCUCAGGGGCUACUAUCUAUACAGGGCGCACUUUUAUGUGCAAAACUGUCAAUAAAAAAAAGGGUGCGUCAUUCUUGCGUACCUCAAAUCCCGCUAGCAAACUCAUAGCGGCGUUGCGCAAUCCGCUCUCGGCGGACGAAAUCCUUCCAAUCACCAUACGCAUCAACACACGGUGAUCUUCUGAGAUGGACGCCCUCUCAAGCAGAUUCUUCAGUUCUCCCGGUCGGACACUAGCGGGCGCCGAACUCUCCGGCCCCUCCGGACUCGGGGAUACCCUCCGUGACGAUACUUCAGGCUCGUCUGCCUUAUCUGACGGCACAGCAGACGGAGGCGUUUCGCUCUCCAUCAUCUCCGGAAGAAGGUCCCCCGAAGACAAACUCAUCUGAGAAGGCUGCAAAUCCGAACUGCAAGACAAAAGUUUCGGUUACCCAGAGAAGCACAAAUGGAGGUAUUUUCUUACUAAUGAAACCCCCUUUUUCAUACUCACGGCUCGCUGGAGGGCUGAUCCUUUGGCGAUGAUUGUACGUCCGGAUUCUCCCCGGACGCCGGACCCCCCGGUGAAGAUCUCUUCCCCCGUUUAGGGGCUUUGGCCUCCGGAUCUUCGGAGGCGGUCCUCUUCUCCCCCUGGAAGGAGGGGUUUUUGAUUCCCCCCUCUUUAGACGCCCCUUUGGGCGAAAUAAUAGCUCCUCUAUUUUCCCCAUCGCUCCCUCCUACGGGUGCGACCUCCAACAUUCUGACCAGCACGGGCUCCAGUGCGGUCUCUGGGAGGGGAGCCGGACACCUUAUCAGCUUCGAUCGCGCUAUCCACUCCUGUAAAGAGUAAUGGGUCAGGAGGCGAACUCUAGAAAAGCAGAUAAAUAGAACGUCCAGACUCUGAGCUAUUUACCUGAGUAUCCGGGCGAUUGCAGCUUAGGCCUGCAUCCUCGGUCAAUUCCGGACACGCUACCUGCGGUCCGAAGAACAACUUGUACAUCUCCACGGGUGUAGCACCCAUGAAGUGUUGGAGAAUUCGAGGUCCCUCCGGGUUGAACUCCCAUAGACGGAGAGGACGGCGUUUGCAGGGCAGAAGACACCUGAUUAGCAUAACCUGCAUCACCACGACCAGAUUGAUCUCCCUCACCUAGAGGUCUCUAAUCUGGCCCUGCAAUGAGGGCACGUCUUCGGACGGCCCCCAAUUGAGCCCUUGGUUGACCAACGACAUCAGUUGGCGUGGAGGUCCCGGGCGGAAUGAAGGCGGCGGCUUUUGCUUGCUGCCCUUCGGAGGGUGAUAUAGAACCACUCCUGCUGCUACAGUCCGAGUUCCUCUUGGAAGGAACCCUCGGGCCACGGGGCAUCGGCCUUUAUGCUUAUGGCUGCCCCGCCGCACUCCGCUUGACGCCCCCCGAUCAUCUUCGGCUCCACGUUAAAGGUCUUCAGCCACAGGCCGAAGUGGGGAGUGACGCGGAGGAAGGCUUCGCAGACGAUAAUGAAUGCGGAGAUAUGGAGGAUGGACUCCGGAGCCAAGUCGUGGAAAUCCAGCCCGUAGUAGAACAUGAGCCCUCUCACGAAGGGGUCCGUCGGGAAGCCUAAACCCCGACGGAGGUGGGAUACGAAGACAACGUGCUCACCGGGCUCGGGAGCGGGCACGGCCUGCCCUUGGGCGGGCAACCUGUGCGAAAUCUCGUAGGAAAGGUACUUGGCCUCGCGCAGCUUAAACACGUCCUCCUCCGUGACGGAGGAGGGCAUCCACCGGCCCUAGAGGUCGGAGCCGGACAUGGUUGAGAAUCCGAAGUGCUCGAAUCUGAGGCUCUGAGUGUUGGAACUAGGGGCGAGGAGGAGAUUCGAUGCGAGAUUGAAGAAAAAGAACGAGCCUUGGUCCUCUUAUAAAGGGGCAAAAUACCAAGAGUCGUCUCCGUGACCGUUUGGGAUUCACCUUCGAUAGAGGAGGCGUGGCGACGGGCACGGUUGGGUUACCCACGCAUGUAUUGAUGAGAAUCCCGGAAUAAGGGGAACACGAUCUCUGCUUCAACAAGACGUGCCAAGGAAACCGCUUCGCUAAACGUGCUGAGGUGGUAUAAUAAAAAACGAUUCAAGUAAAAGCCUGGUAGCGGUGUGAUGCCAUGCCGCAUAAUACGUCAGUAGAUUGGACUUGUGUGCAUUUUAUUCUCUCUACGGUGGAAUGUGGAAUUUAUUUUGCAGAGCCGGACACUAUCCUGGUGUUCAUGAUCUUCUCUGGAUUAUUCAAGGGAGGAACCCGCCUUGCAAUGCCGAACAUUAUGCGCGCCGGACUUAUCGUCAUUGAAGCCUGUUGGAAAUAUGCCCUAGAGGCAAUAAUAAAAGUGUUAUUAUUAUAUUUCUUUGUUCAUGAUAAUAGUCUUUUAUUCAUGCUAUAAUUGUAUUAUCCGGAAAUCGUAAUACACGUGUGAAUACAUAGACCACAAUAUGUCCCUAGUGAGCCUCUAGUUGACUAGCUCGUUGUGAUCAACAGAUAGUCAUGGUUUCCUAGCUAUGGACAUUGGAUGUCGUUGAUAAUGGGAUCACAUCAUUAGGAGAAUGAUGUGAUGGACAAGACCCAAUCCUAAGCCUAGCACAAAGAUCGUAUAGUUCGUAUGCUAAACUUUUCUAAUGUCAAGUAUCUUUUCCUUAGACCAUGAGAUUGUGCAACUCUCGGAUACCAUAGGAAUGCUUUGGGUGUACCAAACGUCACAACGUAACUGGGUGGCUAUAAAGGUGCAUUACAGGUAUCUCCGAAAGUAUCUGUUGGGUUGGCACGAAUCGAGACUGGGAUUUGUCACUCCGUGUAAACGGAGAGGUAUCUCUGGGCCCACUCGGUAGGACAUCAUCAUAAUGUGCAAAAUGUGACCAAGGGGUUGAUCACGGGAUGAUGUGUUACGGAACGAGUAAAGAGACCUGCCGGUAACGAGAUUGAACAAGGUAUCGGUAUACCGACGAUCGAAUCUCGGGCAAGUAAAAUACCGCUAGACAAAGGGAAUUGUAUACGGGAUCGAUUGAGUCCUUGACAUCGUGGUUCAUCCGAUGAGAUCAUCGUGGAACAUGUGGGAGCCAUCAUGGGUAUCCAGAUCCCGCUGUUGGUUAUUGACCGGAGAACGUCUCGGUCAUGUCUGCAUGUCUCCCGAACCCGUAGGGUCUACACACUUAAGGUUCGAUGACGCUAGGGUUAUAAAGGAAGCUUGUAUGUGGUUACCGAAUGUUGUUCGGAGUCCCGGAUGAGAUCCCGGACGUCACGAGGAGUUCCAGAAUGGUCCGGAGGUAAAGAUUUAUAUAUGGGAAGUCCUGUUUUGGUCACCGGAAAAGUUUCGGGGUUUAUCGGUAAUGUACCGGGACCACCGGGAGGGUCCCGGGGGUCCACCAAGUGGGGCCACCAACCCCGGAGGCUUGCAUGGGCUAAGAGUGGUGAGGGACCAGCCCCUUAGUGGGCUGGUGCGCCUCCCACAAGGGCCCAUGGCGCCUAAGAGGUGGAAAGGGAGCAAACCCUAAGGGGAUAUGGGCCUUAGGGCCCAUAUUGGUGCGCCUCCCUCUCCUCUCCCCUCUUGGCCGCCACCCCCUUGCCAUCUAGGGCUGGCCGCACCCCUUUGGGGUGGGAAACCCUAAAGGGGGCGCAGCCCCCUUCUCCCCUAUAUAAAUAGAGGCCUGGGGCUGCCCAUAACAUAUGAGAACUUCCUCUCGUUGGUGCAGCCCUGCCUGUCCUCCUCCUCCUCUCCCAUGGUGCUUGACGAAGCCCUGCGGGAUUGCCACGCACCUCCACCACCACCACGCUGUUGUGCUGCUGCUGGAUGGAGUCUUCCUCAACCUCUCCCUCUCUCCUUGCUGGAUCAAGGCGUGGGAGACAUCACCGGGCUGUACGUGUGUUGAACGCGGAGGUGCCGUGCGUUCGGCACUUGAUCAUCGGUGAUUUGAAUCACGACGAGUACGACUCCAUCAACCCCGUUCACUUUAAUGCUUCCGCUUAGCGAUCUACAAGGGUAUGUAGAUGCACUCUCCUUCCCCUCGUUGCUAGUUUCUCCAUAGAUAGAUCUUGGUGAUACGUAGGAAAAUUUUGAAUUUCUGCUACGUUCCCCAACAGUGGCAUCAUGAGCUAGGUCUAUUGCGUAGAUUCUUUGCACGAGUAGAACACAAAGUAGUUGUGGGCGUUGAUGUUGUUCAAUAUGCUUACCGUUACUAGUCCAAUCUUGUUUUGACGGUAUUGUGGGAUGAAGCGGCCCGGACCGACCUUACACGUACUCUUACGUGAGACAGGUUCCACCGAUUGACAUGCACUUGUUGCAUAAGGUGGUUAGCGGGUGCCAGUAUCUCCCACUUUAGUCGGAACGGAUUCGAUGAAAAGGGUCCUUAUGAAGGGUAAAUAGCAAUUGGCAUAUCACGUUGUGGUUUUGCGUAGGUAAGAAACGUUCUUGCUAGAAACCCAUUAGCAGCCACGUAAAACAUGCAGCAACAAUUAGAGAACGUCUAACUUGUUUUUGCAGGGUAUGCUAUGUGAUGUGAUAUGGCCAAGAAGAAUGUGAUGAAUGAUAUGUGAUGUAUGAGAUUGAUCAUGUUCUUGUAAUAGGAUUCACGACUUGCAUGUCGAUGAGAAUGACAACCGGCAGGAGCCAUAGGAGUUGUCUUUAUUUAUUGUAUGACCUGCGUGUCAUUGAACAAUGCCAUGUAACUUACUUUACUUUAUUGCUAAACGCGUUAGCCAUAGAAGUAGAAGUAGUCAUUGGCGUGACAACUUCAUGAAGACACGAUGAUGGAGAUCAUGAUGAUGGAGAUCAUGGUGUCAAGCCGGUGACAAGAUGAUCAUGGAGCCCCGAAGAUGGAGAUCAAUGGAGCUAUAUGAUAUUGGCCAUAUCAUGUCACAACUAUAUAAUUGCAUGUGAUGUUUAUUAUGAUUAUGCAUCUUGUUUACUUAGGACGACGGUAGUAAAUAAGAUGAUCCCUUACAAAAAUUUCAAGAAGUGUUCUCCCCUAACUGUGCACCGUUGCUACAGUUCGUCGCUUCUAAGCACCACGUGAUGAUCGGGUGUGAUGGAUUCUUACGUUCACAUACAACGGGUGUAAGACAGUUUUACACAGCGAAAACACUUAGGGUUAACUUGACGAGCCUAGCAUGUGCAGACAUGGCCUCGGAACACGGAGACCGAAAGGUCGAGCAUGAGUCGUAUGGUAGAUACGAUCAACAUGAAGAUGUUCACCGAUGAUGACUAGUCCAUCUCACGUGAUGAUUGGACACGGCCUAGUUGACUUGGAUCAUGUAAUCACUUAGAUGACUAGAGGGAUGUCUAUCUGAGUGGGAGUUCAUAAGAUGAACUUAAUUAUCCUGAACAUAGUCAAAAGGAUUUUGCAAAUUACGUCGUAGCUCGCGUUUUAGUUCUACUGUUUUAGAUAUGUUCCUAGAGAAAAUAUAGUUGAAAGUUGAUAGUAGCAAUUAUGCGAACAGUAAAAAGCUUAUGUCCUUAAUGCACUGCUCAGUGUGCUGAACCCCAAACGUCGUUUGUGGAUGUUUCGAACAUCGAACAUACACGUUUUGAUAACUACGUGAUAGUUCAGUUAAAUGGUUUAAGUAGAGGCACCAAAGACGUUUUUGAAACGUCGUGGAACAUAUGAGAUGUUUCGAGGGCUGAAAUUGGGAUUUCAGGCUCGUGCCCACGUCAAGAGGUAUAAGACCUCCGACAAUUUUCUUAGCCUACAAACUAAGGGAGAAAAGCUCAAUCGUUGAGCUUGUGCUCAGAUUGUCUGAAUGCGACAACCACUUGAAUCGAGUGGGAGUUGAUCUUCCAGAUGAGAUAGUGAUGUUUCUCCAAACUCAUUGCCACCAAGCUGCUUGAGCUUCGUGAUGAACUAUAACAUAUCAGGGAUAGAUAUGAUGAUCCUUGAGGUAUUCAUGAUGUUUGACACCGCGAAAGUAGAAAUCAAGAAGGAGCAUCAAUUGUUGAUGGUUGGUGAAACCACUAGUUUCAAGAAGGGCAAGGGCAAUAAGGGAUACUUCAUGAAACGGCAAAUCAGCUGCUGCUCCAGUGAAGAAACCCAAGGUUGAACCCAAACCCGAGACUAAGUGCUUCUGUGAUAAGAGGAACAGCCACUGGAGCAGAAUUACCCUAGAUACUUGGUAGAUUAGAAGGCUGACAAGGUCGAUAGAAGUAUAUUGGAUAUACAUUGUGUUGAUGUGUACUUUACUAGUACUCCUAGUAGCACCAGGGUAUUAGAUACCGGUUCGGUUGCUAAGUGUUAGUAACUCGAAAUAAAAGCUACAGAAUAAACGGAGACUAGCUAAAGGUGAGCUGACGAUAUGUGUUGGAAGUGUUUCAAUGUUGAUAUGAUCAAGCAUCGCACGCUCCCUCUACCAUCGAGAUUGGUGUUUGCGUUGAGCAUAGACAUGAUUGGAUUAUGACUAUCGCAAUACGGUUAUUCAUUUAAGGAGAAUAACGGUUACUCUGUUUAUUUGAAUAAUACCUUCAAUGGUCUUACACCUGAAAUGAAUGGUUUAUUGAAUCUCGAUCGUAGUGAUACACAUGUUCAUGCCAAAAGAUAGUAAUGAUAGUACCACCUACUUGUGGCACUGCCACUUAAGUCAUAUUGGUAUAAAACGCAUGAAGAAGCUCCAUGUUGAUGGAUCUUUGGACUCACUCAUUUUUGAAAGGAUUGAGACAUGCGAACCAUGUUUGUUGGUAGAUAUGCAUGAAGAAACUCUAUACAGAUGGAUCGUUUGGACUCACUUGAUUUUGAAUCACUUGAGACAUGCAAAUCAUACCACAUGGGCAAGAUGACUGAAAGCCUCGUUUUCAGUAAAAUGGAACUAGAAAGCAACUUGUUGGAAGUAAUACAUUUUGAUGUGUGCAGUCCAAUGAGUGAUGAGGCAUGUAGUGGAUAUCGUUAUGUUCUUACUUCACAGAUGAUUUGAGUAGAUGUUGAGAAUAUUUACUUGAUGAAACACAAGUCUGAAUUAUUGAAUGGUUCAAGUAAUUUCAGAGUGAAGUAGAAGAUCAUUGUGACAAGAGGAUAAAAUGUCUAUGAUAUGAUCAUAGAGAUGAAUAUCUGAGUUACGAGUUUUGGCACACAAUUAAGACAUUGUGGAAAUUGUUUCGCAAUUAAUACCGCCUGGAACACCAUAGUGUGAUGGUGUGUCCGAACAUCAUAGUUGCACCCUAUUGGAUAUGGUGCAUACCAUGAUGUCUCUUAUCGAAUUACCACUAUCGUUCAUGGGUUAGGCAUUAGAGACACCCGCACUCACUUUAAUAGGGUACCACGUAAUUCCGUUGAGAUGACACCGGUUUAGAGAAACCUAUGCUGUCAUUUCUUAAAGGUUUGGGGCUGCGACGCUUAUGUGAAAAAGUUUCAGGUUGAUAAGCUCGAACCCAAAGCGGAUAAAAUGCAUCUUCAUAGGACACCCAAAACAGUUGGGUAUACCUCCUAAUUCAGAUCCGAAAGCAAUAUGAAUUGUUUCUUGAAUCGGGUCCUUUCUCGAGGAAAGGUUUCUCUCGAAAGAGUUGAGUGGGAGGAUGGUGGAGACUUGAUAAGGUUAUUGAACUGUCACUUCAACAAGUGUGUAGCAGGGCACAGGAAGUUGUUCCUGUGGCACCUACACCAAUUGAAGUAGAAGCUUAUGAUAGUGAUCAUGAAGUUUCGGAUCAAGUCACUACCGUACCUCGUAGGGUGACAAGGAUACAUACUACUUCAGAGUGGUACAGUAAUCCUGUCUUGAAGGUCAUGUUGCUAGACAACAAUGAACCUACGAGCUAUGGAGAAGCGACGGUGGGCCCAAAUUCCAACAAAUGGUUAGAAGCCAUGAAAUCCGAGAUAGGAUCCAUGUAUCAGAACAAAGCAUGGACUUUAGUGGACUUGCCCGAUGAUCGGCAAGCCAUUGAGAUAAAUGGAUCUUUAAGAAGAAGACGGACGUGGAUGGUAAUGUCACCAUCUAUGAAGCUCGACUUGUGGCGAAAAGUUUUUUCACAAGUUCAAGGAGUUGACUACGAUGAGAUUUUCUCAUCCGUAGCGAUGCUUAAGUCCGUCGGAAUCAUGUUAGCAUAAGUUGCAUUUAUGAAAUCUGGCAGAUGGAUGUCAAAACGAGUUUCCUUACCAACUUUCGUAAGGAAAGGUUGUAUGUGAUACAAUCAGAAAGGUUUUGUCGAUCCUAAGGAUGCUAAAAGGUAUGCUAGCCCCAGCAAUCCUUCUAAGGACUGGAGUAAGCAUCUCGGAGUUGGAAUGUGCACUUUGAUAAGAUGAUCAAAGAUUUUGGGUUUAUACAAAGUUUAUGAGAAACUUGUAUUUCCAAAGAAGUGAGUGGGAGCACUAUAGAAUUUCUGAUGAGUAUAUGUUGUUGACAUAUUGUUGAUCAGAAAUGAUGUAGAAUUUCUGGAAAGCAUAUAGGGUUACUUGAAAGUGUUUUUCAAUGGAAAGCCUGGAUUAAGCUACUUGAACAUUGAGCAUCAAGAUCUAUAAGGAUAGAUCAAAACGCUUAAUGGUACUUUUCAAAUGAGCACAUACCUUGACAUGAUCUUGAAGGUGUUCAAGAUGGAUCAGUCAAAGAAGGAGUUCUUGCCUGAGUUGUAAGGUAUGAAGUUAAGACUUAAAGCUCGACCACGGCAGAAUAGAGAGAAAGGACGAAGGUCGUCCCCUAUGCUUAAAACAUAGGCUCUACAGUAUGCCAUGCUGAGUACCGCACCUGAAGUGUGCCUUGCUAUGAGUCAGUCAAGGGGUACAAGAGUGAUCCAAGAAUGGAUCACACGACAGCGGUCAAAGUUAUCCUUAGUAACUAGUGGACUAAGGAAUUUUCUUGAUUAUGGAGGUGGUAAAAGAGUUCGUCGUAAAGGGUUACGUCGAUGCAAGCUUGACACCUAUCCGGAUAGCUCUGAGUAGAGAUACCGGAUAUGUAUAAUGGAGCAACAAUUUAGAAUAAGCUCCAAGUAGAACAGUUAUUUGGAAUAGCUCCAAAUAGAGCGUGGUAGCUGCAUCUAGGAGAUGACAUAGAGAUUUGUAAAGCACACACAGAUCUGAAAGGUUCAGACCCGUUGACUAUAACCUCUCUCACAAGCAUAACAUGAUCAAACCCAGAACUCUUGGGUGUUAGUCACAUGGGGAUGUGACCUUGAGUGUUAAUCACAUAUUGAUGUGAACUAGAUUAUUGACUCUAGUGCAAGUGGGAGACUGUUGGAAAUAUGCCCUAGAGGCAAUAAUAAAAGUGUUAUUAUUAUAUUUCUUUGUUCAUGAUAAUAGUCUUUUAUUCAUGCUAUAACUGUAUUAUCCGGAAAUCAUAAUACACGUGUGAAUACAUAGACCACAGUAUGUCCCUAGUGAGCCUCUAGUUGAUAAGCUCGUUGCGAUCAACAGAUAGUCAUGGUUUCCUGGCUAUGGACAUUGGAUGUCGUAACGGGAUCACAUCAUUAGGAGAAUGAUGUGAUGGACAAGACCCAAUCCUAAGCCUACCACAAAGAUCGUAUAGUUCGUAUGCUAAAGCUUUUCUAAUGUCAAGUAUCUUUUCCUUAGACCAUGAGAUUGUGCAACUCCCGGAUACCGUAGGAAUGCUUUGGGUGUACCAAACGUCACAAUGUAACUGGGUGGCUAUAAAGGUGCAUUACAGGUAUCUCCGAAAGUAUCUGUUGGGUUGGCACGAAUCGAGACUGGGAUUUGUCACUCCGUGUAAACGGAGAGGUAUCUCUGGGCCCACUCGGUAGGACAUCAUCAUAAUGUGCACAAUGUGACGAAGGGGUUGAUCACGGGAUGAUGUGUUACGGAACGAGUAAAGAGACUUGCCGGUAACGAGAUUGAACAAGGUAUCGGUAUACCGACGAUCGAAUCUCGGGCAAGUAAAAUACCGCUAGACAAAGGGAAUUGUAUACGGGAUCGAUUGAGUCCUUGACAUCGUGGUUCAUCCGAUGAGAUCAUCGUGGAACAUGUGGUGGCCAUCAUGGGUAUCCAGAUCCCGCUGUUGGUUAUUUACCGGAGAACGUCUCGGUCAUGUUUGCAUGUCUCCCGAACCCGUAGGGUCUACACACUUAAGGUUCGAUGAUGCUAGGGUUAUAAAGGAAGCUUGUAUGUGGUUACCGAAUGUUGUUCGGAGUCCCGGAUGAGAUCCCGAACGUCACGAGGAGUUCCGAAAUGGUCCGGAGGUAAAGAUUUAUAUAUGGGAAGUCCUGUUUUGGUCACCGGAAAAGUUUCGGGGUUUAUCGGUAACGUACCGGGACCACCGGGAGGGUCCCGGGGGUCCACCAAGUGGGGCCACCAACCCCGGAGGCUUGCAUGGGCUAAGAGUGGUGAGGGACCAGCCCCUUAGUGGGCUGGUGCACCUCCCACAAGGGCCCAUGGCGCCUAAGAGGUGGAAAGGGAGCAAACCCUAAGGGGAUAUGGGCCUUAGGGCCCAUAUUGGUGCGCCUCCCUCUCCUCUCCCCUCUUGGCCGCCACCCCCUUGCCAUCUAGGGCUGGCCGCACCCCUUUGGGGUGGGAAACCCUAGAGGGGGCGCAGCCCCCUUCUCCCCUAUAUAAAUAGAGGUCUGGGGCUGCCCAUAACAUAUGAGAACUUCCUCUCGUUGGUGCAGCCCUGCCUCUCCUCCUCCUCCUCUCGCAUGGUGCUUGGCGAAGCCCUGCGGGAUUGCCACGCUCCUCCACCACCACCACGCUGUUGUGCUGCUGCUGGAUGGAGUCUUCCUCAACCUCUCCCUCUCUCCUUGCUGGAUCAAGGCGUGGGAGACGUCACCGGGCUGUACGUGUGUUGAACGCGGAGGUGCCGUGCGUUCGGCACUUGAUCAUCGGUGAUUUGAAUCACGACGAGUACGACUCCAUCAACCCCGUUCUCUUGAACGCUUCCGCUUAGCGAUCUACAAGGGUAUGUAGAUGCACUCUCCUUCCCCUCGUUGCUAGUUUCUCCAUAGAUAGAUCUUGGUGAUACUUAGGAAAAUUUUGAAUUUCUGCUAUGUUCCCCAACAAAGCCUGGUUCAGGUGCUACUGAGGGAGUCCUGGACUAGGGGGUGUCUGGACAGCCGGACUAUCAUCGUCCGCCGGACUCCAAGACUACGAAGAUACAAGAUUGAAGACUCCGUCCCGUGUCCGGAUGGGACUUUCCUUGGCGUGGAAGGCAAGCUUGGCGAUACGGAUAUGUAGAUCUCCUACCAUUGUAACCGACUCUGUGUAACCCUAGCCUCCUCCGGUGUCUAUAUAAACCGGAGGGCUUUAGUCCGUAGGACACAACAUACAUUACAACAAUCAUACCAUAGGCUAGAUUUAGGGUUUAGCCUCCUUGAUCUCGUGGUAGAUCCACUCUUGUACUACCCAUAUCAUCAAUAUUAAUCAAGCAGGACGUAGGGUUUUACCUCCAUCGAGAGGGCCCGAACCUGGGUAAAAACAUCGUGUCCCUCAUCUCCUGUUACCAUCCGCCUAGACGCACAGUUCGGGACCCCCUACCCGAGAUCCGCCGGUUUUGACACCGACACACACCAAGCCACUGAUUGAUUUGGUUCAAGGAAAGGGAGUUGUUGUGCUAAUCCUAGGUCAUGCACAAGACUUCGUUACCCUAGAUGAUGGAUCCUAGCCUGAACUUGGUAGUAUUUUAUCAUAAGACUACUAUGUGGUCAUGCUUGUCUGGAACAGCGUGUUCACAUGUUGUAGCAGAACCAGCUCAUGUUUUGGAGCUUACUAUCGUAGUUCAUCUCCCGAGAAUCCUGCAACGUUAUCUCGUCGAUUUAUGUUGCAAACUUUCGUCUUUUUUUCUAGACUAGAUGAGUCCGGAAUAUCCUGACACCAACCAGAUCUGAAUCUCAGGCAGAUAUGAUGGUUGGAACGUUUUCCAAGAAACUAUAAUAUUGGUCUCUCUGUAACCCGGUAAAGUGGAUGUCGUGGCCAACACACCCAACCAGAAGACCUACUAUUGUAGUAUCUUGAUUGAGAAAGUUGGCCACCUCCCCGUAAGGAUCUCGUAGAACUUACUCCAAUAAUUAUUCCUUAUGGAUUUUUGUGCUCCCGAAGUCCGACCUUUUACUUGAUGUUCUAGAUACCAAACCAUUUCAAUGAAUGGGAUACGCUAGCACAUCAAGGAGAACAUUAGAAGCGGAGUGCUAAAUGUCUCUCGGUCGAUCAUCCAGAUUUUGUUUUCCUUGGCCCCGCCAAGGUGAAGUCUGAGAAGGUGCUAUCUUCCUUUGCAUCUGCAUCUUCACCGGUAUUCAUCAUGGUAGUACGUUGUGUUGCCAGGAUCCUUGACACGGAUAUUGGUAAAACCUUGAUGAAUAUGGAAAUGCUCAAGUUCUUGAGAGCACGCUCAGUCACUAGGUUUUUAUCCUCGGUAUCAAAUUUGAAUGUGCCUCCCGUUUGCCGAGUUGUGCUAUUACCAAAUAGCUCCCUUUCCAAUUAGAGUAUGCCAUUUAUUCAAACUCUUUUGAUUGAUCGAUUGUGAUUUGCCAUAGGCUGAUAUAAGGAGUUUCAAUGAUCCCUGAAUCAAAGGUAAUUCUUUUUGCCACUUAAGGGGAUAUUUCUACGAGUUACCUUCCCUAAGGUGCCCCGUUAUGGUAACAUGUCAACUCAACUCCUUGCUACAUUGACAACCGUUCACCAUCUUGUUAAGUGUGAAUUGUUGCCUACCAAUCUGAAUCUUCGUCAUCUGUCACUAUACAUCCCUCUCGAGAUGUGUCCUGUGUCUCAUCUCAAGAGAUGUUCUUUCGUCUCACUCCAUGAGUUGAUCUUGAGUGCUCGAACUUCGAGGAGAUCGAUUCCGGUAGAAUUUCCUUUCCCUUUUGUCAUCGUGUUGGAUGAAGAUCUUGAAAGCAAAGACGUUAAGAUCAAUUUGAAGCAAUGAAUCAACAUCUUCGAGAAGGGCUGUUGGAUCGCAAAGAUUGUGUUAGCUCAUGUCCCCUCUGUCUUCUUACCUCACGUCUUGAAUCUCGGGACGAGAUUCUUGUUUAGUGGGGGUGAGUUGUCACAGCCCUAGAGUUUGCUUGUAUCUAGUGGCAUUGCAUCCAUGCAUCAUGUCUAAAUUCCAUUGAAAGUUGAAAUGGGGAUUGUUGAAACCCUAGCACCAAAUGAAUUCAACUAGGUUCAAUAAAAAUAUCUUCAAUAAACCCAAAUGCCCUUUAGAAAAGUUCAUGAUUUUUGUUAAAGGUGAAAACCUCUCCCAAAAAUGGUGCACAUUUUCCUAGGCCAUUCUGGAAUUUUGAAUUAAAUCAUUACGUAUUUGCAUUUGGGCAUUUAAAUACUAUAAAAUAUUUUAAAUGCUCAAAUAAUCCCAAACUAAAAUGUUUGAUGUAGGAUAUAUUUCCAACAGUGGUCAUGAGCGGUUGCAUGAUUUUUGGGAUUGUUUUAGUAUUUUUAAUAAAGCUACAAAGCUGCAGAAAAAUAGAAACAGAAAGAAUUAGAAAGAGAGAGCGAGAGAGAAUACCUGACGACUUACCCAGCCCAGCAGUGCGGCCCACUGGCCCAACUGCCAGUCAUCAUCUCCAUCGCGCCAGUCGGACGCCGAGCGCGUGUCCGACGCGCGCGCACGGCCAUGCUGCCACGCCACCUGCCUGCCUGCCUGCGUCCCCGGGACAGCGCAACGCCGCGGGUUUUCCUCCUCGGUGCCGUCCCNNNNNNNNNNNNNNNNNNNNNNNNNNNNNNNNNNNNNNNNNNNNNNNNNNNNNNNNNNNNNNNNNNNNNNNNNNNNNNNNNNNNNNNNNNNNNNNNNNNNNNNNNNNNNNNNNNNNNNNNNNNNNNNNNNNNNNNNNNNNNNNNNNNNNNNNNNNNNNNNNNNNNNNNNNNNNNNNNNNNNNNNNNNNNNNNNNNNNNNNNNNNNNNNNNNNNNNNNNNNNNNNNNNNNNNNNNNNNNNNNNNNNNNNNNNNNNNNNNNNNNNNNNNNNNNNNNNNNNNNNNNNNNNNNNNNNNNNNNNNNNNNNNNNNNNNNNNNNNCAUCUCACCGAACGUGUCCGCCGCCACCGACGAGCACCGCCGCGGCCAUCGCCUCUCCCUCGCCCCCUCGAGCAGUCCAGAAGCUCCGCCGCAUCUUCCUCGUCCUCUCCACCGAGCCACACGGCGCUGGAGGCCCUGCAUCAUCGCCAUCUUCGUCAUCUUAGUCGCCAGCCGCCGGAGAUCCCCUUCGCCGCUGCGCUCGCCCCAGUGCUUCCCCGAGCACGCCGAAGCCACCCCUGCAUCCAUCGUGAGCCACUGACCAUCCUCCCCCUCUCCGUUCUCUCUGCCUCUCGCCGUAGUCGCCGCACCAAGCACACCCGCUCGUGCCUCCUCUUGAGCUCGCCGCCGACGUGGCUCCGGCCAUGCAAUGGCCCCGUCGUCCUGUCCACUAACCUCGUCGCAUCUCGUAGGGCCCGUAGAUGCCUCGCACGCGCCGACUCAUCCGCCGUAGCCUCGAUCCCGAGCUCACCCGAGCUCCGGCAACCGCCGAGGUCAUCGUCGGCGACAACUCCGGCCACCCCAGGCCCAACCGCCACCACCACUCGAUGCGGAGAAGCGUCCGCAUCACGUAGAUGCCCUCCGCCGGCCGUUUGGUUGCCGGAGACGCAAACUCGAGGCUCGCCACCGUGGCUGGCCUCGCCGGCGUCAUGUCGCCGGUGGGUUUGACCCCACUGACCCGGGAUUUGACCCUGUUUGACUUCCCCAGGGUCACUGACAGGUGGGCCCGUGCCCCUGCUAAUUAGGUUAAGUGCUAACUAAAUAUAAUUAGCCCUGUUAAUACUGACAUGUGGGACCAGAGCCUUAACUGGUUUAGUUUAGUAUAAGUUUAGAGCUAAUUAACUCAGGUUAAUUAGUUAGGCACUGACAUGUGGGUCCCAGCCGUCAGGUUUGACCUGGGCUGGCGCCUUUGACCUGCUGACGUCACCCCGACGUCAUGCUGAUGCAGAUAACCUUUUCUGGAUUUAUUUUUAUUUCAGGAAUUUCAGAAAAUACCCCAAACUUCUAAAAAUCAUAGAAAAAUAACCGUAGCACAGAAAGAAAUAAUUUAUAUAUGAAAAAUUAUCAGAAAAAUCCAAUCUAUCCAUCUGUACCAUUUUCAUGCAUGUUAGAACAACUUAUGACUACUAUUUAGGACAAAUCAUUUGAAUGACAUUUGAAUAAUCACAUAUGGAGUUGAAUUUGAAUCUUUGGUUCAAACCAACUUCAUUUUAAUCUGGUUGCUAGUUGCAUUAGCUCAAAUCAGAUCAUAUUGCCAUGUCAUAUUCAUGCAUAAUAUUGUCGCAUUGCAUUGAUUGUGUUCUUCCUUGUUUGCCGGUGUUUGUCCCCUCUCGAUAGACGUGGUUCCGACGAUGUGAUCGAUGACACCGAUGAAGAUCUAUACUAUCUUCAGAAGUGCCAGGCAAGCAAAACCCCCUUGUUCAUUCCGAUACAAUCCCACCCUCUCGCUCCUGCUCCAUUUUACUGCAUUAGGACAACAACGAUACAACUGUUACUUGAUGCGGUAGUUGAACCCCUUUAUCCUCUGCAUGACCUGUCAUUGCCACAGUAAAUAGAUGAAACCCACUGGCAUGAGUAGGAGUUGUUUGAGCCCUGAUGUGCCUACUCAUUCAUGCUUGUUUGUCAUGCCUGCUAUUGCUUAGAGUUGUGUCAGGUCUGAUUCAUCAGGGAUGAAUUGGAGGUGUGUGAACAUGUCCUACUGUGUGUGAGCUAAGUGUGUGAACACGAUUUGGUAAAGGUAGCGGUGAGAGGCCAUGUAGGAGUACAUGGUGGGUUGUCUCAUUGAAACCGUCCUCAGGAACUGAGUUCUGUGUUUGUGAUCCAUGAACAACUACUAUCACACAUUGGAAUGCUUAAGUGCCCCUCUCGACUUAUUAAUCAACAUGAUCUCUGUCCAGGAGUUGCAACUAGUUUCUGGUGUUUGUAGGUAGUGUUAGUAGUCUACCAAGUGGCACCCGGUACAGGUGGGCUUGGGACAGACUAGGCACAGUGGCCCGGUGUACCAAGUGGCACCCGGAUGGUGGGCUUGGGAACCCUGCACACAUCGUUUGGGGCCGUGAGCGACACCCCGGCCGGAUCUCCUUGCGGAUGGAACCCGAAUAGGCGAUAAACCUGGAUUAGAGACUUGUGUGGUUAGUCAGGUCGUGGCCGACUCCCUCGCCAGGCAUCCGCUUGAAGGUUGCCGAGAUACACGACGUGUACAUGGUGGUAAGUGGCGAGAGCAUGUGUGAAGAAGUACACCCCUGCAGGGUUAAUAUGAUCUAUUCGAAUAGCCGUGUCCGCGGAAAAGGACUUCUGGGUUGCCUGUACAGUUCAUAGACAAGUGAAAGUGGAUACUCUAAAAUGCGCAAGAUAAGCGUGAGUGCUAUGGAUGGCGUUCUCGUAGGGAGAUAGGAGCAGAUCCAUAAUGGUGUAUUGAUAUGGUGAAUAUGUGGACUCGUGUGCGCCACCUCAAAAGAGUUACUUGCAGUCAAACUCCACCACCCCUUUAUUGAUAAUGAUGCAUAUGUAGUUAGUUCUGAUGUAAGUCUUGCUAGGUACAUUUGUACUCACGUUUUCCUAUUUUAUGUUUUUGCAGAGACUUCCGUCUCACUAGUAGUUCCGCGUGGACUUCGACGUUUAGCUUGUUACCUCAGCUACGAUCUUGUGCCCUCGGCAGGAUCUAGUAGAUAGUCAGGCUUCUCAGCCUUUUUCAUUUAUAGUUGUCUGUACUCAUACAUGUUGAGCUUCCGCUUGUGCUUUGACUUGUGUGCUCUGAAUGUUGGGUCGUGAGACCCCUGUUUGUAAUAUCUCGCUCAUCGGAGCCUAUUGAAUAAAAUACUUGAGUUGUAGAGUCAUGUUGUGAUGCCAUGUUGUAUUUGCACAUAUCGAGCAUAUUGUGUGUAUGUUAUUGAAAUGCUUGGUAUGUGUGGGAUCUGACUAUCUAGUUGUUUAUCCUUAGUAGCCUCUCUUACCGGGAAAUGUCUCCUAGUGCUUCCACUGGGCCAUGGUAGCUUGCUACUGCUCCGGAACACUUAGGAUGGCCGGCAUGUGUCCUUCUUCGUUCAUGUGUCUGUCCCCUCGGGGAAAUGUCACACGAUGAAUACCGGAGUCCUGUUAGCCCGCUACAGCCCGGUUCACCGGAGUCCUGCUAGCCCAGUGCUACAGCCUGGAUUAACUCGCUGAUGACCGACACGUUCGAUGCUGGGUCAUGGAUGCCUGUCCCUGUAAGUUUGUGCCACUUUGGGUUUACGACUAGCCAUGUCAGCCCGGGCUCCUUAUCAUAUGGAUGCUAGCGACACUAUCAUAUACGUGUGCCAAAAGGCGCAAACGGUCCCGGGCAAAGGUAAGGCGACACCCGUGGGGAUACCAUGUGUGAGGCCGCAAAGUGAUAUGAGGUGUUACAUGCUAGAUUGAUGUGGCAUUGAGUCGGGGUCCUGACACUAGGGAUCAAACCCUAACAAAACUAACUUGAUUACAUGGUAAAUCUCAUCCAACCCAUCACCGUCCAGUAAGCCUACGAUGGAAUUACUCACGCACGGCGGUGAGCAUCAUGAAAUUGGUGAUGGAGGAUGGUUGAUGAUGACGACGACGACGAAUCCCCCUCUCCGGAGCCCCGAACGGACUCCAGAUCAGCCCUCCCGAGAGGUUUUAGGGCUUGGCCGCGGCUCCGUAUCGUAAAACGUGACGAAACUUCAUCUCUGAUUUUUUUUCUUCGUGAAACGGAAUAUAUGGAGUUGGAGUUGAGGUCGGUGGAGCAUCAUGGGGCCCACGAGACAGGGGCACGCCCUAUAGGUGGGCGCGCGCCCCACCCUCGUGGACAGGGUGUGGGCCCCCUGGCCUUCAUCUUUUGCCAGUAUUUUGUAUAUAUUCUGAAACUUAUCUCCGAGGAUUUUCAAGUCAUUCUGAGAACUUUUGUUUCUGCGCAAAAAUAACACCAUGGCAGUUCUGCUGAAAACAACGUCAGUCCGGGUUAGUUUCAUUCAAAUCAUGCAAGUUAGAGUCCAAAACAAGGGCAAAAGUGUUUGGAAAAGUAGAUACGUUGGAGACGUAUCAACUCUCCCAAGCUUAAACCUUUGCUUGUCCUCAAGCAAUUCAGUUGACAAACUGAAAGUGAUAAAGAAAAACUUUUACAAACUCUGUUUGCUCUUGUUGUUGUCAAUAUGUAAAGCCAACAUUCAAGGUUUCAGCAAAGAUUAUGAACUAACGAUAUUCUCAAUAACACUCAGGUCUCAUGUAUACUCAUAUCAAUGUCAUAAUCAACUAGCAAGCGAUAAUAAUAAAACUCGGAUGACAACACUUUCUCAACACAAUCAUAAUAUGAUAUAACAAAAUGGUAUCUCGCUAGCCCUUUUUGAGACCGCAAAACAUAAAUGCAGAGCACCUUUAAAGAUCAAGGACCGACUAAACAUUGUAAUUCAUGGUAAAAGAGAUCCAGUCAAGUCAUACCCAAUAUAAACUAAUAGUAAUGCAUACAAAUGACAGUGUGCUCUCCAGCGGGUGCUUUUUAAUAAGAAGGUGAUGACUCAACAUAAAAGUAAAUAGAUAGGCCUUUCGCAGAGGGAAGCAGGGAUUUGUAGAGGUGCCAGAGCUCGAUUUUAAAAUAGAGAGAUAAAUAACACUUUGAGCGGCUUACUUUCACUGUCAACGCAACAACUAUGAGAUGGCGAUAUCUUCCAUACUACAUGCAUUAUAGGCGGUUCCCAUGCAGAAUGGUAAAGUUUAUACUCCCCCACAACCAACAAGCACACUCCACGGCCAUCCGAAACAACGGCGUACCGUCCAUACCAACAACAGCCCUGGGGGAGUUCUGUUUUAAUUAUUUUGAUUUGCUUUGAUAUUUUUGAUCAUGGGACUGGGGAUCCCGGUUACCAGCCAUUUUCUCGUAAAUUAGGAGCGGAGUCGACUCGUCUUGAGAAUAACCCACCUAGCAUGGAAGAUACAGACAACCCUAGUUGGAACAUGGGCUGUUCGAGCAAACAAAAUAGAAUUUCAUUUGAAGGUUUGGAGUUUGACUCAUAUGGAAUAACUUUGGGGUUCAAGGGAUUUGGAUGCACAAGCAGUAUUCCCGCUUAGUACAGGUGAAGGCUAGAAAAAGACUGGGAAGCGACCAACUGAGAGAGCGACAAUAGUCAUGAACAUGCAUUAAAAUUAAUCAACACUGAGUGCAAGCAUGAGUAGGAUAUAAUCUACCAUGAACAUAAAUAUCGUGAAGGCUAUGUUGAUUUUGUUUCAACUACAUGCGUGAACAUGUUCCAAGUCGAGUCACUCAAUGCAUUCAAAGGAGGAUACCAUCUCAUCAUACCACAUCACAAUCAUUUUAAUAGCAUGUUGGCACGCAAGGUAAACCAUUAUAACUCAUGGCUAAUUAAGCAUGGCAUAAGUAACUAUAAUCUCUAAAUGUCAUUGCAAACAUGUCUACUUCAUAAUAAGCUGAAUCAAGAAUGAUGAACUCAUCAUAUUUACAAAAACAAAAGAGGUCGAGUUCAUACCAGCUUCUCUCAUCUCAAUCAAUCCAUCAUAUAUCGUCAUUAUUGCCUUUCACUUGCACGACUAAACGAUGUGUGUAAUAAUAAGAGUGCAUGUGCGUUGGACUAAGCUGGAACCUGCAAGCAUUCAAUUCAAGAGAGAAGAGAAAAUAAUAUGGGCUCUAGAUUAAAUCAACCAUCAUGCAUAUGCGAGCCACUAAACAUUCUUUCAGUAUGGUCUUCUACUCUUGACCCCCAAAGGAAAGAAAAGAAAUAAAACUAUUCACACGGGAAAGCUCCCAACAAGUAAAAGAACGGGAAAUCUUUUUGGGUUUUCUUUUAAUUAUUACUACAAGCUUGGAAUUAAAACUAACUAAUUUUUUUGGUUUUUCUUAAGAUUUAUCAAACACACAAGAAGAAAACUAGAAAAAGGAUUUAAACUAGCAUGGAUAGUAUAAUCAAAGAGUAUGAGCACUGACGUCUAGAAUAGUGUGUGAACAUGAAUAUAAAGCCGGUGGGAAAUACGUACUCCCCCAAGCUUAGGCUUUUGGCCUAAGUUGGUCUAUGGCCAUGGAUAGCCUGACUGAUAUCCGAGUUGUAACUGGGGUCGUACUGAGAUGCAGCAGUCAUUGCCUCCUGCGCUGCUGCCUGACGGCGGGCUGCCUCCGCCCUCCUCUCUUGUUCAUUUGCCUCCUCCCUGGUGACUACAUAACUUCGUUUUGCCUGAUAAUCAAAAAGGGUAGGAGCAGGGAGAGUAAUAUGGAUGACACGGCGUCUGUCAAAAGAUUAGUCGAUAUUGGAGGAAUUGAUCAUUCCUUUCGAGGAAUUGAUGACUAAUCAUAGCAUUAUGAUCUAAAUAAGCAGGAAGCAAUUUCAUAUCAUUUUCAUGUAUAGGUAUCUCAAGAUAAUUAGCCACACGAGUUGCAUAAAUUCCUCCAAAAAAGUUUCCAGCUAAAGCAUUAUGAUGCAACCUACGUGCAACAAUUGCCCCCAAGUUGUAUUGUUUAUUACCUAGUACAACGCUUUUGAGAACACACAAAUCAGGGACACACAUGUGACAUGCUUCAUCUUUACCAUUAACACAUCUACCAAUGAAGAGAGCAAAAUAAUGUAUAGACGGAAAAUGAAUGCUCCCUAAGGUAGCUUGUGCUAUGUCCCUAGAUUCUCUCACAGUGAUAUUUGCAACAAAAUCUUUAUAUGCAGAUUUACUAGGUUCAUUAACACUUCCCCACUGCGGGAGUUUGCAAGCAGUAGUAAAAUCUUCUAGGUUCAUGGUAUAAGAUUUGUCAUAGAUAUCAAACAGGACACUUUGAGAAUUGCGCGAAGAUGUAUAUUUAAACCUUCUCACAAAUGAAUCAGUUAAGUACUGGUACUGCGGGCACUUAUCUUGCAUGAACUCCUCAAGGUAGGCAUUACGCACAUAUGCAUCAAAUUCAUCCUUGAUACCCGCUGCAACCAUAAAUGGCUCUGACGGCCAUUCACAAGGCCGCAUAUCAGCUUCCCUUGGUAGUUUGUCGUCAAGCUCACGUAUUACGAGUCGGGGUCCUUUCUUCCUUGAAGAACCUCCUUGGUACAUUUUCCUAAACAUAUUUCUUUUUCUGCAAUAUUUCUGAAAUUUUUAGUAACUUCAAAAUAAAAGUAAAUAAAACUGAACAAGAUUGAUAGCAACUAUUCCUGCAAGUGCCUAGAGCCUAUAUCAUGCAUUAGAAUUACUUGGGACCUCAUAAAUUUAACAUGCAAACUCAAGAACAGGGUCACCAAGGAAGCAAGGAUUUGCAAUGAAUAAAGCACUAGAACAAAAACUAAUUGGAUCAAUGGAGGAGUCACAUACCAAGCAACAAUCUUCCAAAGCAGUUUUGUGAAUGGGGCUUUGAGCAAGGAGAUCGAAAAUUGCAGCAAAAUGAGCUGGAACUCGUUCUUGAGAAGGAUGAUGAUUUGUUUGGGAGGAAUAAGAAGUGUGUGGGUGCAGGAAUAAGUGGAGGGGGUCCACCAUGGGCCCACGAGACAGGGGGCGCGCCCUAUGGGGGGGCGCCCUCCACCCUCGUGGCCUGGUGCUUGACCCCCUGCAGUAAGUUUAGUGCCUAAAAUCCUCAAAUAUUCCACAAAAAAUCAUACUAAAUUUGCAGGGAAUUUGGAGCACUUUUAUUUUUGGGAUAUUUUUUUAUUGCAUGGAUAAUUCAAAAAACAGACAAAAAAUUUUAUUUCUACUUUAUUUAUUCUAAGUAAUAGAAAGUAAAAAGAAAGUACAGAAGGUUGUGCCUUCUAGUUUCAUCCAUCUCAUGAUCAUCAAAAGGAAUCCACUAACAAGGUUGAUCAUGUCUUGUUAACAAACUCAUUCUGAAUCACAUGAAACUGGAGAAAUUUCGAAGCGACACUAGGUUACCUCAACGGGCAUAUGAACAUCCCCAAUAAUAAGAAUAUCAUACUUUUUCUUUGCAGUAGGAAGAGGAAAUUCAAAACCUCCAAAUAUAAUUGAUGGAACUUUCCCAAUAGAAUUUAUGCUGUGAACUUGAGGUUGUUUCCUCGGAAAAUGUACCGUGUGCUCAUCUCCAUUAACAUGAAAGGUGACAUUGCCUUUGUUGCAAUCAAUAACAACACCUGUAGUGUUUAAAAAGGGUCUACUAAAGAUAAUCGACAUAUUGUCGUCCUCGGGAAUAUCAACAGUGACGAAGUCUAUUAAGAUAGUAACGUUUGCAACAACAACAGGCAUGUCCUCACAAAUGCCGACAGGUAUGGCAGUUGAUUUGUCAUCCAUUUGCAAGGAUAUCACAGUAGGUGUCAACUUACUUAAUUCAAGUCUACGGUACAAGGAAAGAGGCAUAACACUAACACCGGCUCCUAAAUCACAUAAGGCAGUUUUAACAUAAUUUCUUUUGAUGGAGCAAGCUAUAGUGGGUACUCCGGGAUCACCAAGUUUCUUAGGUAUUCCACCCUUAAAGGUAUAGUUGGCAAGCAUGGUGGAUAUUUCAGCUUCAGGUAUUUUCCUUUUAUUAGUGAUGAUAUCUUUCAUGUAUUUAGCAUAAGGGUUUGUUUUAAGCAUAUCAGUUAAGCGCAUGCGUAAGAAAAUAGGUCUAAUCAUUUCAGCAAAACGCUCAAAGUCCUCAUCAUCUUUGUCUUGGACGGUUUAGGUGGAAAAGGCAUGGGUUUUUGAACCCAUGGUUCUCUUUCUCUAUCAUGUUUCCUAGCAACAAAAUCUCUCUUAUCAUAAUGGUGGUUUCUUGAUUGUGGGUUAUCAAGACCAACAGCAGGUUCAAUUUCUAUAUCAUUAUUAUUACUAGGUUGAGCAUCUACAUGAACAUCAUUAUUAGCAUUAUCAUCAGGUUCAUGUUCAUCUCCAGAUUGUGUUUCAGCAUCAGAGAUAGAAGUAUCAUUAGGAUUCUCAGGUGUUUCUACAUUAGGUUCACUAGAAGCAUGCAAAGUACUAUCAUUUUUCUUUUUCUUCUUCUUAGAAGAACUAGGAGCAUCUAGAUUGUUAUUAUGAGAAUCUUGUUCAAUUCUCUGAGGGUGGCCUUCAGGAUACAAAGGUUCCCGAGUCAUUCUACCAGUUCUAGUAGCCACUCUAACAGCAAAAUCUGGUUUAUUAUAUUAAUCAAGCAAUUCAUUCUGAGCUUUAAGUACUUGUUGAGCUUGAGUGGUGACCAUAGAGAGAUGCUUGCUAGUAAGUUUAAGUUCACCUUUAAAUCUAGCCAUAUAAUCACUCAAGCGUCCAAUCAUAUAAACAUUAUUUUUCAGUUGUCUACUAACAUAAUCACUGAAAUUUGCUUGUUUCUCCAUAAAGUCAUCAAAUUCAUCUAAGCACAGGCUACGAAAUUUAGUAGAUGGGAUUUCAACUUUAUCAUAUCUAUAGAGAGAAUUUACCUUCACUACAUGUGUCGGGUUAUCAAGACGAUAUGUUUCUUCAACAUGCGGUAUAUUAAGACCAUGUAUUUGUUCAAUAGGAGGUAGAUUCUUAACAUCUUCAGCUUUAAUACCUUUUUCUUUCAUUGAUUUCUUUGCCUCAUGCAUAUCUUCAGGACUGAGAAAUAGAACACCUCUCUCCUUCGGAGUAGGCUUAGGAAUAGGCUCAGGAGUUGGCUCAAUUGGUUCAUGUAUUGCCUCAGGAAUUGGCUCAGGAAGAGUCUAGUUAUUUUCAUUUGCCAGCAUAUUAUUCAAUAAUAAUUCAGCUUGGUCGACUGUUCUUUCCCUGAAAACACAAUCAGCACAACUAUCCAAGUGGUCCUUGGAAGCAUCGGUUAGUCCAUUAUAAAAGAUAUCAAGUAUUUCAUUUUUCUUAAGAGGAUGAUCGGGCAAAGCAUUUAGUAAUCGGAGAAGCCUCCCCCAAGCUUGUGGGAGAUUCUCUUCUUUGAUUUUCACAAAUUAUAUAUUUCCCGCAAGGCAGCUUGUUUCUUAUGAGUAGGGAAAUAUUCAGCAGAGAAGUAAUGAAUCAUAUCCUGGGGACUACGCACGCAACCAGGAUCAAGAGAAUUAAACCAAGUUUUAGCAUCACUGUCGGAGUAAUUGACCACGGGUACCUCGAAGACAGCAAGACAAUAUUUCAACACAUCGGGGAUAGCAAAGCCCCUCGGUCCGACUGCCCGGCUGUCCCUACCGACUGCCGACUGCACCAACCAGCCAGCUGCCGACUGUAGCUCGACCGACACCGACAAGACAUCGACGAGACGGCCAUACCGCGAUGUCAUCUACAGUGUACCGUGUCCCCUGGGUACUGAUUUAUAAAGUACCCCAGGGGACAAGCAUGACAUGCACCAUGCCUAGGCCAUGCCACUACAUAGCUUGGUUUGUAAGCUACCCAAGGUAGCUUACAACCAACGCUACCACCACCCAUGCCUACCUCACACUAUAAAAGCUAGCUCCAUCCAUCCAUCAGGGGAUGGACUCACACACUCUCACGCAUGAGCACUCACAUGCUCACGGCUAUGAGCGCAUGGCCGGCCACUAGCUAGCUCACAUACACAUAUGAGACAUAUACCAAGCCAGAUGCUUAUGCCACGGAGCUCAGAUACAGCUCUAGGAGCACUCUGUACCAGAUAUACCAGAUACACUCAUACAUGCAGCAGUAGGAGUAUUAUCUCUCUGGAGAGCUCCCAAGCUGGGUAAACCACCGCGUGCUACUCUCAUACCCGCUCCCGGGCCUAUCAGCAGCAGUCUUACCGACACACUAAGCCCUUGUGGCAUCUGUCGACUCGCAAGCCCCCUGUGAUAAUACCAUGAAAGUUGGCGCCCACCGUGGUGUGGUACUUUGCUACCACGCUGAUGCUGGUUUCGUAGUCUGGGCGGGACCAUCUUUGUCAUCUCCGCCGCGGCGUCGCGCCGUCUCUCCGGUAGCGCUCGGGGGCUCGACUUCGACCCGCCCCCGGAGCGGCCGUGCGGGACGGCGCGUCCUCGUCGUUGGCCUCGCCACCUUCGUCAUCACCACCACUGCGACGCCGGCCGUCCGUCCGCACGCGCGCCGCGCCACCUCACUUCGGUUGGCCGUAUCCAUCUCGAGCCGCAUGGCCGCCCACCUCUCCAGCUAUGACGCGCCGCCAUGCACAUGCUCGUGUGCAUGCCCGUGCACUCCCGGUCGUCUCCGGCGAGUUCGGUCGCUAGCCACCUAACAAGGCAGCAGGCGCUCUACUCCUCAACACACAAAAAAGCUCCUCAUAAUCCCCGUACACUCCUCCAUACAUGAGCUAUACGCUAGACAGUCUAAGCCCCGACAAUGGCGUAUUUUAUGUUGUACCUCGCACAUCUGCAUCUGCUCAAACUCCUCUGGUAGUUCGCCUCCUUCUCCACUCCUGUGCGCGUCCCCAGCAUUAUCUUCGUCAUUGUGGUUUGUUCUGCUCGGUCCGUCCCACUGCUCGCUGCUCUGCAACUCGCCCGACUGCUUAGCCCGAUGUUGCUUUGCGUCGUCCCGAGUCGCCCCGCGCCGUUGCACCCCGACGCCGGCCUGGCGUACCGCGCCACCCAGCGCUUGCCCGGCCGUCCGCGUCGCCUCGUCCAGCUCUGCGCCCGCGUGCGCCGCCCGGGUUCCCUGCAGCUCGGCCGGCCCCCCCAGCGCGUUCGUUGGCUCUCGCGCUGACCGGUUUCCGCGGGCUCGCCGUCGCGCCGUGUCCUUUGCGCUCGCCGGCACCAGCACGCGCAGGGUCCCCCGCCUCCGCCCCAGCACGCCUCCUGCUGGGUCGCCACGCCAUGCGCCUGGUCCGGCUCCUCCGCCUGCAGUGUCGGGUCCGACCUUCCUCGCCUCCGCGUAGCCGGCUGUUGCCGCGGCCGGCCCCCGCCGGCUCCGCCGGCUCCGCCUUCCCAGCCUCUGGUUCGCUACGCCGGGCCGCCUCCGCACCCUGGUCGCCUGCGAGCUCCGCCUGCUCCGGCCGGCCUCCGCCUGGAGGCUCCCCGCGCUGCCCCUCCCACUCCGAGUCCGGCUCCUACCACUCGCCCCUACGCCCACGCACUCGGCUCCCGGGCGCCAGCACCAGCCGGCUGCCCAGCGGCCCCGCACGUCGCCUCGACCCACGGUCCCGCGCCCGGCAGCGCCGUCCUCCGUGUCGCCUCUGCUCCGCCUGCGGCGGCCGCCCUCCCCCCGCAGUUGGCCCGGCUUCGGCCGCCUGCGACCCUGAACGAGGCCGCACCCGCGCUCCUCUAGAUGCGCCCUCCGCGGCCCUCGUCGCUGCACCAUCCCGGCUCCCGCCCGCUCUGGCCGGCUCCGGCAUCCGCCAUCGCCCCUGGCCGACUCCCCGCCUGGCCGCCUCCGCUUGCGGACGCCUGCCGCCCACUCCGGCUCGGCGCCCCGCCGAGAGGCGCCCCAGCCGGCUGCUCCGUGCAGAAAGAAAGGGACGGGCUGCCCCACGCGAGGGAUAGAAAGAGAAAAAGAAAAAUAAAAAAAGAGAGAGAGAAAGGAUCCGGCUGGAGUAAAAAGCAAAGGGCCGACUUCCCGCUAGCCGGCUGGAAAAGAAGAAAAGCGGCUGGGUGCCCAUCCGGCUACAGAAAAGAAAGAAGAGGCCGGCUGCUACGCUCCCACUGAGGCCGCCUGCUGCGGUUGUGUGCCGAAGAAGAAAAGAAAAGAAAAGCCUGAUGAGGUCGGGUGCUCGGGCAAAAUAAAAGAGGCUGAGUGCCCAAUUCGGCCGAGAAGAGGCUGAGUGCCCAAAAAAAGAGGAAGGAUCCAACUGCGCAGACUGCUGCCCCGCCGAUUGCUCUGAUCGACCGCCCGCGUCGCUGCUCGGCCGGCUGGGUCGUCUGCCCGCUUCGCUGCAUGGCCGACCGACAAGCCGGUCCAGCUGCGAACAGUUGGCUGAAGAAAAAAAGACAGUAGUCGUCGGAGAUCCGGCCCGACUGCUCAGCAGUUGGUCCGAAUCUUGGGGGCUACACUCGGCGGGUGCACUGAUGCGCCCCCGCGAGGACGAAGACAAAGUAGUUGCCGGGAGAUCCGGCCCAACUGCUCAGCAGUUGGCCCGAAUCUCGGGGGCUACACCCGGCGGGUGCGCUGGCGCGCCCCCGCGAAGAUUGCAGACAAGAGAAGAGUUUUGUCUGGCUGCCAGCAGCCGGCAGAAGAGAAAAAGAAGAAGAAGGGCGUUGCAAGACGCCUCGCCGUCUGGACGGUCGAGCCUGACCGGACGGGACCCCCCUUCGAGCGCCCGGGGGCUCGAAGGCUACACCCGGCGGGUGCGCUGACGCACUCCGCGAGCGCCGAAUCGCGCCGGCUGUCUUCGACGACCGCGACUACAUGAAAAUCAAUGUGAGCUCCUCGCCCGCAUAUUUUUGCAUCACGCAAGCAUGGAUAACCUCGAGCGAUGCUCGGGGGCUAUCUCUGCAUUUUAAUUACAGUUGCGUCACUGUUCGCCCUGGCGCCAGCCAGAGUUGGCCCGGGGGCUGGCCGCUUGGCCUGAGACAUUAGUUCCCGCAGACGGCUUAGUAGAAUGCGCAGUACCAAAGGCCCACUCUUAGUCACAGACCGUAGAGCGGCUGUCCGGCUAGCAAGGGUGAACGCUGGAGGCCACCCACGUGAAAAACGUCCCGGAAGAAAAACAGUUCGGGCGACCCGGUCGUUUCUUUUAUGAGUAUCUACUCGGUUGAAUCUGCUCCUAGACUCUAAGUACUUUACACUCCACUUCGCGGCCCACUCUUAGCCUCAAGAAUCUACGUGCCGCCUAGUCGAUCGUUGACGAGCUCAACGGACUGGGGGCCGACGAGCUCCCCUACAUGACCAGACGCAUCCAGCAGCUGAUCGACGCGGCCGCAGCACGGCACGAAGCCGGCGUCCGAGCUGGAAGCCCCCCUCGCCGAGAGCAUGGCGCGACGUUGCAAACACCAACUGCGGGAGGCGCCCGUGCGAGACAAGAGAAGGAGCCAGCUGCUAGCCGCAGCCGGACACGAAUCACCAUCAAGCGCGACGCGGAAGGCCGUCCCCGAGGCGUGGAGAGACGAGGCGACUUGCCCCAUCCUCCACCUCGCGGGGAGAGAUAUCCCACCCCGCCGCCUAUCGAGCAUCCGACUCUCAGCGGCUGACUUGGUCGCCGCGAAGGAGUCGGCGAAAAUGACCCCCGCCAUCGGAUCGACCGCCUUGCGCGAUCCCUGGCUCUAGAAGAAGAAUACGAUGUCGGCCCGCCUUGUUUCGGCCCCCGCAUCAGCGACGAACCCUUCCCCAAAGGGUUCUCGCUCCCAAGAGACACGCCCAAGUAUAACGGCUCCGUGAAGCCAGAGGACUGGUUGAUCGACUACUCCACCGCGGUUCGCAUAGCGAACGGCAACCGGCGCGUUGCCAUGAAAUAUGCCCCCCUGAUGCUCCAAGGCACGACAUGUACCUGGCUCAACAGCCUGAAGCCUUACAGCAUCAACAGCUGGCUCUUCUUCAUGGAAGCCUUCAUCCGCAACUUCACCAGCACUUACAAGCGGGCUCCCAAGCCCCGGCAGCUCUCCUUGUGCGUACAAGGACCCACCGAGUCGACUCGCGACUACCUCACGCGUUGGGCCGAGCUCUGAAACUCCUGCGAAGGGGUGCACGAGGUUCAGGCAAUCGAGUACUUCAUAGCCGGGUGCCGAGAGGGCACCCUCCUCAAGCACCGACUCCUCUGCGACGAGCCGACUACCCUUGACGAGCUAUUUAUCAUCGCGGACAAAUACGCCACGGCCGACUCCUUCAUGAAGACCGAGCUCCGAGUCGACGCCUCUGGGAAAGUGCUUGCGCCGGCUCCCAAGACGCCGGCUGGGGAGUCCACCCGGCGCCCGUACCAGAACGACAACAAGCGCAAGGCCCCGAUGCCGCCUUCCACUAGUCGGUAGGUGGCCACGGUCGAAGAAGAGCAACCUGAGGGACGGACGGCUCCCAAGAAACAGAAGGGCGGCAGGCCGGCUUGGCAGCCGGCUUUCUACUACGAGCAGACCCUCGACGCCCCCUGCAAGUUCCACAGCGGCGCGAAGCCGUCCAACCAUACGACCCGGAAGUGCCACUGGCUCACCCGGAUCUCCAAGGGCGAGGGGUUGUUGCCGCCUCCACCUGCGGGCCAGCCGCCUCCUGCCCCCCAGCAGCCGGUCGCUCAGCCAGCAGUCGGAGCCGUUCACGACGAGUUCCCUGACGAGCAUGCCGCCUACAUCGUCUUCACAAGCCAACCAGACAAUCAGCAAAGUCGGCACCGACAACACCAAGAAGUCAACGCGGUCGCCUCCAGUAACCCAGAGUUUAUGCACUGGUCGGAGAAGCCCAUCAGCUGGAGCCGGGACGACCACCCAGAGGUGAUGCCGUCUCUGGGCUUCUAUGCCCCUGUUCUGGAUGCUACCCUGGCGGCAGAGAGACACGUCGCUCGUUUCUCCCGCGUGCUGAUAGACGGCGGGAGCAGUAUCAACAUACUGUACCGAGACAUAAUGGAGAAGCUCAAAUCAAGCCGAAGCAACUCAUGCCUAGCCGGAUUGUGUUCCAUGGCAUCGUACCCGACCUGUCCUGCUCACCAAUCGGCAAGAUCAAGAUGGAUGUCCUCUUUGGAGACAAGGAUCAUUUCUGCCGAGAGGCAAUAUGGUUCGAGGUAGUGGAUUUGGAGAGCCCAUACCACGCACUGCUUGGCCGACCAGCGUUGGCCAAGUUUAUGGCUGUGCCCCACCAUGCCUACCUCAAGAUGAAGAUGUCGAGUUCCAAGGGCAUUAUCACCAUAGCCGGAGACUACAAGAAGUCUUCUGAGUCACUACAAGAAAUAUGUCAACUUGUGACCACCACUAUUGAUCACUGAAAGGUCACUGUUUUCAAUUUGUGACCUUUUUGUGACAAAAAACAUAAGGUCAAAAGCUGAGGGUCGUUAACUGACUAUAGCGACCUUUCUUCUGGAAUGGUCGAAGACGUUUAUGACCAAAAUAUGUCCACUGUGGCGUUUUGGUAACUAGCAACCUCCCCAGGCCAUGUAGGCAUCCAGCGUGGCAAGCUUAUGUGGCACAAGAUUCAGCCCGGUCCAAUUCGGUGUUUAUAUGGGCCGGGCCCAUUAAUUCAGCCCAUUUAUAUUUUUUUCCCUAUGAUUUUUUUGUCAGCUUCAUGGACCAAGCCCAACAUUGCAUCCUUUUUAUUUUUGGGCCAUGGCCUUUUAGUCUACAGAUUUUCUAUUUUGAUUUUCUAUUUUCAACUAUUAUAUAUUCAAGCUGGUCCCACUAGUCAGAUGGGUCCAACCUGUCAUGUUCAUCUCUCAAAUUGGUCCCACAUGUCAAAAAUAUACAAAUUUGACAAAUUAUUUUCAUAAGUGGCCUCACUGGACAAGUUUCCAUUUCACAAGUUUUCAAAUCACAUAUAUAAUCAAUAUUUCAAAUAGAACAAAGAACACAUAAAAUUCAUCAAAUAUACCACUAAAUAAAUGUAUUACAAUCUUUACAACACAUAUAUGCUACAAUGAGUUGGACUUCACGGCUUCACACUUGGCUUCACACUUGCUUCACACUUCACGACUUCACACUUGAGCUUCUGUAAAGGAGGAACCACCACAAUUUUAAGUCUACAAUACAAUAAUUGAUACUAAUCAAGGAUAAAAACAAAAACAAGUAAUAGGUUCAAAUGAGAAGGCAACAUGAAACUAGUGAUACAACGACAUGCAGAAAACACUACAAUGUAAUACUGUUGUAAGUUCAUAUCAGCACAAAAUCAACACUGUUAUAUAGAGCAAAUGAUAUGCCCCCUUUUAAUAAAACUGUAGUGUAUGCUAGUGACAGGACAAGGGAUUGUAGUGUAUGCUAGUGACAAAACAUGGGAUAAGACUAAUAUGAUGUGCCAAAUUGCCAGCAAUAGUGCUUACAUGCAGCAUCUUCAUAUUUCAAAACGACCAAUAGACUAGUUAGCUGGCAAAACACUAAAGAAGGCAUAGACAGAAACGAAGGUAACAUGCAUCAAAUCAAAAAAUAGUAAGCACUGAACCUACAUCAUAUCUACACCAAUCAGGUUGCAUGUGUAUGCUAGAAAUCAAGAAUCAAAAGGACUUCAGCUUGUUUCAAAUAUCUUGCCUCUGUUGCUCCCAGUUCAGUAAAGAAAUGGUCGAGCAGUGAGCGCUUCGUUUCAAGAACUUGACAGUGCAAAAUAGAUUUCGGGUGGAGCACAAAUAGAAUACCUGGAAAAGAAACAUAAAGAGCUAUACAGUUAAGUAAGCAUCAUUGGCUGUACAAAUAAGUGGAGAACAAUAAAGAGCUGUACAGUCUGUUCAGAACAAUAAAGAGCUAUACAAAUUCAUAUUCAAGUUUGACUACAUGCUAACAGACUCAUGAUCAAGUUUGACUACAAGCUAACAUAUCAUUGUGAAUACAGAUGAUUUUCGGACUAGAACCGUUGCGCAAGUUCAGGUCAUUUGAAGUUUUGACAACAAGCUACAAAAUCUAGUUAAAUCAAUAGUAGUAUUGCAAGCAACAAAUAGACUCUCAGAGCAGAACCAAUGCACAAGAACGGACCAGCAACUACUAGGCCCAACAACUAAGAUAUGUAGGAAAUUUCAGAUGUAUCACUUCAUAGAUCAAGCAUAGGCGCAACAUAAAAGGCUCAUGAGCGCUACAAAGUCUGAACGAUUCAGCAGGAAGCGAGCAGAAUCAAUCAACUAGACAUGCGGAUAACAGAGGCGCAGGGGAAGAAGCUCCUGCACCGACAGAAGCAGACACAAUCUGGUCCCACCAAUAGGUCAGCCAUGCCAACAUCUCCAGAGAACAUAGGAGCAAUGCUGUCAGAAAUCUUAAGCUUCUCCAUAACAGGAUCGUGCCCAACAAGACCGACUUGGUGUAGAAUCAUCCCAGUCUAUCUGCAGGCAGAUACAUUAAACAACAAAGUCAAGGAAAAUGAAACUGAAACAAAGCAAACAUAAUGGUUGGAUACGAGCAGAAUCAUGGGAGACAGCUAUAAUAUAAAGAAUACAAUAAGAUAUAAAAUCAGCCGGCAGAAUCAUGGAAGUACCACAAGAUUACAUUGCACCAAGCCACAACAUAAACCAUAAGUUAUUAUUGUUCACCGCUAGCUACUGAUGUAAUAAAAACAUUAACAAGUGGAGUUGUUAUCGUUCACCACUAGCUACUGAUGUAAUAAAAACUGAUGCAACAGUAGAAACCGGCAUCCAAAAGGGCAUGCAAACAAUUCAUACCAAAAUCAUAUAUGCCCCAUGCUAGGAGAACCAGAGCAUCACAGAGUACUACUGACUGACCCCAAAACAGAGCAUCACAGCAAAAGACUUAACCAGGGGCCACCCAUCCACAUAACCCACCAUCCCAAGAUCUCAAUUCUCACGGGUAAAAAGCAAGCAAGAAGACCAGAUCACCUAGGGCGUGGUCUGCUUGUACUUGGACACCUCAGUGAGUAGCUUGUUGUAGGUGGCCUGGUCGAAGAUGCAUAUCAUUCAGUUACCAGUAGCAAUCCUUGUAGGUGCAUAUUUACCACAUCAAUUGGUAAGUAUACAGACAGAGUUGUGCACUUACUAACUAGUGUGUUGUAUGUUCACCCUUUGCACGCACCCAUGGUCAUUUAAAUCAAACUGAAACAAGCCACCAAUGAUUGGCUAAUCUAGAACAUGGCAGGCAUUUAUAUGAUGGCAGUACAUAGCUAGGAAACAAACAGCAGUCCAUAAUUGCAUCAUCAUGUGUAGAACAAAAUACAGACUCGCCUCUACAGGCUACAACACUAGUAGAGUAGAGAACCAUCCAUAAUAAUUCUACUAUAGGAGACACUGUAAACACAGACUCACACCAUUGACAUAUAUUAUUAUUAAGCCCUAACUAAAAGAUUCUGGUGGCUUAAUUAGUGGGCAGAUGUAUGCAUGCACAAAAAGGGGGACAAUUUUCAAUCAAACUGAAGAAAUAUGCAAAUCAUCCAUUCAGUAACCAGUAGUAAUAAAAUCACAAGAAGACCAGACCAGAGGAUCAUCAUUGUGCACGCACUUGCAUUCGCCAUCAGUCCGCACAAGCAGGCGCAUACACUAUAACAUCACAAGCAGUGGCGCGGCAUAAGCGGAGGAAUUUCACUAGCAAUAAUCAAGCUGAAUGGACUGAAAGCAAACCUAGUUAUCUGGACUCGAAUCAAAUGCAGCCUAAGUGAGCAGCCUCAAUCGCCGGCGUCCGUCCAUCGGGAGCACCUGCCUCUGCCUUGUCUUCUCACCAUGGUACGCACUAGGAUGAGAAGAAGCACGCAGAUGGACGCAGCUGUGCCUUGGCUCGCUCCAUGGCCUGCAUGUCGAAUCAAACCCAACCCAAUCCAAUCCAACACAAGACAAGAAGAAGCACAAGUGAGAAGCAGAGGAGGUGCGCACAGCUGUGGAACAACGAUCGAUUGAGGGAAAUAAGAAGGAAUGCACCGGCGAGAGCACGUACCUUGGAUUGGAUUGGAUUGGACCGGACCGGAGAUGGGCCGGAGGAGGAGGAAGCGACCACGGCCGCAGCCGUGGCGAGCCCUGGGGUUUGGGGCCGGCACAAUGCCAUGGCCAGGAGGCUGCUGCGUCAGUGCAGACCGCCGCCGCCGGUGCCGCCCUCCCGGCUGCUACGGUUGGAUUGGAUGGCCGCGGGUGAGUGGGUCGUCGCGCAUGACGCGGCGAGGACCCGGUGGAGAUGGGGUUCCUGGGCGCCGGGGAUUGCCGGAGUUGGCCGGCGGCCGUGGGGUGGGUUGGAGGAAGGGGAUCGGGACGAGGGGCGGCAGCCUAAGUGAGCGGAUGCGGCGGCGGCGGAGUCGUGGCGGAAGGCGUAGGGGUCGGUGGAGGACGGGAAGUCGUCGCCGCCGCCCCCGGAGACGUGGACGUCGGCCGCCGGGGCCCGGCCGUCGGCGAAGCUGAGGAAGUGGUCGUGGUGGAAGGGAGCGAGAUCGAGAUCGAGAUCUGAGGGAGGGAGAGGGCGGCGGCUGUGGGUGCGUAGGGGAGAGAGGGGAGCAAGAGGACGAGUGGUGCGGGUUGUGUUAGGGUUAGUUGGGUGAGACGAGGAGGGGGUCAAAUGUGCCGUUGGAUCCGGGACGAUCGGACGGCUCAGAUCGUCUACGGUAGGGUGAUCCAGGGGAGACGUCCUGAUUGGUUGGAGACUACCAACAAUAUUUAAAAUAUAGUCUCUAAGUGCUAAAAACAAAGGGGUUUAUGAAACAACUACCAACAAUAUUUUGCAAAAUGGAACUAUUAAAAUUUUCACUCAAGUUAUACCACAUUUUAAGGAUGAUAACCAACUUGUAUGCAUUUUCUUUGGACGAAAAAAAUCAUUUUCCAUUUUUCGAGUGCCCAAAAGGAGGGUUUUUUGUGAAGGACCUCCAAAAUAAUUGUUGCAAAAUUGGACCAAAUCAUUUUUCUAAAAUACUAGGACAUAUUUAAUGCACAAUUGACAAAAUGAUUGGGUGUAAAAAGUUAUGAUCCAACUCUCGCGAAAAAGAAAAAUUUCCGUCGUUUCACUUGGAAGCGGGUCAAAUUUGAACUGCAGGUGCCUCAUAGCUUGCUCUUUAUUUUUUCCAAAAAUCAUUCCUAGGUACAUAAGUAUCUAUUUAAUCAGAGAAACACCAAAAAAAAUCCAAGAUUCAACCAUUAGCUAGGAAUAGUCAUUCCCACCGUUUUGACCGCAUUUUGAAACGGGCAUAAAAAUUUCAAAAAAAAUCAAAAAAUUGCAAAACCUUCGCAUUAUGUCAUUAUAUGUGGCCAAGUUACAAGGAAAAAUUAUAAACUUGUAAUACGAUAAUUUUUUAAAAAAAGUGUUCUCAGAAACGAGCUAUCAUGUGUGGAGAUCAAUGGCAUUCAAGCCAAAUGAUAAAUCUUAUGGCCACAUUCAUCACAUAGUUUGUUAAAAUGAUCUCAUAUGCACAAGGAUGCAUAUUGGAAUGUCAAACAAUGUUGCCUAAGGAAGUUUUCAUUUUCUUUGAACGAAAAAAUCAUUUUUCAUUUUUUGAGAGCCCAAAAUGAGGUUUUCUUGUGAAGGACCUAUCAUAUAUUUAUCGCAAAAUGGGACCAAAUCAUUUUUAUAAAAUAUUGGGCCAUAUUUAAUGCACAAAUGACCAAAUGGUUGGUUGUCAAAAGUUUUUAUACACCUCUAGUGAAAAAGACAAAUUCCUGCCGAUUCAGUUGGAAGCGGGUCAAAUUUGAACUGCAGCUGCCUCAUAGCUUGCUCUUUAUUUUUUCCAAAAAUCAUUUCUAGGUACAUAAGUAUCUAUUUAAUCAUAGAAACACCAAAAAAUUUCCAAGAUUCAACCACUAGCUAGGACCGGUCAUUCCCGCCGUUUUGACCGCAUUUUAAAACAGGCAUAAACAAUUCAAAAAAAAUCAAAUAAUUGCGAAACCUUCGCAUUGUGUCAUUAUAUGUGACCAAGUUUCCAGGAAAGAUAAUAAACUUGUAAUACGGCAAUUAUUUUAAAAAAGUGUUCUCAGAAACGAGCUAUCACGCAUGAAGAUUCAGGGUUUUCAGGCCAAAUGAUCAAUCUUAUGGCCACGUUCAUGGCAUAGUUUGUUGAAAUGAUCUCAUAUUGUGCACAAGGGUGCAUAUUGGAAUUCCAAACAAUAUUGCUUAAGGGAGUUUUUAUUUCCUUUGCACGGAAAAUUCAUUUUCCAUUUUCCGAAUGCCUGAAAUGAGUUUUUUUUGUGAAGGACCUACCAUAUAUUUGUUGCAAAAUUGGACCAAAUCAUUUUUAUAAAAUACUAGGCCAUAUUUGAUUCACAAUUGAGCAAAUGGUUGGGUGUCAAAAUUUUUGAUCCACCUCUGGUGAAAAAGACAAAUUCCUGCCGAUUCAAUUGGAAGCGGGUCCAAUUUGAACUGCAGCUGCCUUAUAGCUUGCUAUUUAUUUUUUCCAAAAAUCAUUUCUCGGUACAUAAGUAUCUAUUUAAUCAGAGAAACACCAAAAAAUUCCAAGAUUCAACCACUAGCUAGGAACGGUCAAGCCCGCCGUUUUGACCACAUUUUGAAACGGGCAUACAAAAUUCAAAAAAAUCAAAAAAUUGGAAAACCUUCUCAUUGUGUCAUUAUAUGUGACCAAGUUUCCAGGAAAAAUAAUAAACUUGUAAUACGGUAAUUAUUUUAAAAAAGUGUUCUCAGAAAUGAGCUAUCAUGCGUGAAGAUUCAUGGCUUUCAAGCCAAAUGAUCAAUCUUAUGGCCACAUUCAUGGCAUAGUUUGUUCAAAUGAUCUCAUAUUGUGCACAAGGGUGCAUCUUGGAAUUCCAAACAAUGUUGCCUAAGGGAGUUUUCAUUUUCUUCGUACGGAAAAUUCAUUUUCCAUUUUCCGAGUGCCCGAAAUGAGGUUUUUUUGUGAAGGAACUACCAAAUAAUUGUUGCAAAAAUGGAACAAAUCAAUUUUAUAAAAUACUAGGCCAUAUAUAAUGCACAAUUGACAAAAUGGUUGGGUGUAAAAAGUUUUGAUCCACCUCUGGUGAAAAAGACAAAUUGUCGCCGAUUCAGCUGGAAGCGGGUCAAAUUUGAACUGCAGCUGCCUCAUAGUUUGCUAUUUAUUGUUUACAAAAAUCAUUUCUAGUUAAAUAAGUAACUAUUUAAUCAAAAAUACAUGGUUUUAUGGCGAGACAUCGACGUUUGGACGGUAGCUGAGAGCCCCAACUCUAGAGCGCGUAAGCUCGCAUGCCCGCCGCGUGGUCACCGCGUGACCGUGGCGUUGCCACGUGUUCUGGGCGGCCUAGGCAUGUCUAGUGGGUUGGGCACUCCCCAGGUAGGUGCUAGGAAGAAAAUCACAACAUAAGAUUCUCACGAGGAGACCGAUCGAUGCUCAAAGAUGAAUAAGCAGCCAAGUGUUUGAUUUGCGGUACGGGAAAUGCACAUGGCUAAUGGGCGUGAGUUUUGGCCGAGGAUGAUCAGUUACUAAGAAGACCGUCUUCACAAAUUUUCACCUCAAAAGGAGGAGCCUAGUGUUGGAAAUAUGCCCUAGAGGCAAUAAUAAAAGUAUUAUUAUUAUAUUUCCUUGUUCAUGAUAAUUGUCUUUUAUUCAUGCUAUAACUGUAUUAUCCGGAAAUCGUAAUACACGUGUGAAUAUAUAGACCACAAUAUGUCCCUAGUGAGCCUCUAGUUGACUAGCUCGUUGUGAUCAACAGAUAGUCAUGGUUUCCUGGCUAUGGACAUUGGAUGUCGUUGAUAACGGGAUCACAUCAUUAGGAGAAUGAUGUGAUGGACAAGACCCAAUCCUAAGACUAGCACAAAAGAUCGAGUAGUUCAUUUGCUAGAGCUUUGCGAAUGUCAAGUAUCUCUUUCUUUGACCAUGAGAUCGUAUAACUCCUGGAUACCGUAGGAGUGCUUUGGGUGUAUCAAACGUCACAACGUAACUGGGUGACUAUAAAGGUGCACUACAGGUAUCUCCGAAAGUAUCUAUUGUUUUAUGCGGAUCGAGACUGGGAUUUGUCACUCCGUGUAAACGGAGAGGUAUCUCUGGGCCCACUCGGUAGGACAUCAUCAUAUGCGCAAUGUGACCAAGGAGUUGAUCACGGGAUGAUGUGUUACGGAACGAGUAAAGUGACUUGCCGGUAACGAGAUUGAACAAGGUAUCGGUAUACCGACGAUCGAAUCUCGGGCAAGUACCAUACCGCUAGACAAAGGGAAUUGUAUACGGGAUCGAUUGAGUCCUUGACAUCGUGGUUCAUCCGAUGAGAUCAUCGUGGAACAUGUGGGAGCCAACAUGGGUAUCCAGAUCCCGCUGUUGGUUAUUGACCGGAGAACAUCUCGGUCAUGUCUGCAUGUCUCCCGAACCCGUAGGGUCUACACACUUAAGGUUUGAUGACGCUAGGGUUAUAAAGGAAGCUUGUAUGUGGUUACCGAAUGUUGUUCGGAGUCCCGGAUGAGAUCCUGGAUGUCACGAGGAGUUCCGGAAUGGUCCGGAGGUAAAGAUUUAUAUAUAGGAAGUCCUGUUUCGGCCAUCGGGACAAGUUUCGGGGUCAUCGGUAUUGUACCGGGACCACCGGAAGGGUCCCGGGGGCCCACCGGGUGGGGCCACCUGCCCCGGGGGGCCACAUGGGCUGUAGGGGGUGCGCCUUGGCCUACAUGGGCCAAGGGCACCAGCCCCAAGAGGCCCAUGCGCAAGGAAACUUGGAGAGGGAAGAGUCCUAAAGGGGGAAGGCACCUCCGAGGUGCCUUGGGGAGGAUGGACUCCUCCCCAUCCUUAGCCGCACCCCUUCCUUGGAGGAGGGGGCAAGGCUGCGCCCUCCCCCUCUCCCUUGGCCCUAUAUAUAGUGGGGAAAAGGAGGAGCAAUCAGACCUAAGGCCUUUGGUUGCCUUCCUCUCCCUCCCGUGACACAUCUCCUCUCCCGUAGGUGCUCGGCGAAGCCCUGCAGGAUUGCCACGCUCCUCCAUCACCACCACGCCGUUGUGCUGCUGCUGGAUGGAGUCUUCCUCAACCUCUCCCUCUCUCCUUGCUGGAUCAAGGCGUGGGAGACAUCGUCGAGCUGUACGUGUGUUGAACGCGGAGGUGCUGUCCGUUCGGCACUAGAUCAUCGGUGAUCUGAAUCACGACGAGUACGACUCCAUCAACCCUGUUCACUUGAACGCUUCCGCUUAGCGAUCUACAAGGGUAUGUAGAUGCACUCUCCUUCUACUCGUUGCUGGUCUCUCCAUAGAUAGAUCUUGGUGAUUCGUAGGAAAAUUUUUGAAUUUCUGCUACGUUCCCCAACAGUGGUAUCAGAGCUAGGUCUAUUGCAUAGAUUCUUUGCACGAGUAGAACACAAAGUAGUUGUGGGCGUCGAUAUUGUUCAAUAUGCUUGCCGUUACUAGUCUUAUCUUGAUUCGGCGGCAUCGUGGGAUGAAGCGGCUCGGACCAACCUUACACGUACGCUUACGUGAGACCGGUUCCACCGACAAACAUGCACUAGUUGCAUAAGGUGGCUGGCGGGUGUCUGUCUCUCCCACUUUAGUCGGAUCGGAUUCGAUGAAAAGGGUCCUUAUGAAGGGUAAAUAGCAAUUGGCAUAUCACGUUGUGGUUCAUGCGUAGGUAAGAAACGUUCUUGCUAGAAACCCAUAGCAGCCACGUAAAACAUGCAAACAACAAUUAGAGGACGUCUAACUUGUUUUUGCAGGGUAUGCUAUGUGAUGUGAUAUGGCCAAAAAGGAUGUGAUGAAUGAUAUAUGUGAUGUAUGAGAUUGAUCAUGUUCUUGUAAUAGGAUUCACGACUUGCAUGUCGAUGAGUAUGACAACCGGCAGGAGCCAUAGGAGUUGUCUUUAUUUUUUGUAUGACCUGCGUGUCAUUAAAGAACGCUAUGUAAACUACUUUACUUUAUUGCUAAACGCGUUAGUCAUAGAAGUAGAAGUAGUUGUUGGCGUGACAACUUCAUGAAGACACGAUGAUGGAGAUCAUGAUGAUGGAGAUCAUGGUGUCAUGCCGGUGACAAGAUGAUCAUGGAGCCCCGAAGAUGAAGAUCAAAGGAGCUAUAUGAUAUUGGCCAUAUCAUGUCACUACUCUUAUUUGAUUGCAUGUGAUGUUUAUCAUGUUUAUACAUCUUAUUUGCUUAGAACGACGGUAGUAAAUAAGAUGAUCCCUCAUUAAAAUUUCAAGAAGUGUUCUCCCCUAACUGUGCACCGUUGCGACAGUUCGCUGUUUCAAAACAUCACGUGAUGAUCGGGUGUUUUAUUCAGACGUUCAAAUACAACGGGUGUUGACGAGCCUAGCAUGUACAGACAUGGCCUCGGAACACACGCAAAACACUUAGGGUUAACUUGACGAGCCUAGCAUGUACAGACAUGGCCUCGGAACACGGAGACCGAAAGGUCGAGCAUGAGUCGCAUAGAAGAUACGAUCAACAUGAAGAUGUUCACCGAUGAUGACUAGUCCGUCUCACGUGAUGAUCGGACACGGCCUAGUUUGACUCGGAUCAUGUGAUCACUUAGAUGACCAGAGGGAUGUCUAUCUGAGUGGGAGUUCAUAAGAUGAACUUAAUUAUCCUGAACAUAGUCAAAAGGUUUUUGCAAAUUAUGUCGUAGCUCACGCUAUAGUUCUACUGUUUAGAUAUGUUCCUAGAGAAAAAUUAGUUGAAAGUUGAUAGUAGCAAUUAUGCGGACUAGGUCCGUAAACUGAGGAUUGUCCUCAUUGCUUCAUAGAAGGCUUAUGUCCUUAAUGCACCGCUCAGUGUGCUGAACCUCGAACGUUGUCUGUGGUUGUUGCGAACAUCUGACAUACACGUUUUGAUAACUACGUGAUAGUUCAGUUAAACGGUUUAGAGUUGAGGCACCAAAGACGUUUUUCAAAACGUCGCGGAACAUAUGAGAUGUUUCGAGGGCUGAAAUUGGGAUUUCAGGCUCGUGCCCAUGUCAAGAGGUAUAAGACCUCCGACGAUUUUCUUAGCCUGCAAACUAAGGAGAGAAGCACAAUUGUUGAGCUUGUGCUCAGAUUGUCUGAGUGCAACAAUCACUUGAAUCGAGUGGGAGUUGAUCUUCCAAAUGAGAUAGUGAUGUUUCUCCAAAGUCAUUGCCACCAAGCUGCUAGAGCUUCGUGAUGAACUAUAACAUAUCAGGGAUAGAUAUGAUGAUCCUUGAGGUAUUCGCGAUGUUUGACACCGCGAAAGUAGAAAUCAAGAAGGAGCAUCAAUUGUUGAUGGUUGGUAAAACCACUAGUUUCAAGAUGGGCAAGGGCAAGAAGGGAUACUUCAUGAAACGGCAAAUCAGCUGCUGCACCAAUGAAGAAACCCGAGAUUGAACCCAAACCCGAGACUAAGUGCUUCUGUAAUAAGGGGAACAACCACUGGAGCAAGAUUACCCUAGAUACUUGGUGGAUGAGAAGGCUGGCAAGGUCGAUAGAAGUAUAUUGGAUAUACAUUAUGUUAAUGUGUACUUUACUAGUACUCCUAGUAGCACCAGGGUAUUAGAUACCGGUUCGGUUGCUAAGUGUUAGUAACUCGAAAUAAAAGCUACGGAAUAAAACGGAGACUAGCUAAAGGUGAGCUGACGAUAUGUGUUGGAAGUUUUUCCAAGCUUGAUAUGAUCAAACAUCGCACGCUCCCUCUACCAUCAAGAUUAGUAUUAAACCAGAAUAAUUUCAUUUGGUGUUUGCGUUGAGCAUAGACAUGAUUGGAUUAUGUCUAUCGCAAUACGGUUAUUCAUUUAAGGAGAAUAAUGGUUACUCUAUUUAUUUGAAUAAUACCUUCGAUGGUCAUGCACCUAAAGGAAUGGUUUAUUGAAUCUCGAUCGUAGUGAUACACAUUUUCAUGCCAAAAGAUAUAAGAUAGUAAUGAUAGUACCACUUACUUGUGGCACUGCCAUGUAAGUCAUAAUGGUAUAAAACGCAUGAAGAAGCUCCAUGUUGAUGGAUCUUUGGACUCACUCGUUUUGAAAAGUUUGAGACAUGCGAACCAUGUUUAUUGGUGUAUAUGCAUGAAGAAACUCCAUGCAGAUGGAUCGUUUAGACUCACUUGAUUUUGAAUCACUUGAGAUAUGCAAAUCAUACCACAUGGGCAAGAUGACUGAAAAGCCUCGUUUUCAGUAAGAUGGAACAAGAUAGCAACUUGUAGGAAGUAACACAUUUUGAUGUGUGCAGUCCAAUGAGUGCUGAGGCAUGCAGUGAAUAUUGUUAUGUUCUUACUUCACAGAUGAUUUGAGUGGAUGUUGAAUAUAUUUACUUGAUGAAACACAAGUCUGAAUUAUUGAAUGGUUCAAGUAAUUUCAGAGUGAAGUAGCAGAUCAUUGUGACAAGAGGAUAAAAUGUCUAUGAUAUGAUCAUAGAGAUGAAUAUCUGAGUCACGAGUUUUGGCACACAAUUAAGACAUUGUGGAAAUUGUUUCGCAAUUAAUACCGCCUGGAACACCAUAGUGUGUUGGUGUGUCCGAACAUCAUAGUUGCACCCUAUUGGAUAUGGUGCGUACCAUGAUGUCUCUUAUUGAAUUACCACUAUCGUUCAUGGGUUAGGCAUUAGAGACAACCACAUUCACUUUAAAUAGGGCACCACGUAAUUCCGAUGAGAUGACACCGUAUGAAUUAUGGUUUAUAGAAACCUAAGUUGUCGUUUCUUAAAGGUUUGGGGCUGCGACGCUUAUGUGAAAAAGUUUCAGGAUUAAGCUCGAACCCAAAGCGGAUAAAAUGCAUCUUCAUAGGAAACCCAAAACAGUUGGGUAUACCUCCUAAUUCAGAUCCGAAAGCAAUAUGGAUUGUUUCUAGAAUCGGGUCCUUUCUCGAGGAAAAGUUUCUCUCGAAAGAAUUGAGUGGGAGGAUGGUGGAGACUUGAUGAGGUUAUUGAACCGUCACUUCAACUAGUGUGUGGCAGGGCACAGGAAGUUGUUCCUGUGGCACCUAGAACAAUUGAAGUGGAAGCUUAUGAUAGUGAUCAUGAAACUUCGGAUCAAGUCACUACCAAACCUCGUAGGACGACAAGGACACGUACUACUUCGGAGUGGUAAGGUGAUCCUGUCUUGAAGGUCAUGUUGCUAGACAACAAUGAACCUAUGAGCUAUGGAGAAGCGAUGGUGGGCCCGAAUUCCGACAAAUGGUUAGAAGCCAUGAAAUCCGAGAUAGUAUCCAUAUAUCAGAACAAGGCAUGGACUUUGAUGGACUUGCCCGAUGAUUGGCAAUCCAUUGAGAUAAAUGGAUCUUUUAAGAAGAAGACGGACGUGGAUGGUAAUGUCACCAUCUAUAAAGCUCGACUUGUGGCGAAGAGUUUUUCACAAGUUCAAGGAGUUGACUGCGAUGAGAUUUUCUCAUCUGUAGCGAUGCUUAAAGUCCGUUGGAAUCAUGUUAGCAUUAGCUGCAUUUAUGAAAUCUGGCAGAUGGAUGUCAAGACAAGUUUCCUUACUAGUUUUCGUAAGGAAAGGUUGUAUGCAAUACAAUCAGAAAGGUUUUUGUCGAUCCUGAGGAUGCUAAAAGGUAUGCUAGCUCCAGCGAUCCUUUUAAGGACUGGAGUGAGCAUCUCGGAGUUGGAAUGAAUGCUUUGAUGAUGAUCAAAGAUUUUGGGUUUGUACAAAGUUUAUGAGAAACUUGUAUUUCCAAAGAAGUGAGUGGGAGCACUAUAGAAUUUCUGAUGAGUAUAUGUUGUUGACAUAUUAAUGAUCAGAAAUGAUAUAGAAUUUCUAGAAAGCAUAUAGGGUUAUUUGAAAGGUGUUUUUCAAUAGAAAACCUGGAUUAAGCUACUUGAACAUUGAGCAUCGAGAUCUAUAAGGAUAGAUCAAAAUGCUUAAUAAUACUUUCAAAUGAGCACAUACCUUGACAUGAUCUUGAAGGUGUUCAAAAUGGACCAGUCAAAGAAGGAGUUCUUGCCUGAGUUGUAAGGUACGAAGUUAAGACUUAAAGCUCGACCACGGCAGAAUAGAGAGAAAGGACGAAGGUCGUCCCCUAUGCUUAAGACAUAGGCUCUUCAGUAUGCUAUGCUGUGUACCGCACCUGAAGUGUGCCUUGCCAUGAGUCAGUCAAGGGGUACAAGAGUGAUCCAAGAAUGGCUCACAGGACAGCGGUCAAAGUUAUCCUUAGUAACUAGUGGACUAAGGAAUUUUCUCGAUUAUGGAGGUGGUAAAAGAGUUCGUCGUAAAGGUUACGACGAUGCAAGCUUAACACCUAUCCGGAUAGCUCUAAGUAGAGAUACCGGAUACGUACAAUGGGGUAACAAUUUAGAAUAGUUGCAAGUAGAACAGUUAUUUGGAAUAGCUCCAAAUAGAGCGUGGUAGCUGCAUCUAGGAGAUGACAUAAAGAUUUGUAAAGCACACACGGAUCUGAAAGGUUCAGACCCAUUGACUAAAACCUCUCUCACAAGCAACAUGAUCAAACAUAAAACUCAUUGAGUGUUAAUCACAUAGUGAUGUGAACUAGACUACUGACUCUAGUAAACUCUUGGGUAUUAGUCACAUGGCGAUGUGACCUGUGAGUGUUAAUCACAUGACAAUGUGAACUAGAUUAUUGACUCUAGUGCAAGUGGGAGACUGUUGGAAAUAUGCCCUAGAGGCAAUAAUAAAAGUAUUAUUAUUAUAUUUCCUUGUUCAUGAUAAUUGUCUUUUAUUCAUGCUAUAACUGUAUUAUCCGGAAAUCGUAGUACACGUGUGAAUAUAUAGACCACAAUAUGUCCCUAGUGAGCCUCUAGUUGACUAGCUCGUUGUGAUCAACAGAUAGUCAUGGUUUCCUGGCUAUGGACAUUGGAUGUCGUUGAUAACGGGAUCACAUCAUUAGGAGAAUGAUGUGAUGGACAAGACCCAAUCCUAAGACUAGCACAAAAGAUCGAGUAUUUCAUUUGCUAGAGCUUUGCGAAUGUCAAGUAUCUCUUCCUUUGACCAUGAGAUCGUAUAACUCCUGGAUACCGUAGGAGUGCUUUGGGUGUAUCAAACGUCACAACGUAACUGGGUGACUAUAAAGGUGCACUACAGGUAUCUCCGAAAGUAUCUAUUGUUUUAUGCGGAUCGAGACUGGGAUUUGUCACUCCGUGUAAACGGAGAGGUAUCUCUGGGCCCACUCGGUAGGACAUCAUCAUAUGCGCAAUGUGACCAAGGAGUUGAUCACGGGAUGAUGUGUUACGGAACGAGUAAAGUGACUUGCCGGUAACGAGAUUGAACAAGGUAUCGGUAUACCGACGAUCGAAUCUCGGGCAAGUACCAUACCGCUAGACAAAGGGAAUUGUAUACGGGAUCGAUUGAGUCCUUGACAUCGUGGUUCAUUCGAUGAGAUCAUCGUGGAACAUGUGGGAGCCAACAUGGGUAUCCAGAUCCCGCUGUUGGUUAUUGACCGGAGAACAUCUCGGUCAUGUCUGCAUGUCUCCCGAACCCGUAGGGUCUACACACUUAAGGUUCGAUGACGCUAGGGUUAUAAAGGAAGCUUGUAUGUGGUUACCGAAUGUUGUUCGGAGUCCCGGAUGAGAUCCCGGAUGUCACGAGGAGUUCCGGAAUGGUCCGGAGGUAAAGAUUUAUAUAUAGGAAGUCCUGUUUCGGCCAUCGGGACAAGUUUCGGGGUCAUCGGUAUUGUACCGGGACCACCGGAAGGGUCCCGGGGGCCCACCGGGUGGGGCCACCUGCCCCGGGGGGCCACAUGGGCUGUAGGGGGUGCGCCUUGGCCUACAUGGGCCAAGGGCACCAGCCCUAAGAGGCCCAUGCGCAAGGAAACUUGGAGAGGGAAGAGUCCUAAAGGGGGAAGGCACCUCCGAGGUGCCUUGGGGAGGAUGGACUCCUCCCCAUCCUUAGCCGCACCCCUUCCUUGGAGGAGGGGGCAAGGCUGCGCCCUCCCCCUCUCCCUUGGCCCUAUAUAUAGUGGGGAAAAGGAGGAGCAAUCAGACCUAAGGCCUUUGGUUGCCUCCCUCUCCCUCCCGUGACACAUCUCCUCUCCCGUAGGUGCUCGGCGAAGCCCUGCAGGAUUGCCACGCUCCUCCAUCACCACCACGCCGUUGUGCUGCUGCUGGAUGGAGUCUUCCUCAACCUCUCCCUCUCUCCUUGCUGGAUCAAGGCGUGGGAGACAUCGUCGAGCUGUACGUGUGUUGAACGCGGAGGUGCUGUCCGUUCGGCACUAGAUCAUCGGUGAUCUGAAUCACGACGAGUACGACUCCAUCAACCCCGUUCACUUGAACGCUUCCGCUUAGCGAUCUACAAGGGUAUGUAGAUGCACUCUCCUUCUACUCGUUGCUGGUCUCUCCAUAGAUAGAUCUUGGUGAUUCGUAGGAAAAUUUUUGAAUUUCUGCUACGUUCCCCAACACCUAGGUGGUACUUGCUUUACAAAGUACCACACUGGACAUAAAUACGAAUGUUGAAGCUGGGCUCAAAAUAAUGAAUGGAUUGAGCUAGCACUUGGUGGAGGAUGGUUAUUUGGGCAUAGGAAAGCACUGUAGAAAAUGGAUACCAUUUGGACAUGCCAAAGUGGUACUUCCUUCACAAAGUGCUGCUUUGAUCAGAAUAGGAAAAUGAAUAUUUUUGAAUUAUUUUUGAACUAGGCAAGGAAGGUUUUUACAUAUUUGACGAAGAUAUGGCCCAAAGAAUUUAUGAGAUUUUUUGGGAAUUUUGGGAAUAACAGAAAUAUAGGUUGCUUCACAACCUAGGGCAAAAACCGCCACAUGGACAUGACACAUAGGCAAAACUGAUGAGAUGGCGCCUAGUCAUCACAACCCACCACAAUCUACAAGGCUAUGACCAUCUAUAUUGGUCAUUAACAACUAGAAAGAAGGUAGCGGACUAGCACUGUUUGCUUUGUGACCUUUUCGUGUAAGGAAAUUACGACCUUUCUGACCAAAAUUGUCGCAAUGGUUUAGGGUUUGGAGCCCCUCGAACAGCUUUUGACCAAUUGGUCUGAAAUGGUCAUAGAUCUAUGACCAAUUCUUCCAGGGUCACUGACAAAAGGUCACUAGUUGACAUAUUUCUUGUAGUGAGUGUGCAACAGCCGGUAGUCGGCUGGCCGAGUCCCUCGUGAUCGCUGAAGAGAAGAAGAUGCUGGACCGAGUUGUGGCCUUAGCUGGAAAGCAGCCGGCCUUGUCCCCUGACCCCAAGGAAUGUGAAGCGCAAGGUUCUUUCCAGCCAGCCAAAGAGACAAAGAAGAUACCCCUGGACUCGGAGCACCCAGAGAGGCAUGCUAUCAUAGGCACAGGCCUUGACAGCAAAUAGGAAGGCAAGCUCGUCAAUUUCCUCCGUGAGAAUCGGGACAUCUUCGCAUGGUCUCCCAAAGACAUGCCGGGUGUCCCGACGGAUUUCGCCGAGCACAAGCGACACGUCCGAUCUGACGCAAAGCCGAUCAGGCAGCCCUUGCGCCGCCUGUCAGAAGAGAAGAGAAGAGUAGUCGGAGAAGAGAUAGCCCGGCUUCUGGCAGCCGGCUUCAUUAUGGAAGUGUUCUUUCCAGAAUGGCUUGCCAACCCGGUCCUCGUGCUGAAGAAGAACAAGCAGUGGCGCAUGUGUAUCGACUACACCAGCCUCAACAAAGCCUGCCACAAAGAUCCGUUCGCCCCGCCAAGGAUUGACCAAGUGAUAGACUCCACAGCCGGAUGCGAGCUGCUGAGUUUUUUGGAUGCUUAUUCCGGCUACCACCAGAUAAAGUUGAACCCGGCCGAUCGCUUGAAGACCGCCUUCAUCACCCCAUUCGGAGCUUUCUGUUACCUGACUAUGACAUUCGGCUUGAGAAAUGCUGGUGCCACUUUUCAGUGUUGCAUGCAGAAAUGCCUCCUCAAGCAACUCGGCAGAAAUGCCCAUGUCUAUGUAGACGAUGUUGUGGUGAAGACGGAGAAACACGGCACCCUGCUGGAUGACCUCAAGGAAACCUUUGAGAAUCUGCGCUGGUUUUAGAUCAAGCUCAACCCGGAGAAGUGUGUGUUCGGAGUACCAGCCGGCCAGAUUCUAGGCUUUCUGGUCUCCAAACGCGGCAUCGAGUGCAACCCAGUGAAGAUCAAGGCCAUAGAGAGAAUGAAGGUCCCCACCAAGCUGCGAGACGUCCAAAAGUCCACCGGAUGCCUGGCAUCUUUGAACCGCUUCAUGAGCCGGCUCGGAGAGAAGGCUCUCCCCCUCUACCGACUUAUGAAGAAGUCCGCUCACUUUGAGUGGAAUGACCAGGCGGAUCAAGCUUUCCACGAGUUGAAGAAGAUGCUGUCCACGCCGCCUGUCUUGGCGGCCCCAACUGAGAAGGAGCCCAUGCUCCUAUACAUCGCCGCCACCAGCCGGGUGGUCAGCAUGGUCACUGUGGUUCAACACCCAGAAGAAGGCCGAGCUCAGCUAGUCCAGAGGCCGGUAUAUUAUCUGAGUGAAGUAUUAUCCACCUCAAAGCAGAACUAUCCGCACUAUCAGAAAAUGUGCUAUGUUGUGUACUUUGCCUCCAAGAAGCUCAAGCCCUACUUUCAAGAGCAUCCCAUCACGGUCGUAUGCACUACCCUGCUUGCCGAGAUCAUAGGCAGCCAGGACGCAUCCGGCCGAGUGGCGAAGUGGGCCAUUGCAUUGGCUCCAUAUACGAUCUACUAUCAACCCCGCACCGCCAUCAAGUCCCAAGCACUGGCCGACUUCCUCAUCGACUGGGCCGAGACCCAGUACCUACCGUCGGCUCCGGACUCCACUCAUUGGCGGAUGCAUUUUGAUGGAUCCAAGAUGCGCACCGGCUUGGGAGCCGGCAUUGUCCUCACCUCUCCCAAAGGGGACAAACUCAGAUACACAUUGCAAAUUCACUUUGCCGCCUCCAACAAUGUGGCCGAGUACGAGGCGCUCAUACACGGGCUCCGGCUAGCCAAGGAACUCAGCAUCCGCCAGAUCCUGUGUUAUGGCGACUCGGACUUAGUGGUUCAGCAAUCAUCCGGCGACUGGGAUGCCAAGGACGCAAACAUGGCGAGCUACCGCUUCCUUGUCCAGCAGCUCAGCGGAUAUUUCGAGGGGUGUGAGUUCCUUCACGUGCCACGAGCCGACAAUGAGCAAGCAGAUGCCCUGGCACGAAUAGGCUCCACCCGACAAGCUAUACCAACCGGCGUCGCCCUCCAACGUAUCCUCAAGCCAUCUGUCAAGCUGUCUCCGGAAUCCAGUUCCAUCUUCGUGCUGCCUGACCCCGACACAGUCGAAUCCGACUUCGGGGACCAGGCAGGCGGCCCGGGGAAACCGGCUCAGGGACUUCCAUAGUCGAACUCGGCCCAGGGACUGCCAUAAUCGAACCCGGCCUAGGGACUGCUACGGCACAGCAGGCAGAGGCCGACUCCAACUCCUCACAGCCCAGCCCGCCCACCCUGGUUGCAGUAGCCAUCUUGGCAGUCGAAGAAAUCACAGCUCCAUCUUGGGCCCAGCCCAUCCUCCGGUUUCUGUUGAAUGGAGAACUAUCGACUGACGAGAUCUCGGCCAGACAAGUCCAGCACCGAGCCGGAGCCUACACAAUAAUGAAUCAAGAGCUAGUUAGGCGCAGCGUUACCGGAGUCUUCCAGCGCUGCGUCGAGCAAGAGAAGGGCAUAGCAAUCCUCGAAGACAUCCACCAAGGAGAAUGCGGCCACCAUGCCGCCUCCAGGGCACUCGUCGCCAAGGCCUUCCGCCAUGGAUUCUUCUGGCCGACUGCAUUGGUGGAUGCCAAGGAACUAGUCAUACACUGCAAAGGGUGCCAAAUCUUCGUCUCCAAGCAACACCUGCCGGCUUCUGCACUCAAGACCAUCCCCAUCACUUGGCACUUUGUAGUCUGGGGAUUGGACAUGGUCGGACCAUUCAAGAUGGCGCGGGGCGGCAUGACACAUCUGCUUGUCGCCGUAGACAAAUUUACCAAGUGGAUUGAAGCAAAGCCGAUCAAGAAGCUGAAUGGGCCGACUGCCGUGACAUUCAUUGCCGACAUCACAACCCGGUAUGGCAUACCACACAGCAUCAUCACCGACAACGGCACAAAUUUCGCCAAGGGAGCAUUGGCACGUUUCUGCGCGACGCAGGGCAUCCGACUGGACUUAGCGUCCGUUGCCCACCCGCAGUCAAACGGCCAAGUCGAGCGAGCAAACGGCCUCAUCCUCUCCGGCAUCAAGCCCCGACUGGUCGUGCCACUGGAGCGUUCGGCCGGCUGCUGGCUCGACGAGCUGCCGGCCGUCCUCUGGAGUCUGCGCACUACCCCUAACAAGUCGACCGGCUUCACCCCCUUCUUCCUUGUAUAUGGGGCUGAGGCUGUCAUCCCAACUGACAUCGAGUUCGACUCACCUCGAGUCACCAUGUACACGGAGGCGGAGGACAAAGAAGCAAGAGAAGACGUCGUCGACUUGCUGGAAGAAAGCCAGCUGUUAGCCCUCAGCCGGUCCGCCAUCUACCAGCAGGGGCUACGCCGUUACCACAGUCGGAGAGUGAAGCCAAGAACCUUCCAAGAGGGAUACCUUGUGCUUCGGCUGAUACAGCCUACAGCCGGCCAGCACAGGCUCUCGGCCCCUUGGGAAGGCCCCUUCGUUAUCAGCCGAGCUCUGGGAAACGACUCCUAUUACCUAAUCAACGCGCAGAAGCCGAAGGCACGCAAGAGAGACGACUCCGGCAAGGAGUCGGACCGCCCAUGGAACGCCAAUCUUCUCCGAAGAUUUUACAGUUGAAAUGCAGAAUGUAUCACGCUAUCUUUUGUAUUAAGUAUGAGACAACGGGCCCCCAAGGAUUUCUCGGGGACUACCCCAUUUUAUCUAUGUAUGCCGGGUAUCACUCCCAUGGUUACCCUACUGCAUUUUACUUUCUAUGUCCGGCACCGGGUUCGACUAAGUCGGCCCGGGGACUUGCCGCCUUGAGUUAUGCCCAAGUUCUACCUGCAGUCAGACAAGUAAUGUGCCGGCACCCAAGCCCUCUCUUGCGAGAGUCACAGCUCGAAGAAUCAGCUACCCGACUAGCAAGACCUAAAGGCGGAAAGGAUGCCCACAUGAAAAAUGGCUAAGGACAAACAAACUUACAUAACACAAGCCGACUUCCCCCCUCGCCAACCGACUGUCGAAGCAGUCGGCUAACCGACUUCCUUUCCAACUCUGCCAAAAUCUAAGAAAGCUCGAACCUUUGCCUUCCUAGACGUUCGAAUUCCUUACCCGGCCACAGACUGCAGAGCAGCUGUCCGGCUGGGAAGGCGGCAACCAAGGGAAGGCGACAAAGGAAGAAAGCUGAAAGAUAAAAAGCAAGUCGGAAUGGAAGCCAAACACAUGCAUAAUAAUAUUUACAUCAAAAAACCUUCGAAAGGCCGGCAUUCAACGAAGUUUGAAUACACCCCUAGUGGGUGGAAUUGCACAAAAUAACAAGUUUUGUCCAAAGAGUAACUAGCAGGGAAGUAAAUGAUAAAUCAAGCCAAGGGAGCGCCUGUAGCUUCAGGAAGAACGGUGGAGAUGGCGGUGUCGGCUGGAGGAGUGGCCGGCUGGCGAGUCUCGGCCUGGUCGUCGCCGGUGGCAGGCGGAGCGUUCGCGUGAGCCUCGUUGCUGGAGGCACGGUCAAGCUGAGGCUAGCCGGCUGCUUCGGUAUCCGGCUCAACAUCCUCGCCGUCUUCCUCCUCCUCCUCCUCGCCCUCAUCGCUGGAGUCACUCUCCUCCGCCGAGUCCUCACCGUCGGCCGGGUUCAGCCCGAACCAGUCCUCCGGCUGCACGAUGUCGUCUUAGUUCACCUCAGGAGCAAAGGUGCUGGUGUCGGUGAAGUCGGCGAUCACCGAAGCACGCUGGAUGAUAGUCGGCCGCACCGCCUCCAGCUCCUCGUCAGCCUCCUGCCUCCAGGUGCGCAGCUGAUCCAAGUUCAGCCAAGGGUACCAAGCCCGGACGAACUCUAGCGCCCGUCGAGCGCCGGAUCGAGCUGCUGAGGCCUUCUAGGCCUCAAGACGGCCGACGACUACCUCCAGCCAGUCGGCAGUACGGCUGGGGGUGCGAGGAAUUACCUCACCAGCCCAAAGGGUGGCUAGCACCUGUGCCCCAGCACACUGAAGCUGGCAGAGCAUGCGGUAGGCCGGCUAGAGGCGGGCCUCGAUCGCCAGAAGCUGCUCCUCCAGCGACCGGUUGGCGUCCGGCGCGAUCUCAACCCCAGCCUGCCGCCAGGCCUCUCGGUGGGCUUCGAUGGCUUGGUUGGCAGCGAUAGAGUGGCCAGGGAAGUACUCUUCACAAAGAAGAAGGAAAAAGAGCAAGUCAAGAGAAAAGCUGACUUGCAAAGACAAGCAAAGAAUAAAGAAGAAAGACGGCCUACCAUCAACCAGGUCCUCGACACGGCCGUAGCCUUCGCUCGGGGCUUGCCUUGCCUCGGCUCAGCCCGCCACCUCAGUCUCGAAUUCGGCUUUGAGGGCGGCCUCGCUGUCCUGGGCCGCCUUCAGAGCCGCCUGGUGGCUUUCCUCCUGGUCAGCCAGUCUCUUGGCCAGGCGGUCGCGCUCCUGGGCCAAGGCAUUGAGCUCACCUUCCUUGGUGCGAAGGGCGGUCUGGGCAAUACCCAGCUGCUGCCUCAAGUCGGCAUUGGCUCCUAACAGCAUGAAAAGAAGAAAUUAAGAAAGAAAUCGGCAAGAAAGAUCCGACCCGACUGCUCAGCAGUCGGCCCGAAUCUCGGGGACUACACCCAGUGAGUACGCUGACGCGCCCCACAUGAGAUAAAAAGACAAAGUCACUCACGCCGGCUCUCCUUCAGACCGGCGGCCUGUCACGACCGGUUUUCCAAUAAAAAUAUUUAUUGAUAAACCAGUCUUUUAAGUCCGGUAUGAGAGAAAUCCUCUUCACCGGUAGACAAUUUCUUGAUACAAUAAGCCAGUAGCAUAAAAUUCCAAUACAGGGUCGAACUGCGGUUGCUCAACCAAAUUAUUACAAGCACGCCAAUAAUUAUACAUAAUGGCGGAUAGGACACAGCGGUGUGGAGACGUACUACUAACUCAAGGAUAGGGUGGUGGUGGAAAAACACAGCGGGAAGGGAAAUACAAGACUCUAAGUCUAUCAUUUCAUCGAGCGUCGAGGUGAGGCUCGAUGAAUUUAUUUGGUAGCGGAAGCGGAUAUAAAACAGUGACCAAAUCCAGGGUCGCACGAGACUGACUGGGACUCCUCUAAGUGUCGGACUCGCUAUCGAACUCUUCAUCCAUGAGAUCGCCUUCGUCAGCAUCUGGCCAAAUCAACAAGCCAGUGAGUACUUUGAAAGUACUCGCAAGACAAUUCGGACGUAAGAUAUAAUAAAUGCGUGCAUGGAUGCAACAUGAUUAAUUCCUCAAUGCACAAUAAAUAAAAUUGGCAUAACGGGGUAAGUAAAAAGGGAAACGGCGGUAGUCCGCCUGGAAUCCCACAGAACAUAAAUAAAGACCGAUCGGGUGCCUGAAGCGACGCCUCGAAAGGUGAGCAAAUAAAAAUAAGGAAAAGAUGCCACAGUCGGGCGUCUUAGCGACACCACAUAAAGGGCUUAAAAAAGAAUGCCAUAGUCGGACGUCUGAGCGACAUCGCAGAAAGGGCUUUAAAAGAAAUGCCACAGCCGGACGUCUGAGCGACAUCGCAGAAAGGGCUUUAAGAAGAAAUGCCACGGUCGGACAUCUAAGCGACAUCACAGAAAGGGCUUUAAAAGAAAUGCCACAGCCGGACGUCUGAGCGACAUCACAGAACGGGCUUUAAAGGAAAUGCCACAGCCGGACGUCUGAGCGACAUCNNNNNNNNNNNNNNNNNNNNNNNNNNNNNNNNNNNNNNNNNNNNNNNNNNNNNNNNNNNNNNNNNNNNNNNNNNNNNNNNNNNNNNNNNNNNNNNNNNNNNNNNNNNNNNNNNNNNNNNNNNNNNNNNNNNNNNNNNNNNNNNNNNNNNNNNNNNNNNNNNNNNNNNNNNNNNNNNNNNNNNNNNNNNNNNNNNNNNNNNNNNNNNNNNNNNNNNNNNNNNNNNNNNNNNNNNNNNNNNNNNNNNNNNNNNNNNNNNNNNNNNNNNNNNNNNNNNNNNNNNNNNNNNNNNNNNNNNNNNNUUUAAAAGAAAUGCCACAGCCGGACGUCUGAGCGACACCACAGAAAGGGCUUUAAAAGAAAUGCCACAGCCGGACGUCUAAGCGACAUCACAGAAAGGGCUUUAAAAGAAAUGCCACAGCCGGACGUCUAAGCGACAUCACAGAAAGGGCUUUAAAAGAAAUGCCACAGUCGGACGUCUGAGCGACAUCACAGAAAGGGCUUUAUUCACAAGUAAAUAAUACUCAUAAUAAACAUUUAAUCCAUGAUAAUAAACGGGUUAGUCCAUCCACAGGAAUAAUCAUUUAACCGGACUUAGCAUUCAUGCGAUUCACCGGAGUCUCUGUCAUCAAAACUGACAAUUGAUUAGGAUAAGAUGGAACGAAUUUGGACAUGGAAUAGAUGAUUUGGAGGAAUAUAUGACUCUGCAGAGUUUGUACAAAAAUUUUCCCACAGCCAACGGAUUUCCGUAGUCACGAAGGACUAGUUCCGUUUACGGUAUUUCGGAAGAAAACACAGCUAACCGGUACACACCCAUCCUACCUCUCGAUGCUAGGAAUCACCCUAGACAUCGUCCAAGAAAAACUUUUGAGACGGGGAGAUCACAAUCUCGAAUAGCAUGGGAUCAAAUUUAUAUACGCACGCUCUAAGGGGUGCCCCCCUCUCGGUCCCAACCGGAAACACCCAUGCCCCCUGAGCGGAUGGCUGGCUUUAAUCCAGAGCCAUGGAACCAUCAUCACGGCCUCUCCUUUUUGAUGUGUACGAUGGAAGCGGUUUGCAACUUACUAAACCAUAUUCCUUGCGGAAAACAUGUGGUAGUACAAGGAAGGAAAUGAUAGGUACUGGACCGAUAUGGUUUGACACUGAAGUCACAUAGUCUGGCGUAAGACUGGCAUGCUACAACACUGCCAUCGUACCCAUCCUCAUGCCAACACAUGGCCAUUCAUAUUCACAUUCAUCCAUGUAUGGAUCAUCGAACUCACUUACCUCAUUAUCACAUAAAAUAACGUUCAUCGGUAUGCUCACCAACAUGCCAUGAAACUAACUAAAUGCAAAACAUGCCAAGACACUCAUCAUAUCAAAAGUUCAAACAUGCUUGCCUGGUUCAGAGUAGUUGGAGCCUAGCUCGGUGAAGUUCGCGGCUCCGUCACCUCCUUCGGUAUCUACGGUAUAAAGAAAAUACAUGCGCUAUCGUAAAUACCAAGGAGUGCACAGAAGGUAAACCAAAUAUUUUUCAAAUAAAUCUGAUAAAAAACUAGGCAAAAUUUUAAAGAGAACAGAGAAAGAAUCAAUCAAAAAUACUUUUCUGUUUAAAAGUUAUAAGGGUUUUUGUCCAGGGACUAUUCUGUAAUGAAACAGAAGAUUUCUAGGGGCUAGUUUAUAAAAACAGAAAAUGCUUCGGUAGCGACUACGCCAACCCAAAGAGAAGACGCAUCCUGCCCGAAGGUGCUUCCAGAAAACGAUUCGAGAGACAGAGCAGAGAGGCUGAUGGUGGGGUCUCACCCGUCAGGUUUAAAUGUUCAAACGGGGCGGCAGAGUUCGCCGGCGCCCGAGAGCCGCGGUGGUCGCCGGCGGCGAUCCACGGCGUGGCAGAGAGAUCGGAGGGUACCUCCAUGCUCAGGGCACCCUUCCGCGUCAAUUGAUGGUGGUGGAGUCGGUCGGCGAGCACCACGUCGACGGCGAGCUUUGCUCCGGCGGACGGCGGCUCGGGUGGUCGAGGGGCUCGUCGGAGAGGGAUGGAAAGGUUAAAUUGAAGAGGGGGUUAUGCUCCUGGCAGCUAGGGAGGGUAACGAGCGGGGUUGGAGCGCCGGAUAUGGCCUUACCAGAACGAAUCGGGCUGGAGGCCGAGGCGGGGCGAGGUAGCCAGAGCUGGGGGAGGAGACCUCCCCGAGGUCCCCCUAGUGGCCUGGCGGGGUGGUGGUGAGAAGUGGUGGUGCUGCGUGCACGAGAGUGAGCUCGGGGCCCCUUUAUAUAGGCGGUCCGAGGCGGUUGCAUUGAACGAGGAUCACCGGCGAGUGAUUACGGUGGCGUCGUGCUCAGUCGGGGUGGUUAGGGGGUCGAGCGCCAUCACGGAGGUUCAAAGGGUCCGUUUUGGUGUCAAACUGGCCGGGGUUUGGGUGUUAAGGGCGAGCUCAACGGAACGGGGAUGGCGCGGGCCCGUCGGCGGCGGAGAGCGCGUUCCGUGCUUGCCGGCCACGGUGGCUGUGCCACGGGCGUGCGCUGGCGUGCAUGAGGCCACGCGGAGAGCCAGGGAGCGAUGGGCGGCGCGGAACGGCGUUCUGCCGUGGUGUGCCUCCUGUCGGCCGCCACGGGAGGUCCCGACGCCACAGAAGACGCCGGCGAGGCCGGGCCAGCGCGCUACCGAUGCCAGGAAGGCUCCACGCACGCGUGUGAAGCUUCAGACAAGAGAAAGAGGCGGCGAGGAACGUGCCAAGGGCACUGUGGCCGCGUGACCGAAACUGACGAACUGAAGAUGACACUGAAACUGAAUUUUUCUGAACUUUGAACAGUGACAGUGCCCACAAGGUGUUCGACAGAAUGAAAUUGGCCUCUGGUGAUUUUUCCUUGAGCUGAAUUUUGGUGGAGGGUCUUCUCCUUGCUCAAGUAGGCUGCAUGAUUUUUGGUGGAAUUUUUGGAGCAGUGUGGAUAUGAAUUUCACCAAAUUUGGCAAAUCUGGUCCAAACUUGCAGAGACUGUAUUUUGAAAAAUUUGAAAAGAGGAGGAGUGGAUCAAGAUGGUUCUGGGUUGUGGGUUCAAAGGACAAUCCAGGAGAAUUGGUUUGAGGUCAAAACUCAAAUGAAAAAGUGUACUUGCUUUGAAAAUCCCUCAGGCUUCAAAUAAUUUUCAGACUUGAUUUGAGAGGGAAAAAUAAUUAGAAUAAAAUCCAAAACUAGUUGGGAUUAGUUGGGAUAGAGAACUUAGGUUGAUCACAAGGGGGAGGGGAGGUUUUGGAGGGGUUUUAUCUCGUGGACAAAAUACAAAGCCAAGGGUGGCUUUAAAGAUAUGAAAAUCCCAAAUUUUCAUAGAGCUUCACUUUAAAAUAAAACAAAUUAAAACUCCCCAAAAAAAGUUUUUAGAGGGAACCAACAGAGAAGAAGUUUGCAAAAGAUCAACCACCAAAGUUUGAAAGAAAUAAAAUCCUUGCCAAGGCAAAAAGGAAGUUAUUAAGAGGAAGGUUUUUCUAAAAAAGAAUUUUUUUUUAAAAAGUCUCUCCUAAAAACCACAGAGUUUUUGAUAAAAACGAAAUAAAAAUUUUGGAGUGUCACACGGCCCUCUUGUCUGCCUCCCGGACUUGGGAGUUGAAGGUAGUGGCGCGGAGGUUGUGGUAAUCCUGCAAACAGGACGAAGAAGCAGCAAGGGCAAGUCAGUAAAACAAGUCUUCGGAGAAGUUCCAAGCCGCCUGCUCAGCAGCCGGCUCGGAACUCGGGGACUAUAGCCAGUGGGUGCGCUGACGCGCCCCCACGGAAAGAAAUCAAGGACAAGAGAACUCACCCGAACGACCGCCCGCGUCAUGAGAAACUCUUGGGUGCAUUGCUGCAGCGUGGUGGCUUGGGCCUGAAGUCGGUUGCGGACGUCUUGCGCUGCCAAGUUCAGUGAGGCCGACCCAUCGCCUUGCAUCCACCCCGGCGUGCUAGCGGUGGCCGACUCCAGUUCAUGCGACAACGAGCUGGAGGCGUCCGCCCUCUGCGGAUCCGGCUCUAAAGCCGCCCUCGCCGCACGCCGGCGAGCCGGCGUCAAGACCACAAGAUCCACCUGUGCAGUCGGCUGCUUAGGCGGCACCUCGGGCUGGCCGCCUUGGCCGGUCCCAGCCGUCAGAGGCGGCACCACUCCUCCCUCCAGGAGGACUACGUCGCCUUCCACCCUCUCCGUCACCGGCGGGUCGCGGCUGAUCUCCUCCGACGGGGGCUUCGGGACGUCUGGGGGCGCGGAACGGAUGGGGAUGACGAUCCGUGGAGGUUGGCCUCGCAGGCCUUCUGCCGUCUUCUCCGCGGUGUCGGCUUCCGCCCGGGCCCUGGCCGCCGCGUUGGCCUGCGCCUCAGCCGACUCCGCCGUCGUCUCCAGGGCCGGCUUGGCGGCAGCUGCCCUUCUCUCCUCCGCCUCCCGUUCCUCCCGCGCUUCCCGCGUGUUCCGCUCUGUCGCCGCCUGAAGCUGGGCGCGGGGAUCUACGCGAUGGGAGCCCGCAGACCCUCUCGCUCCGCCGGCUAUGGAGGCGGCGGUAGUCUGCUCGAGAGUGAGCGGGGCCCUGAUCGACAAAACAGGAGACAAGACUUAGAAGAAAAUCAAACGAAGAAAAGAAAGAAAGUUGCGUAAACGCCAGAACUUACGCCGAAACCGCCUGCGGCUGCUUCACCACUUUGCGGAAGCGGGCUGCCUUCGCUGCCACCUCGUCCCGCUUGGUUGCCGCCGCGGGUACCUUAGGCCUCUUCGGCCGGCCACCAAAGGGAGUCGGUGCAGCACGGCGCUUCAGUACGCCACCUCGUGCGGCCGGCCCACCGAAUGGGCCGGCGCCUUGGGGGUCGGACGCCGGCUGGCUGCGUGGAGCUGGAUCGGCCUCGUCAUCAUCGGGCUAGUCUUCAAAGCCGGCGGUGAGGCCGGAGCCGCCUGCCUCAUCGCCGCCCCCCCGGCAUCCUCGUCCAAGGCGGCCGCCCCCAAGUCGGCGUCAUCAGGAUCGUCGGCCGCGCGGUCGGGGGCAAACUCGUGCUCCGGCCCCGCGGUCCCGGCCGAAGGAUGAAGAAGGGGGUUCUGAUUAAGGACAGACCGACUGGUCAAGAGUCGGCCCGGAAAAGGAUUCAACAACAAAUAAAGAAAGGAAACUUACCACUGGUGGUGGAUUGGCGCUAGAGAAUGGCGCCAUGCCAUACUGCCAGUCCGGCUUGAGCUUGCAUUUGGCGAUGUAGUUCACCAUGUAGGACACCUCAUCGUGAGGCAUCUACCUGGUGCUGAGCCGGCUCGGGUCGAACCGGCCGCUCAUCUGGCAGAUCAAAUGAGGGCGGCCUUGGAGCAGAAGGACCCGACACUCGACAGCGGUGAUCAAGUCGGGCCCGAUCAGGCGUUCCGACUGGAUGAGCACCCAAAGUCGGGCGACGGCUCCGGCUCCAGCCGGCGUUAGCGACCUGGCCCGAUAGGACCAUGAAGCUGUGACACUCCAAAAUUUUUAUUUGGUUUUUAUCAAAAACUCUGUGGUUUUUAGGAGAGACUUUUUUAAAAAAAAAAUCUUUUUCAGAAAAACCUUCCUCUUAAAAACUUCCUUUUGCCUUGGAAAGGAUUUUAUUUCUUUCAAACUUUGGUGGUUGAUCUUUUGCAAGCUUCUUCUCUGUUGGUUCCCUCUAAAAAUUUAUUUUUUUGGGAGUUUUAAUUUGUUUUAUUUUAAAAUGAAGCUCUAUGAAAAUUUGGGAUUUUCAUAUCUUUAAAGCCACCCUUGGCUUUGUAUUUUUGUCCAUGAGAUAAAACCCCUCCAAAACCUCCCCUCCCCCUUGUGAUCAACCUAAGUUCUCUGUCCCAACUAAUCCAAACUAGUUUUGGAUUUUAUUCUAAUUAUUUUUCCCUCUCAAAUCAAUUCUGAAAAUUAUUUGAAGCCUGAGGGAUUUUCAAAGCAAGUACACUUUUUCAUUUGAGUUUUGACCUCAAACCAAUUCUCCUGGAUUGUCCUUUGAACCCACAACCCAGAACCAUCUUGAUCCACUCCUCCUCUUUUCAAAUUUUUCAAAAUACAGUCUCUGCAAGUUUGGACCAGAUUUGCCAAAUUUGGUGAAAUUCAUAUCCACACUGCUCCAAAAAUUCCACCAAAAAUCAUGCAGCCUACUUGAGCAAGGAGAAGCCCCUCCACCAAAAUUCAGCUCAAGGAAAAAUCACCAGAGGCCAAUUUCAUUCUGUCGAACACCUUCUGGGCACUGUCACUGUUCAAAGUUCAGAAAAUUCAGUUUCAGUGUCAUCUUCAGUUCGUCAGUUUCAGUCACGCGGCCACAGUGCCCUUGGCACGUUCCUCGCCGCCUCUUUCUCUUUUCCGAAGCUUCACACGCAUGCGUGGAGCCUUCCUGGCGUCGUUAGCGCGCUGGCCCGCCCUCGCCGGCGUCUUCUGUGGCGUCGGGACCUCCUGUGGCGGCCGAUAGGAGGCACACCACGGCAGAACGCCGUUCCGCGCCGCCCAUCGCUCCCUGGCUCUCCGCGUGGCCUCAUGCACGCCAUCGCACGCCCGUGGCACAGCCACCGUGGCCGGCAAGCACGGAACGCGCUCUCCGCCGCUGACGGGCCCGCGCCAUCCCCGUUCCGUUGAGCUCGCCCUUAACACCCAAACCCUGGCCAGUUUGACACCAAAACGGACCCUUUGAACCUCCGUGAUGACGCUCGACCCCCUAACCACCCGGACCGAGCACGACGCCACCGUAAUCACUCGCCGGUGAUCCUCGUUCACGGCGACCGCCUCGGACUGCCUAUAUAAAGGGGCCCCGAGCUCACUCUCGUGCACGCAGCACCUCCACUUCUCACCACCACCCCGCCAGGCCACUAGGGGGACCUCGGGGAGGUCUCCUCCCCCAGCAGCGGCCACCUCGCCCCGCCUCGGCCUCCAGCCCGAUUCGUUCUGGUAAGGCCAUCUCCGGCGCUCCAACCCCGCUCGUUACCCUCCCUAGCUGCCAGGAGCAUAACCCCCUCUUCAAUUUAACCUUUGCAGCCCUCUCCGACGAGCCCCUCGACCACCCGAGCCGCCGUCCGCUGGAGCAAAGCUCGCCGUCGACGUGGUGCUCGCCGACCGACUCCACCACCAUCAACUGACGCGGAAGGGUGCCCUGAGCACGGAGGUACCCUCCGAUCUCUCUGCCAUGCCGUGGAUCGCCACCGGCGACCACCGCGGGUCUCGGGCGCCGGCGAACUCUGCUGCCCCGUUUGAACAUUUAAACCUGAGGGGUGGGACCCCACCGUCAGCCUCUCUGCUCUCUCUCUCUCGAAUCAUUUUCUGGAAGCGCCUUCGGGCAGGAUGCGUCUUCUCUUUGGGUUGGCGUAGUCGCUACCGAAGCGUUUUCUGUUUUUAUAAACUAGCCCCUGGAAAUCUUCUGUUUCAUUACAGAAUAGUCCCUGAACAAAAACCCUUAUAACUUUUAAACAGAAAAGUAUUUUUGAUUGAUUCUUUCUCUGUUCUCUUUAAAAUUUUGCCUAGUUUUUUAUCAGAUUUAUUUGAAAAAUAUUUGGUUUACCUUCUGUGCACUCCUUGGUAUUUACGAUAGCGCAUGUAUUUUCUUUAUACCAUAGAUACCGAAGGAGGUGACAGAGCCGCGAACUUCACCGAGCUAGGCUCCGACUACUCUGAACCAGGCAAGCAUGUUUGAACUUUUGAUAUGAUGAGUGUCUUGGCAUGUUUUGCAUUUAGUUAGUUUCACGGCAUGUUGGUGAGCAUACCGAUGAACGUUAUUUUAUGUGAUGAUGAGGUAAGUGAGUUCGAUGAUCCAUACAUGGAUGAAUGUGAAUAUGAAUGGCCAUGUGUUGGCAUGAGGAUGGGUACGAUGGCAGUGUUGUAGCAUGCCGGUCUUACGCCAGACUAUGUGACUUCAGUGUCAAACCAUAUCGGUCCAGUACCUAUCAUUUCCUUCCUUGUACAACCACAUGUUUUCCGCAAGGAAUAUGGUUUAGUAAGUUGCAAACCGCUUCCAUGGUACACAUCAAAAAGGAGAGGCCGUGAUGAUGGUUCCAUGGCCCUGGAUUAAAGCCAGUCAUCCGGUCAGGGGGCAUGGGUGUUUCCGGUUGGGACCGAGAGGGGGGCACCCCUUAGAGCGCGCGUAUAUAAAUUUGAUCCCAUGCUAUUCGAGAUUUUGAUCUCCCCGUCUCAAAAGUUUUUCUUGGACGAUGUCUAGGGUGAUUCCUAGCAUCGAGAGGUAGGAUGGGUGUGUAUCGGUUAGCUGUGUUUUCUUCCGAAAUACCGUAAACGGAACUAGUCCUUCGUGACUACGGAAAUCCGUUGGCUGUGGGAAAAUUUUUGUACAAACUCUGCAGAGUCAUAUAUUCCUCCAAAUCAUCUAUUCCAUGUCCAAAUUCGUUCCAUCUUAUCCUAAUCAAUUGUCAGUUUUGAUGACAGAGACUCCAGUGAAUCGCAUGAAUGCUAAGUCCGGUUAAAUGAUUAUUCCUGUGGAUGGACUAACCCGUUUAUUAUCAUGGAUCAAAUGUUUAUUAUGAGUAUUAUUUACUUGUGAAUAAAGCCCUUUCUGUGAUGUCGCUCAGACGUCCGGCUGUGGCAUUUCUUUUAAAGCCCUUUCUGUGAUGUCGCUUAGACGUCCGGCUGUGGCAUUUCUUUUAAAGCCCUUUCUGUGAUGUCGCUUAGACGUCCGGCUGUGGCAUUUCUUUUAAAGCCCUUUCUGUGAUGUCGCUCAGACGUUCGGCUGUGGCAUUUCUUUUAAAGCCCUUUCUAUGAUGUCGCUCAGACGUCCNNNNNNNNNNNNNNNNNNNNNNNNNNNNNNNNNNNNNNNNNNNNNNNNNNNNNNNNNNNNNNNNNNNNNNNNNNNNNNNNNNNNNNNNNNNNNNNNNNNNNNNNNNNNNNNNNNNNNNNNNNNNNNNNNNNNNNNNNNNNNNNNNNNNNNNNNNNNNNNNNNNNNNNNNNNNNNNNNNNNNNNNNNNNNNNNNNNNNNNNNNNNNNNNNNNNNNNNNNNNNNNNNNNNNNNNNNNNNNNNNNNNNNNNNNNNNNNNNNNNNNNNNNNNNNNNNNNNNNNNNNNNNNNNNNNNNNNNNNNNNNNNNNNNNNNNNNNNNNNNNNNNGGCUGUGGCAUUUCUUUUAAAGCCCUUUCUGUGAUGUCGCUUAGACGUCCGACUGUGGCAUUUCUUCUUAAAGCCCUUUCUGCGAUGUCGCUCAGACGUCCGGCUGUGGCAUUUCUUUUAAAGCCCUUUCUGCGAUGUCGCUCAGACGUCCGACUGUGGCAUUCUUUUUUAAGCCCUUUAUGUGGUGUCGCUAAGACGCCCGACUGUGGCAUCUUUUCCUUAUUUUUUUAUUUGCUCACCUUUCGAGGCGUCGCUUCAGACACUCGAUCGGUCUUUAUUUAUGUUCUGUGGGAUUCCAGGCGGACUACCGCCGUUUCCCUUUUUACUUACCCCGUUAUGCCAAUUUUAUUUAUUGUGCAUUGAGAAAUUAAUCAUGUUGCAUCCAUGCACGCAUUUAUUUUAUCUUACAUCCGAACUGUCUUGCGAGUACUUUCAAAGUACUCACUGGCUUGUUGAUUUGGCCAGAUGCUGACGAAGGUGAUCUCAUGGAUGAAGAGUUCGAUAGCGAGUCCGACACUUAGAGGAGUCCUAGUCAGUCUCGUGCGACCCUGGAUUUGGUCACUGUUUUAUAUCCGCUUCCGCUACCAAAUAAAUUCAUCGAGCCUCACCUCGACGCUCGAUGAAAUGAUAGACUUAGAGUCUUGUAUUUCCCUUCCUGCUGUGUUUUUCCACCACCACCCUAUCCUUGAGUCAGUAGUAUGUCUCCACACCGCUGUGUCCUGUCCGCCAUUAUGUAUAAUUAUUGGCGUGCUUGUAAUAAUUUGGUUGAGCAACCGCAGUUCGACCCUGUAAUGGAAUUUUAUGCUACUGGCUUAUUGUAUCAAGAAAUUGUCUACCAGUGAAGAGGAUUUCUCUCAUACUGGACUUAAAAGACUGGUUUAUCAAUAAAUAUUUUUAUUGGAAAACCGGUCGUGACAAGCUUGGGACCAGAGCCAGGCUGACUAUAGGAAGCCACUAGGUGCGAUCGCUAAUUAGUUAUUAGCAUGACAGAGUUUUUUUUUAUUUUUGCAAUUGUAGUCAUUUUCUGUCAGUCAGCAUAAAUUUAUGAUCUGACCCUGCAGAAUUUUUGCCUACUUUUGUAGAUGGCCGACAACAGCUGCGAGUCUCAGACCUUCGCCAACGUGCCCGAUGGGUUCGUCAAGCUUCUUUCUUUCAUCGUUCAGGUCGCGAUGGGGCCAUCCGUGUGCCCAGUCUUCUCACUCUGCCAGCACCGAGUCAACGACAGUCUGACCAUGCACCAGGCCGCGGUGCAGUUCAGGGGAGGGCGUGGUGAGUUACGCCGCUUCCGGUUCAUGGGGAGAGCCAUGCCUACGGAGAGGCAUGCUAUGCAGAUGGCAGCCCGCGAGGCGAUAGCUCGUCUCAGGGAUGUCCUUCCCGUGAUGAAGACUCGUCGUUACCGUUAUCUUCCGUGCCAUGUGCCUUACACCUGUCACUACGCAUACUCCUGCCCCAGAGGAGAACGAGACGAGGCUUUUGAGAUGCUCAUUGAGUAUCUCCGAGCCUUGGAGGCAGCCUUCGACAACCUGGUGGACGACUUCGUAGCUACCCGCAUGGACUCAGUCCAUGGCUGUGCUGCCAACAGGAGGGAGCUCCUACCCAUCGCUCCGCCACUGACUUUUGUCUCGUCAUCAGCAUCUUUUACGCCUACUCGUCGCCUGCCUUCUACCGAAGAAUUUAACCAAGUCAUGGCACCCACUCCAGCGCGCACUGCACCAACCUUCGCGCCCACUCCUGUAUGUGUUGCUCCUCCCCUGGCAACCGCUCCGUCCGCUCUGCGCAACACUACACGUAUGGAGCCCAUUAGCGAGGAGGAAGUCGAGUCCCCAACCUUGCUACGCCUCGCCCUCGGCAGGGCAAGGGAGGUCGUCAACAUCUCUGCCUGAGUACGCUUAGCUGCCGUGUAUUGUACCGCUUGUAAGAUAUGUACAUAGGUUGCGAGAAGUAGCCUGUUUGCGCAUCAUGUAGGAUCUGGAGAAGUGCACUAGCCUAAAUAACAUGUCAGGAUUUUGUACGCAUAUCCUGAGUGAUGUACUGUAUAAUUACCGCCCGUGUGUAAGAUAUGUAAUGAGCAGUCCUUCUCCGUGCGCAAGUUGAUUUGUUUUUUUUCUUAAGUAAGCUUGGGUAUUUAAUUUUAUCUGGCAGCUUUAUGCUUUUAUGGUUUUGUUUUGCGACUCUUUCCGCUUUUCUUAAAAGUUUUACAAAAAUAUAUUUCCCAGAGUGAAAAAUGUCUCGUCCUUGGACACGUUCCAUGCCAACUCCACCAGAGGAAAUUCAUGAUACUCAACCCAACAAUGAGUUCACUCAGGGACAGUCAAGCCAACAAGGCAGUGAAUCGGCACUUUCACAAAUGUGCCGCCUUUAUGAACAGAGUCAAUAACAACAUCGCGAGAUGAUGAACCAAGUCAUCAACAUGGGGAAUCAUCAUGGACAAUAUCAGCAACAUUCCAAGUUGUCUGAGCUACAGAAGACACGUCCUCAAACAUUUUCUCACACUGACAAGCCUCUUGAAGCCGAGGACUGGCUUCGAGAUAUGGAGAGGAAAUUAAUUAUUGCAAAGUGUUCAGAUCUCGAGAAAGUGCUAUAUGCUCCACACUAUCUCACAGGAGCAGCCGCAUCGUGGUGGGAGAAUUUUCUGCACUUGCAUCCCAACGAAAAUGACAUAACCUGGGAUGAUUUCAAGGAAGGUUUCCGUGGUGCACAUAUUCCUAAGAGUAUUAUGAAAAUCAAGAAGAGAGAAUUCGAUGACCUCAAACAAAGGAACAUGACAGUGUCAGAUUACAACAGUCAAUUUACCCUAUUAUCCCGCUACGCCAAUGAGGAGCGUAUGACUGAAAUCAAGAAGAUGGAGAAAUUCCUUGACGGUCUGGCGCCCGCGCUUAAAUGCCAACUGGUCGUACACACUUUUCCUGAUUUUAAAACGCUGGUGGACAAGGCCAUUACUCUGGAAAAUGAGAGACGCAGUCUGGAAGAUAUCCGCAAGCGAAAAAGGGACCAGACUAAUCACACUCGCAAUCACCGAAGCAAGACUGAUUUUAAAAAGGGUGGGACACCCAAAUUCUCAUCCAAUGUCUCACGCCCAAUCAAGAAUUUUCAUGCAAGGGACAAGGAAUUCACCUAUCGUCCCGGCGUUACUUGUUACGCUUGUGGAGAAGAAGGGCAUUAUGCCAAACAGUGCCCCAAGCCAAGGAACUCAACCCCAAAGCCGAACAACGGCGGCAAUAAUUCAGCGCCCAAGCGAAACAAUUUCAAUCCCAACAAUAUCCACAGGAAGGGUCAUCUGAACCACGUAACCAAAGAGGAGGCACAAAAUGCUCCGGAUAUCGUACUCGGUACGUUUCCUGUCAACACAAUACCUGAAUGGUUUUGUUUGAUUCUGGAGCUUCUCACUCUUUCAUCUCAAAAAGUUUUGCUUUGCAAAAUAAUUUCUCGAUGCUUCCUUUGGAGAAAUCCAUAUUAAUCAAGUCCCCCGGGAUUCAGCAAGUUUCUCAGAAUUACUAUCAGAAUGUGGCCAUUGAGUUUGAAGGAUUGGAGUUUUAUGCAAAUCUUAUUGUAUUGGAAAAUAAAGGACUGGAUGUCAUCCUAGGGAUGGAUUGGCUAACCACCAAUAAAGGUUUUAUCGACUGUUUCAACAGGACUGUGAUUCUCACACACCACCAAGGGAAGACAAUAAGAGUAUCAGCCAAGGAAGGAAAAAGACCCCGGCAACCGAGAUUAAAAAAGGUGGACGUUUCUGAGCUAAACAAGGUUCCAGUAGUGUGUGAAUUUCCAAAUGUAUUCCCUGAAGAGCUGCCAGGCAUGCCACCAGACCGAGAAAUAGAAUUCCGCAUUGAGCUAGCACCAGGAACCACCCCCAUAUACAAGAAACCAUACAGAAUGGCACCAUCUGAGUUGAUCGAAUUGAAGAAGAAAAUAAAGGAAUUACUGGAAAAAGGAUGCAUUCGAGCCAGCUCCUCACCUUGGGGAUCACCAAUUUUAUUUGCCAAGAAGAAGGAUGGAACGCUGAGAUUGUGUAUUGACUAUCAAGCACUUAACAUGGUCACAGUCAAAAACAAAUACCCGAUGCCAAGGAUAAACGAUUUGUUUGAUCAACUUGCUCAGGCCAAGGUAUUCUCAAAAAUUGACUUAAGGUCAGGAUACCAUCAAUUGAAGGUACGAACAGAAGAUAUCCCCAAAACAGCCUUCACCUCCAGAUAUGGACUGUACGAGUUCACAGUGAUGCCAUUUGGGUUAACUAACGCCCCGGCAUAUUUUGUUCACCUCAUGAACAAAGUAUUUAUGAAGUUUAUGGACAAAUUCGUCGUGGUAUUCAUCGACGAUAUUCUGGUAUACUCCAAAACACCAGAAGAGCACGCAGAACAUCUCACGAUUGUACUAGGAGAACUAAGGAAACACCAAUUGUAUGCCAAGUUCAGCAAGUGUGAAUUUUGGCUAAGGCAAGUAGGUUUUCUAGGCCACGUGCUGACUCAAGACGGUAUAGCAGUGGACCCAGAGAAAGUCAAGGUCAUACUUGACUGGAAGUCACCAGCCAGCGUAACGGACAUACGAAGUUUCUUGGGAAUGGCAGGAUAUUACCGCAGAUUUAUUGAAGGAUUUUCCACCAUAUCCAAGCCUAUGACACAGUUACUCAAGAAAGAUAAGAAGUUUGAGUGGACAGAAGCCUGCGAGAAAAGUUUCCAAGAGCUAAAGCGGAAAUUAACAACAGCACCGGUAUUAAUUGUACCCAAUAUACACAAGAAUUUUGAAGUAUUUUGUGACGCGUCCAGAAAGGGUCUCGGAUGCGUGUUGAUGCAAGAAGGCAAGGUUGUCGCCUACGCUUCAAGGCAACUUCGCAAGCACGAGGAAAAUUAUCCCACUCAUGACUUAGAAAUGGCAGCAGUUAUCCAUGCACUCAAGGAAUGGAGGCAUUUCCUACUUGGGAAUCGAUGUGAGAUAUAUACGGAUCACAAAAGCCUCAAAUACAUUUUUACGCAGCCAGAACUAAAUUUACGGCAACGCCGCUGGUUGGAAUUGGUAAAGGAUUAUGAUGUUGGUAUCCAUUACCAUCCAGGGAAAGCAAACGUAGUAGCCGAUGCCCUGAGUCGGAACCCCAGCUCCGACGGGAACUAUCUGCACAACUUGAGGCCCGAAUUCCAUCAAGAAUUUGCCAAGCUCAACUUGAUAAUGGUAGCAGAAGGCACCAUAUCAAACGUGGAAAUACAACCACACCUUGUGGAGAAAAUUAAAGAGGCUCAGUCCGGUCACCCCAGCAUUGAAGGAAUUAAAAGAAAGUUGAGUAUGGACAAGGUCUCGGAAUUCGUCAUAGACAAUGAAGGAAUAUUAUGGUACGGAGAAAGGCUAUGCGUGCCAAGCAUAGAAGACCUUAAACAACAAACUUUAGCUGAAGCACACACCACUCCAUAUUCGAUCCACCCUGGAGGAACCAAAAUGUAUAAUGAUAUUCAGGAAAGAUUUUGGUGGCACGGUAUGAAGAGGGACAUAGCCGCCUUCAUUGCAUGUUGCGACUCAUGUCAACGCAUAAAAGCUGAACAUCAGAGACCAGCCGGACUACUGCAACCUAACAAAAUACCUGAGUGGAAAUGGGAUGAAAUAGGGAUGGAUUUUAUUGUCGGAUUACCUCGGUCACAACACGGGAAUGAUGCCAUAUGGGUCAUCUCUGACAGGUUGACCAAAGUGGCACACUUUAUUCCAGUGAAGACAACCUACACCACUCAGAGGCUUGCCAGGAUUUAUCUUUCCCGCAUAGUCUGUCUGCACGGUGUCCCGAAGACUAUAAUUUCCGACAGAGGGACUCAGUUCAUCUCAAGAUUUUGGGAACAUUUACAACAGGCUCUGGGGACCCAACUAGCCUUCAGUACCGCAUACCAUCCACAGACUGAUGGACAAACAGAACGCGUAAACCAGGUUUUAGAAGACAUGCUGAGAGCAUGCGUCCUCACCUAUGGAACCAGUUGGGAGGACAGCCUGCCAUAUGCCGAGUUUGCAUACAACAACAGUUACCAGGCCAGCCUGCAAAUGGCUCCUUUCGAAGCCCUAUACGGAAGGAGAUGUUGUACCCCGUUAAAUUGGUCAGAGACCGGAGACAGCCGCAUCUUCGGACCAGAUAUGCUCAGAGAAGCCGAGGAAAAAGUCAAGCUAAUCAGGGACCGACUUAAGACCGCUCAAAGUCGACAGAAAAGUUAUUAUGAUCAGAAACAUCGUAGGGUCAGCUUCGAACCCGGUGAGUUCGUAUAUUUGAGAGUAUCCCCGAUGAGAGGAUUGCAACGGUUUAAGAUUAAAGGAAAAUUAGCACCAAGAUUCAUUGGACCACUUUGCAUAGUGGCACGAAGAGGCACUGUAGCCUACCAGCUAGACUUACCCGAAGACUUGUCCGACAUUCACGACGUGUUCCACGUCUCUCAAUUAAGGAAGUGCGUAAACAACCCAGAGAAACAAGUAUCCCAUGAGAACAUUGACGUGCAGCCAGACCUCACUUAUCGAGAACGUCCCAUAAGGAUAUUAGAGGAGUCUGAAAGGAGGACCAGACAGAAAACCAUCAAGUUUUUCAAAGUCCAGUGGAGCAAUCACACCGACAGUGAAGCAACUUGGGAAAGCGAGGAUUUUCUUCGGACAGAGCAUCCACACUUAUUUAAGGAUCAGCUGAAAUCUCGGGGACGAGAUUUUUCCUAAGGGGGUAGGUGCUGUGACACUCCAAAAAUUUUAUUUGGUUUUUAUCAAAAACUCUGUGGUUUUUAGGAGAGACUUUUUAAAAAAAAAUUCUUUUUCAGAAAAACCUUCCUCUUAAAAACUUCCUUUUGCCUUGGAAAGGAUUUUAUUUCUUUCAAACUUUGGUGGUUGAUCUUUUGCAAACUUCUUCUCUGUUGGUUCCCUCUAAAAAUUUAUUUUUUUGGGAGUUUUAAUUUGUUUUAUUUUAAAAUGAAGCUCUAUGAAAAUUUGGGAUUUUCAUAUCUUUAAAGCCACCCUUGGCUUUGUAUUUUUGUCCAUGAGAUAAAACCCCUCCAAAACCUCCCCUCCCCCUUGUGAUCAACCUAAGUUCUCUGUCCCAACUAAUCCAAACUAGUUUUGGAUUUUAUUCUAAUUAUUUUUCCCUCUCAAAUCAAUUCUGAAAAUUAUUUGAAGCCUGAGGGAUUUUCAAAGCAAGUACACUUUUUCAUUUGAGUUUUGACCUCAAACCAAUUCUCCUGGAUUGUCCUUUGAACCCACAACCCAGAACCAUCUUGAUCCACUCCUCCUCUUUUCAAAUUUUUCAAAAUACAGUCUCUGCAUGUUUGGACCAGAUUUGCCAAAUUUGGUGAAAUUCAUAUCCACACUGCUCCAAAAAUUCCACCAAAAAUCAUGCAGCCUACUUGAGAAAGGAGAAGCCCCUCCACCAAAAUUCAGCUCAAGGAAAAAUCACCAGAGGCCAAUUUCAUUCUGUCGAACACCUUGUGGGCACUGUCACUGUUCAAAGUUCAGAAAAUUCAGUUUCAGUGUCAUCUUCAGUUCGUCAGUUUCAGUCACGCGGCCACAGUGCCCUUGGCACGUUCCUCGCCGCCUCUUUCUCUUGUCCGAAGCUUCACACGCGUGCGUGGAGCCUUCCUGGCGUCGGUAGCGCGCUGGCCCGCCCUCGCCGGCGUCUUCUGUGGCGUCGGGACCUCCCGUGGCGGCCGACAGGAGGCACACCACGGCAGAACGCUGUUCUGCGCCGCCCAUCGCUCCCUGGCUCUCCGCGUGGCCUGAUGCACGCCAGCGCACGCCCGUGGCACAGCCACCGUGGCCGGCAAGCACGGAACGCGCUCUCCGCCGCCGACGGGCCCGCACCAUCCCCGUUCCGUUGAGCUCGCCCUUAACACCCAAACCCCGGCCAGUUUGACACCAAAACGGACCCUUUGAACCUCCGUGAUGAUGCUUGACCCCCUAACCACCCCGACCGAGCACGACGCCACCGUAAUCACUCGCCGGUGAUCCUCGUUCACGGCAACCGCAUCGGACCGCCUAUAUAAAGGGGCCCCGAGCUCACUCUCGUGCACGCAGCACCUCCACUUCUCACCACCACCCCGCCAGGCCACUAGGGGGACCUCGGGGAGGUCUCCUCCCCCAGCUCCGGCCACCUCGCCCCGCCUCGGCCUCCAGCCCAAUUCGUUCUGGUAAGGCCAUCUCCGGCGCUCCAACCCCGCUCGUUACCCUCCCUAGCUGCCAGGAGCAUAACCCCCUCUUCAAUUUAACCUUUGCAGCCCUCUCCGACGAGCCCCUCGACCACCCGAGCCGCCGUCCGCCGGAGCAAAGCUCGCCGUCGACGUGGUGCUCGCCGACCGACUCCACCACCAUCAACUGAUGCGGAAGGGUGCCCUGAGCACGGAGGUACCCUCCGAUCUCUCUGCCACGCCGUGGAUCGCCGCCGGCGACCACCGCGGCUCUCGGGCGCCGGCGAACUCUGCCACCCCAUUUGAACAUUUACACCUGACGGGUGGGACCCCACCGUCAGCCUCUCUGCUCUCUCUCGAAUCGUUUUCUGGAAGCGCCUUCGGGCAGGAUGCGUCUUCUCUUUGGGUUGGCGUAGUCGCUACCGAAGCGUUUUCUGUUUUUAUAAACUAGCCCCUGGAAAUCUUUUGUUUCAUUACAGAAUAGUCCCUAGACAAAAGCCCUUAUAACUUUUAAACAGAAAAGUAUUUUUGAUUGAUUCUUUCUCUGUUCUCUUUAAAAUUUUGCCUAGUUUUUUAUCAGAUUUAUUUAAAAAAUAUUUGGUUUACCUUCUGUGCACUCCUUGGUAUUUACGAUAGCGCAUGUAUUUUCUUUAUACCGUAGAUACCGAAGGAGGUGAUGGAGCCGCGAACUUCACCGAGCUAGGCUCCGACUACUCUGAACCAGGCAAGCAUGUUUGAACUUUUGAUAUGAUGAGUGUCUUGGCAUGUUUUGCAUUUAGUUAGUUUCACGGCAUGUUGGUGAGCAUACCGAUGAACGUUAUUUUAUGUGAUGAUGAGGUAAGUGAGUUCGAUGAUCCAUACAUGGAUGAAUGUGAAUAUGAAUGGCCAUGUGUUGGCAUGAGGAUGGGUACGAUGGCAGUGUUGUAGCAUGCCAGUCUUACGCCAGACUAUGUGACUUCAGUGUCAAACCAUAUCGGUCCAGUACCUAUCAUUUCCUUCCUUGUACUACCACAUGUUUUCCGCAAGGAAUAUGGUUUAGUAAGUUGCAAACCGCUUCCAUGGUACACAUCAAAAAGGAGCGGCCGUGAUGAUGGUUCCAUGGCCCUGGAUUAAAGCCAGUCAUCCGGUCAGGGGCAUGGGUGUUUCCGGUUGGGACCGAGAGGGGGGCACCCCUUAGAGCGCGCGUAUAUAAAUUUGAUCCCAUGCUAUUCGAGAUUGUGAUCUCCCCGUCUCAAAAGUUUUUCUUGGACGAUGUCUAGGGUGAUUCCUAGCAUCGAGAGGUAGGAUGGGUGUGUACCGGUUAGCUGUGUUUUCUUCCGAAAUACCGUAAACGGAACUAGUCCUUCGUGACUACGGAAAUCCGUUGGCUGUGGGAAAAUUUUUGUACAAACUCUGCAGAGUCAUAUAUUCCUCCAAAUCAUCUAUUCCAUGUCCAAAUUCGUUCCAUCUUAUCCUAAUCAAUUGUCAGUUUUGAUGACAGAGACUCCGGUGAAUCGCAUGAAUGCUAAGUCCGGUUAAAUGAUUAUUCCUGUGGAUGGACUAACCCGUUUAUUAUCAUGGAUCAAAUGUUUAUUAUGAGUAUUAUUUACUUGUGAAUAAAGCCCUUUCUGUGAUGUCGCUCAGACAUCCGGCUGUGGCAUUUCUUUUAAAGCCCUUUCUGUGAUGUUGCUUAGACGUCCGGCUGUGGCAUUUCUUUUAAAGCCCUUUCUGUGAUGUCGCUUAGACGUCCNNNNNNNNNNNNNNNNNNNNNNNNNNNNNNNNNNNNNNNNNNNNNNNNNNNNNNNNNNNNNNNNNNNNNNNNNNNNNNNNNNNNNNNNNNNNNNNNNNNNNNNNNNNNNNNNNNNNNNNNNNNNNNNNNNNNNNNNNNNNNNNNNNNNNNNNNNNNNNNNNNNNNNNNNNNNNNNNNNNNNNNNNNNNNNNNNNNNNNNNNNNNNNNNNNNNNNNNNNNNNNNNNNNNNNNNNNNNNNNNNNNNNNNNNNNNNNNNNNNNNNNNNNNNNNNNNNNNNNNNNNNNNNNNNNNNNNNNNNNNNNNNNNNNNNNNNNNNNNNNNNNNNNNNNNNNNNNNNNNCGUCCGGCUGUGGCAUUUCUUUUAAAGCCCGUUCUGUGAUGUCGCUCAGACGUCCGGCUGUGGCAUUUCUUUUAAAGCCCUUUCUGUGAUGUCGCUUAGACGUCCGACUGUGGUAUUUCUUCUUAAAGCCCUUUCUGCGAUGUCGCUCAGACAUCCGGCUGUGGCAUUUCUUUUAAAGCCCUUUCUGCGAUGUCGCUCAGACGUCCGACUGUGGCAUUCUUUUUUAAGCCCUUUAUGUGGUGUCGCUAAGAUGCCCAACUGUGGCAUCUUUUCCUUAUUUUUUUAUUUGCUCACCUUUCGAGGCGUCGCUUCAGACACCCGAUCGGUCUUUAUUUAUGUUCUGUGGGAUUCCAGGCGGACUACCGCCGUUUCCCUUUUUACUUACCCCGUUAUGCCAAUUUUAUUUAUUGUGCAUUGAGAAAUUAAUCAUGUUGCAUCCAUGCACGCAUUUAUUUUAUCUUACGUCCGAACUGUCUUGCGAGUACUUUCAAAGUACUCACUGGCUUGUUGAUUUGGCCAGAUGCUGACGAAGGCGAUCUCAUGGAUGAAGAGUUCGAUAGCGAGUCCGACACUUAGAGGAGUCCCAGUCAGUCUCGUGCGACCCUGGAUUUGGUCAUUGUUUUAUAUCCGCUUCCGCUACCAAAUAAAUUCAUCGAGCCUCACCUCGAUGCUCGAUGAAAUGAUAGACUUAGAUUCUUGUAUUUCCCUUCCCGCUGUGUUUUUCCACCACCACCCUAUCCUUGAGUCGGUAGUAUGUCUCCACACCGCUGUGUCCUGUCCGCCAUUAUGUAUAAUUAUUGGCGUGCUUGUAAUAAUUUGGUUGAGCAACCGCAGUUCGACCCUGUAAUGGAAUUUUAUGCUACUGGCUUAUUGUAUCAAGAAAUUGUCUACCAGUGAAGAGGAUUUCUCUCAUACUGGACUUAAAAGACUGGUUUAUCAAUAAAUAUUUUUAUUGGAAAACCGGUCGUGACAGAAGCCGGCCUCCCAGCCGGCGGGCCUUCUACGUAAGCUAGCAAGUUGACGUAGUCGCCGUUCGGGGCAACGUUCUUUACAUAGAAGUAAGACCGUUGCCAGAGCUUCACCGACUGGAUCAGCGCGAUUGAAGGAAAGGGGUUGUCGGCGGUGGACCUCCUCAUGGCGAUGAAGGCGCCGCACGGAGCCGGCACGCCGGCCGUGACCGUGCUGAGCUUGGAUUGAAAGAACUCCCCCCAUAGCUCGAUGGUGGGGAGGACGCCAAGGAAUCCUUCGCACAAAGAGACGAAGGUCGACAGCAACACCACCGUGUUGGGGGUGAGGUGGUGCGGCUGGAGCUGGUAGAAGUCCAGGAACGCGCGAAAGAAGCCACUGGCGGAAAGGCCGGCGCCGCGCAUGCAGUGCGAGUAGAAGAUCACUCGCUCGCCUUCCUCCGGCGCCGGCGAGAUCUCCCUCGCUAGCGCGAGGCGGACGUGCACAAGAUCCUCACUCGGCAGCCGCCGCGUCUUGCGGAGAAACUCGAUGUGGUCGUCACGGAUGGUGGAGCCGUCCCAAGACCUCUAUGUCGGAGCCAUGGCGGCGAGCACAAUGACGGGGAGCGCCCGACACGGAGGCAGCAAGCCUGCGACAUGCUAGGAAGAAGAAUGGAUGGUGAUCCAGGAGCACGGCGAGGAGCUACCGCAGCGAGGCAGAAGAAGAAGGAGGCAGGGCGAGGGCGACCGUGCGAACUACUGCCGCUCCCCCUCCCCGCCCCUACUUAUAGCCUCGCGUGGCGAAGCCGAGGAGGCGAGGCACGGGGGGCGUGGGAUUAACUGCGCCCACUCCCCCACGCCCCGCAAUUAUCGCGCCUUGAUGGCGAGUGGGAACCGCCGCCAGAAGACGUGUGGUCGGUUUGGGCCACAAAAGAUCCGCGCACGGGCCGAGGCGCGGGAGUGGCGGGCCCCGACCUAUGACAGCGUCCCAUCACGCGCAUGGGCUGGCAGGCCUUGCCGGCCGAAGGGUGCCACGCAGCGCGCGGAAAGCAAGAGGCCGGCCCGCCACUCGGCUGGCGCGCCAACUGGUUCCCGCCUUCGAAUUUCGAAGAGGCGUCACCGAGAAGGCCCGCGCAAGAAAGGCCGGCUCCUAGAUGUCGGCUCCUCGGGAUAGGAAGUUGGCCGAGCUUCUCGAUUUCCCUUCAGCCGUGAAGCCCAACCAGCUUCGGGGACUACCGUCGGAGUAAAUGACCACGGGUAGCCUAACUAGCUCCCUUUGGCCCUUAGAAAAAACAACGAGCCGAUCGGACCAUGAAGCGCCUAAGACACGGGGCCGCCUUCCUCCGGCCGGCUAUCACCUAGGCCGGCUGGCGGAAGGCGGCCCAGCCAUAGAAACAACCCUUGGAGGACGUCGCGAUCGGGCCGACUCCAAGAAGGCGGCCCAAGAAGGACCGCCUCCCAGAAGGUGGCCCAAGAAGGACCGACUCCCAGAAGACGACCCAAGAAGGACCGACUCCAAGAGCAAGCGGCCGAACGCCGCAUCCUGAAAACCAUCACCCAUAACGGUGACGGGACAGGGCGUGGCUACAGCAAACCCUGCCACCCCCGAAUCCAAGAGUAUGAGUGGCUACAACACGCCGUAUGGGGCAGCCAUCCCCCGUCCGGCGCGACACUGUAGCCAUGCGAAUCAUGACGCCAUCCACGACGGGUUGCCAGUACGGCCCGCAGGCGGCGGGCCCCUUCGGUCAGAGAGACAUCCGGAGGCGGCCCGGCCUCCCCCAGCCGGCCCAAGGCCGGGCCGGCUUCCAGUAUCCGGCUUGCUCCCCCCCUCGGGGCGCGCGCACCAUUAAGUAGAUGUGACACGGUAAGGCUACAAUGGGAGCCCGCAAGGCGGCGGCACUAUAGCCAUGCUUACUGCGACAAAGCCCUCGUCAUCAGAGGCGAGGCAACAGUAACCAGCCCCCGACAGGACCCCCUGGCGGUGGGGCCGGCCUGUCGACCAGCGAGCCGACAGCCGGCGGGACCCACCAGUUGGCGGGCCCCAGAAGCCGGUGGAGAAGGCGGCGGUCGUAGACACUGACGGCUUGGGCCCGCACCCAACCGGAUCACCAUUGUACCCCCCGGGACACCCAUGCAAAGGGUUGAUCUCAUAGAAUCUUAGACACUGCCAUAGGGAGAGAAGAGAGCUAGCCUUGCCCUUCUUCCUCCUCCCACCGAACAGCUCAAGGAGCAUCUUGUAGCCACUCGUUGAUCUAGUGACCAUGUGGAGACCCUACAGAGCAGCAGUAGGGGUGUUAUCUCCAUGGAGAGCCCCGAAGCUGGGUAAGAUUCGCCGCGUGCUACUCGCAUACCCGCUCUCGGGCCUAUCAGCAGCAGUCUUACCCACACACUAAGCCCUUGUGGCAUCUGUGGACUCGCAAGCCCCCCAUGAGAAUACCACGACAAUCACCCUUUAAUGAGAAUGGAAAUAUCUUAAGAAUAUAAUAAUAGUGAGACUUCUCAUCAUUAGUAAACAAGGUAGCAAUAUCAUUUAACUUGGUAAGAUGUGCCACAAUAGUUUCAGAUUCAUUGCCAUAAAAGGGAUCAGCUUCAACUAAAGUAAUUAUCUCAGGAGCAACAGAGAAUUCAUAAUCCUUAUCAGUAACACAGAUAGGUGAAGUAGCAAAAGCAGGGUCAGGUUUCAUUCUAGCAUUAAGGAAUUGUUGCUUCCAUUUAGCUAGUAACUUCUUAAGAUCAUAUCUAUCUUUGCAAGCAAAAAUAGCUCUAGCAGCUUCUUCAUCCAUAACAUAAGCCUCAGGAACAACACGCAAUUCAUAGUUAGGGGGAGAACCUUCAUCAUCACUUUCAUCAAUAAUUUCAUUUUCAAUAAUUUGAUUCUCCCUAGCCCUAGUAAGUUGUUCAUCAAGAAAUUCACCUAAUGGCACAGUAGUAUCAAGCAUAGAAGUAGUUUCAUCAUAAGUAUCAUGCAUAGCAGAAGUGGCAUCAUCAAUAACAUGCGACAUAUCAGAAUUCUUAGCAGUAGCAGGUUUAGGUGUUGCAAGCUUACUCCUAAUAGAAGGAGAAUCUAGUGGAGUGCUAGAUGGCAGUUCCUUACCUCCCCUCGUAGUUGAGGGAUAAAUUUUAGUUCUUUGAUCUUUCAAGUUCUUCAUAGUGAUCAGCAGAAAUAAAUCCCAAGUGACUCAGAGAAUAGAGCUAUGCUCCCCGGCAACGGCAGCAGAAAUUAGUCUUGAUAACCCACAAGUGUAGGGGAUCGUAAUAGAUUUCAAGGUAGAGUAUUCAACCCAAAUUUAUUGAUUUGACACAAGGGGAGCCAAAGAAUAUUCUUAAGUAUUAGCAGUUGAGUUGUCAAUUCAACCACACCUGGAUAACUUAGUAUCUACAGCAAGGUAUUUAGUAGCAAAGUAAUAUGAUAGUAAUGGUAACAGUAGCAAAAGUAAAGAUAACGGUAUUGUAGUGAUUGUAACAGUAGCAACAGUAAAGUAAAUAAGCGAAGCACAAUAUGUGAAAAGCUCGUAGGCAUUGGAUCGGUGAUGGAUAAUUAUGUCGGAUGUGAUUCCUCAUGUAAUAGUUAUAACAUAGGGUGACACAGAACUAGCUCCAAUUCAUCAAUGUAAUGUAGGCAUGUAUUCCGAAUAUAGUCAUACGUGCUUAUGGAAAAGAACUUGCAUGACAUCUUUUGUCCUACCCUCCCAUGGCAGCGGGGUCCUAGUGGAAACUAAGGGAUAUUAAGGCCUCCUUUUAAUAGAGUACCGGACCGAAGCAUUAACACAUAGUGAAUACAUGAACUCCUCAAACUAUGGUCAUCACCGAGAAGUAUCCCGAUUAUUGUCACAUCGGGGUUGUCGGAUCAUAACACAUAAUAGGUGACUAUAGACUUGCAAGAUAGGAUCAAGAACUCACAUAUAGUCAUGAAAACAUAAUAGGUUCAGAUCUGAAAUCAUGGCACUCGGGCCCUAGUGAGAAGCAUUAAGCAUAGCAAAGUCAUAACAACAUCAAUCUCAGAACAUAGUGGAUACUAGGGAUCAAACUCUAACAAAACUAACUUGAUUACAUGGUAAAUGUCAUCCAACCCAUCACCGUCCAGCAAGCCUACGAUGGAAUUACUCAUGUACGGCGGUGAGCAUCAUCAAAUUGGUGAUGGAGGAUGGUUGAUCAUGACGACGGCGCCGAAUCCCCUUCUCCGGAGCACUGAAUGGACUCUAGAUCAGCCCUCCCGAGAGGUUUUAGGGCUUGGCGGCGGCUUCGUAUCGUAAAACGCGAUGAAACUUCCUCUCUGAUUUUUUUCUCCGCGAAACAGAAUAUAUGGAGUUGGAGUUGAGGUUGGUGGAGCAUCAGGGAGCCCACGAGAUAGGGGGGCGCGCCCUAUAGGGGGGCGCGCCCCCACCCUCGUGGACAGGGUGUGGGCCCCCUGGCCUUCAUCUUUUGCCAGUAUUUUUUAUAUAUUCUAAAACUUAUCUCCGAGGAUUUUCAGGUCAUUCCGAGAACUUUUGUUUCUGCUCAAAAAUAACACCAUGGAAGUUCUGCUGAAAACAGCGUCAGUCUGGGUUAGUUUCAUUCAAAUCAUGCAAGUUAGAGUCCAAAACAAGGGCAAAAGUGUUUGGAAAAGUAGAUACGUUGGAGACGUAUUAGUAUGUUACUUGCCGAGAUUCGAUCGUCGGUAUCUCAAUACCUAGUUCAAUCUCGUUACCGGCAAGUCUCUUUAUUCGUUACAUAAUGCAUCAUUCCGUAACUAACUCAUUAGCUACAUUGCUUGCAAGGCUUAUAGUGAUGUGCAUUACUGAGAGGGCCCAAAGAUACCUCUCCGACAAUCGGAGUGACAAAUCCUAAUCUCGAAAUAUGCCAACUCAACAUGUACCUUCGGAGACACCUGUAGAGCUCCUUUAUAAUCACCCAGUUACGUUGUGACGUUUGGUAGCACACAAAGUGUUCCUCUAGUAAACGGGAGUUACAUAAUCUCAUAGUUGUAGGAACAUGUAUAAGUCAUGAAGAAAGUAAUAGCAACAUACUAAACGAUCAAGUGCUAAGCUAAUGAAAUGGGUCAAGUCAAUCACAUCAUUCUUCUAAUGAUGUGAUCUUGUUAAUCAAAUGAAAACUCAUGUCCAUGGUUAGGAAACACAACCAUCUUUGAUCAACGAGCUAGUCAAGUAGAGGCAUACUAGUGACACUAUGUUUGUCUAUGUAUUCACACAUGUAUUAUGUUUCCGGUUAAUACAAUUCUAGCAUGAAUAAUAAACAUUUAUCAUGAUAUAAGGAAAUAAAUAAUAACUUUAUUAUUGCCUCUAUGGCAUAUUUCCUUCAGUCUCCCACUUGCACUAGAGUCGAAAAUCUAGAUUACACAGUAAUGAUUAUAACACCCAUGGAGCCUUGGUGCUGAUCAUGUUUUGCUCGUGGAAGAGGCUUAGUCAACAGGUCUGCAACAUUCAGAUCUGUAUGUAUCUUGCAAAUCUCUAUGUCUCCCACCUGGACUUGGUACCGGAUGGAAUUGAAGCGUCUCUUGAUGUGCUUGGUUCUCUUGUGAAAUCUAGAUUCCUUUGCCAAGGCAAUUGCACCAGUAUUGUCAUAAAAGAAUUUCAUUGGUCCCGGUGCACUAGGUAUGACACCUAGAUCGGAUAUGAACUCCUUCAUCCAGACUCCUUCAUUUGCUGCUUCUGAAGCAUCUAUCACUACAUAAAAAAUACACUUCCGUGAUGAUACGUGUUUGUCACAGUAGGUCGCGUUUUUUGUCAUGCAUGUACAUCCAUGAAAAAUUUAUGACAAAAUCAAGAUAGUCAUACCUGUGCUGUCGUAGAAGUGUUCCAUGACAUUACCAAAAUUAUCAUCACAGAAGUUUCCACUUCCAUGAUGAUAAAUCGCGCGUCACAGAAGUUCUUUCGUCAAGGGUGACUGACACGUGGCAUCCACCAUAACGGAACGCCGUUAAGCUAUCGGGUCGGGUUUUGGAUCCGAUAACCCGUUAACAGCCCCAACCAUUGGGGAUUUUCCAUGUGUAAAAUCAUCAUUGGCUAGAGGAAACACGUGUCGGCUCACCGUUGGGACAGAUGUCAUCUUCUCAUUGGACCAAAGGCGCCUAUGAUACGGCGACAUGUGGUACGGCCCAACAGAGGCCCAUUCCUGUGAAAAGGCCGGCCCGUUUAACUUGGUCAAAAGGUGGCGGGAUGGCCCAUGGAAAGCCUGUUAAUGGCAUGUUCGCAUAUAGCCCAUUUACAACCAGCUAACCCAGGGCCCGUUACGCCCUAUCCGAAUUAGGCCCAGUAGCGUCAUCUGGGCCGUCCAAUAUGAUUCAGCCCGUUUUAACUUCCGGCCCAUGUGUGUCCCAUGACUUCUUUCGGCCCAUAUGAGGACGUUUGUAACUCUUGGCCCAUUAACGGCCCGUGGUGAAACUGGCCCUUAAUGAAUAGUGUAUCACUUUAUAGCCAUUAACAGCCCGUUAUUGCAUUGGGCCAUUUCCAGCCCAAGUUAUCUUUCGGCCUUCUAAGGACCCAUUGAUUCUUGUGCUCACUUGCAGCAUUCGGUUACAUACGGCCCGUUACUGUCAUUUUCUGCUUGUGGGCCAAAUUCAGCCCGUCGUUACAGUCGGCCCGUUUGCGGACCGUUAAUACGUUGGGCCGAUUUCAUGUAAAAAAAACUGUUGGGAUGUUUUCAUAGAGUUAUCAAAUACGGCCUAUUAACGGCCCGUUAUGGUCCACGAAUAGUACGGCCCAUGAUUGGUGAAAUGAUGAUACGCCCCAUAGAAGGCCCAUGGAUCCUACGGCCCGUAUGAGGCCCAUGGAUAGUAUGGCCCGUAGAAGGCCCAUGGAUCGUACGGCCCAUAAAAGGCCCAUGGACCCUACGGCCCGUAGAAGGCCCAUUGAUCCCUAAGGCCCAUAUAGAAGAAGGCCGAUGGAUCCUACGGCCCGUAUAGAAGGCCAAUGGUCCUACGGCCGAACGAAGGCCCAUGGGUAAUACGGCCUGUAGGAGGCCCAUCAGUCCAUGUGUUGCCAUGAUUAUUUUGGCCUAGUUACCAAAAACAAGCUAUUGUGGCCACUAUAAAAACACAGAAAAAGAACUGCAGUGACUAGAAGCAAACAACUAAACAAGACAAUAAGGGAAUAAAUAAGCAAGCAAUUAAGGCUAGCCUAUUACCGCUAUUACACAUAAUACAUCCACUGGGCAUCAAAGUUCGCCACUAGUGCAAAUAUAGGGAACAAAGCAGCAUAUUACAUACACUGGCCGUCAAAAUUGGCCACCAGUGCAAAUAAACGCAGCAACAAAACAAGAGCAUAACUGAAACAACUUCAGAAGAGCUCAAGAAACGUUAUCCUGGGUAUCCACCAUGCUGGCAAUAAGCUUAGCAAGCUGAUUAGCUUUGUCAUGUUUGGCGCUAAAAUCCUCCAACACUUGCUGUUGCACCAGAAAGUAUGCAUCUGAAUGCUCCAGGGACUUCCGCAGUCCUUCCGCUUCUUGUCGCAGCACAGCUAAUCAAUGUCUUUCAGCUUGUAGUUGAGACUCAAGAAACCGAACUAAUUCAGACAGUGAGUUUAAAUAGCUUGUGCAAGCGGUAGUGGCCAGUAUCUCGAACACUAAACCAAGACAGGACUUUGGGGUUGUCUCGCUGUCUUCAAGAUAGUCUUCCUUAGCUGUUUUAUCUGCUUUGUUGGAGACCAACAAGGAUGUGUCACUAUCCUGAACCUUAUCUGCAUUACUUCCUUUAUCAUUGCUUAAUAAGGCACUCUUCCCCAAUAUUCUUUCAGCAUUCUAAAAGAAGAAACAAGCAGACACAUAACAAGUUUAGCAUGUACUAGUAUAUGAAACUCAUUUCGGUGAACCAGUUCAUUAGUAAGGUGGACAGGAUUAAACUACAAAGUCUUCUAUUGCCAAGUACUAGUACAUAAUAAAAGCAUCAAACAAACAUAUAUCUAUGUCCUAUGGUCACUUCAUUGUCUUGCCAAAUCAAAAUAGAGACAUGGUUCAAAUCAUAUCAGUUCAAGACAAAGCAGCAGUGAAAGAAUACAAAGCGUGGGAAACUACACGGCACAACAAGAUUUCAGAUGGGUACCACGGGUCUACAUGUACAACAACACUAUUGACUCUGUUGUGAUGCUAGUAAUGUGCAUGAUAUGAAAGUCAACUGUAUACACAAUUGAAAUUGAAAUCAAAAUAGCUAUUGAUAAGAGCAAACAUGUUAAAGAAACAUGCGUGAACAUACCUGUUGUGCCAUUGGAGUUUUGAUUGGAUCCUUCAAUUUAAAAAUAAGUUUGUAUCAGUAAAUACAGUGAUACAAGAGCAAAGCAAUCAUAGUUAAAAAAGGCGCUCCUAAGCGAGCGCUUAAGCGCGCCUAGGCUCUAGGCGUUGGCAAAACGCAUUGCGCAUAACUACGCUUAAUCUGUGCAUAACUGCGCAUAAGCAUGCGCUUUGGUCAGUAAAGUGCAAGGCGGUGGCAAAACGCACAAUUAACGCCUAGCGCUUUUUUGAACUAUGAUAGCAAUGGAAUCUCAAAUUAGAAUAGUUGUUGCACAGGUUUAGGCACUUGUUCUACAUGAACAGAGUACAGUAAGAUGCAAGAAUAUAAUACUUAAAAAUAGAAAAUGAGCUCAUAGACCUUACUACAUUCUUGGUUCGGGACCAGUACAGAACAAGGCGUUCCCAGUCAUCGUCCAGUAAAUGUGUCUCAGGAGAACGUAAGGGAAUUUGAUGAGUUUCUUUGCCGGUGAAGUACGUUUUCUUCAGGUAAUUCCGAUACUGCCACCAAGCAUUCUUGAAGAUAGCAGAGGUAUUAGCACAUGUUACCUCAUCCUGAGUUUCCAAAUCGGUCCUUCUCUAUAGAGAAAAAUGGGAAAAUUUGUUGUAUUAUAACCAUCAUGGAGGUAGGAUGUAUGGGAUGAAGCAAAGUAAUUGCCAUGAAUAACAUUACUUACACAUAACUCCUCGACAAACACCUGCAACUGGCAUUUUCCUUCAUCUUCAGUAUAAUAUUUCCAACAUGGGAAGAUACGCACAUACGAUUUAACAACAUCAAAUGCGAUAGAUGCUAAACUAUGACUGGCUGGUUGUGCUUCCUCCACAGGAAUAGACGUACUAACUAGUGGAGUUCGGGUUCGCCGUGAUAGUACUGGCCCUUUGGGCACUGGAGCUGCCUUACUAACUGCUCUUGUUCGGGAGCUCUGUGGUGGAGAUGGUGUUGUGUCAACAGGAACUGGGUUACUAUCGGCUGGGGUUGGGGUUAGAUAGGGUGAAGCUGGUUCUCUGUCCAUCGCAGUAGGGGUACAAUCUGCGAGAGUUCGGGUUAUCUGUGGUAGGGUUGGUUCUUGUGCAUGUACAACCGGGGUGCUAUCUCCACCAAGAGGUAGCACUGUUUUAUUUGAAGACCGUGUUUUUAUUCCGCUAGAUACUGGCAUCACCCGCUCCAAUUCAAAUGGCUGAUAAAUAGGAAACAUAAUUGAAUGUACAGACAUUGUAUGAGAGACAGAUGCAAUAAAUAGUGUGGAAAAAAGAGGGCAUGAAAUAAUUGACAUGUAUAUUGUUUAACUAAAACGGAUAGCAUGACAUAAUUUCACAUAUAUGAUGUCUAUCUAAACUGGAUAGCAUAGCAUAACAUAAUUCAAAGAUAUGAUGAAUAACUAAACAGGAUCGCAUGACAUAAUUCACCUACAUGUUAUCUAAGUAAUCAGGAUCGCAUCAUUUAAUUCACAUAUGUGAUUUAUAUGCUAAAUAGAGGGUAUUCGAUAUGAUGUCUGAACUAAGAACAUGGUGUUGAAUAUUGUGUAUAUGAUGUCUAAACUAUGCAAUGCAAGACACCAUAUGCAUGAUAUGAGCAGUAUAACCGUGCCAAGUUAGAGCAUACACCUCAGUAGGGGAAUAGGACUUGUCAUCUGUCUCUGAAUCCAUCUCUGAGGAGCUAUCGGGACCCAACAAGAGAUCUGCUUCGACAGGUAGCACUGUCUGCUCUGGAGGCCUUGUUUUCACUCCAGAUUUUUCCAUCUCCCACCCAAAUGGCUGAUUCACAGGAAGAGUAGUUUAAUGUACAAACAUUGUCGACAAAUGGAAAUGUAAUGAAGAAAAGGAUGGGCAAGAUAUCAUUCAAAUAUAUGAUGUCUGGUUAAACAGGAUGGCAUUGCACAUUUCACAUAUAUUAUGGCUGGCUAAAAGACAUGAGACUGCAUAAUUCCCAUAUAUGAUAUAGAAACUAAACAGGUGGCAUUACAGAACAUGUCUAAACUAAGAAGAUGACAUAUAUGAUGUCAAAAGUAGGCACUGCAAGGAAACAUAUGCAUGAUAUGACUAACAUCAUCAUGUCAAGGUAGAGCAAACACCUUGGUGGGUAAAUAGGAGUGGUCAGCAGCGUCUGAAUCCGCCUCAGAACAGAUAUCUUCCUCUGGAUUACAAUCUGGAGAGGGGUGGGGAGGCUUUGCCAUUGAACCCACCAUGGAGCGAUGUUAGCAUAUCCUGAUCUGCUUGUAGCUGCUGUUGCUUCUUCUUCAGGCUUCUUGCGGUGGCUAUAAGCCGGCGCUCGAAGCGCUCCCACUUUGCGGGAUCCUUAGGCACGCUGAACUCGUCGUCUCCUAGGCUCACCUCAUCUUCGGAAAGAGACAUAUAAUUGUCAUCCUCCAAGUAUCCGUCUGUCGCCUGUUCCUCUGGGCUGACUUGCCCAUGCUCCUGUUCGGCUUGUUCAAAGGUAGGCUGAUCAGGAUUGUAUUCCUCUUUGGCACCAUCUGGAUUGUUUUCUUCUCCUGUGCCGGAACUGCUGUGGCGGGGCUUGGAGCUGCACCGAUGACGCCCAUGCUUUGAUUUCCUCCCUGAGGGGUUGUCUUUUGUUGCAUCAUCGCCAUUGUGUUCUUUGGGGGUGUCCACCAUAUAUAUAUAUCAUAUGAAGAGGUGGUUGUCUAGCGCCCUGUGGGCGGUGGUUCUUGUUCUUCUCCAGCAUCGUCGUCUAUAACGUUGAUGUCUUCAGAGUCGAAGUUAAGCACGUCGGUCAAAUCAUCGACCGUGGCUAUUAAGUGGGUGGUGGGUGGGUAACGAAUUUCUUCGUCUCCAGCUUCCCACUCGAGCCGGACAUAGUUCGGCCAGGAAUCUCCUGACAGAGAUAGAGACCUUAAUGAAUUCAGCACGUCUCCAAAGGGCGAGUGCUGAAAGAUAUCUGCAUCGGUGAACUCCAUGACCAGAGCCCAAUUAGAUUCGGUGGGCACGGAUGGACGCGGUCCGGAACCUACGGCCAGAGACAAGUCCGGGGGGUCCGGAGAUACAUAUUUCCUUAGGAGCGAAGUCUGUGUUCAGCUCCAACGCCAAUGAAUGUGCGGCCUCUGGGGCGGGGUCCAUCCACCCGUCCUCGGAAGGCACGAUCUACUCUGGAUCGAAGUCUGGAGCCGUAGCAGGCGCGCUAUUCCGAAUACUGUCCGACGGCAGAUCUAAGUCAUGCAUGUCGCAAUCAUUCAGUGCUUCUGAUGUGGGUCCGAAUAUGUCGAAGAUUAAGUCUCCACGGGCAUCGCCGGUGUAGUUUAGGUUUCCAAACCUGACCUGAUGGCCAGGGGUGUAGUUGUCGAUCUGCUCCAGAUGACCAAGCGAGUUGGCCCGUAGUGCGAAGCCGCCAAACACGAAGAUCUGUCUGGGGAGAAAAAUCUCACCCAGGACAGCGUCCUUGAAGGUUGGGGGAGCCAUUGAGCCUUACAGCGACGACAUAGAGGAACUCUCAAUGAAAGCACCAAUGUUGGUGUCAAAACCGGCGGAUCUCAGGUAGGGGGUCCCGAAUUGUGCGUCUAAGGCUAAUGGUAACAGGAGACUGGGGACACGAUGUUUACCCAGGUUCGGGCUCUCGAUGGAGGUAAUACCCUACUUCCUGCUUGAUUGAUCUUGAUGAUAUGAGUAUUACAAGAGUUGAUCUACCACGAGAUCGUAUAGGCUAAACCCUAGAAGCUAGCCUAUGAUUAUGAUUAUGAUUGUGCUACGGACUAAACCCUCUGGUUUAUAUAGACACCGGAGGAGGCUAGGGUUACACAGAGUCGGUUACAGAGAAGGAGAUCUAUCAUCCGGAUUGCCAAGCUUGCCUUCCACGCAAAGGAGAGUCUCAUCCGGACACGGGACGAAGUCUUCAAUCUUGUAUCUUCAUAGUCCAACAGUCUUGCCAAAGUAUAUAGUCCGGCUGUCUGGAUACCCCCUUAUCCAGGACUCCCUCACCCCCCCUCCAUGUCCUAUUCCGACUAGAGGGGGAGGGGGCGCGCGGCUAGCCCUGGUUGCCCCUUCUCUUCUCCACUUAGGGCCCAUGAGGCCCAUUAACCCCCCGGGGGUUUCCGGUAACCCCCCGGUACUCCGGUGUACAUCCGAUAACCCGAGGAACCAUUCCGGUGUCUGAAUAUAGUCGUCCAAUAUAUCAAUCUUCAUGUCUCGAUCAUUUGAGACUCCUCGUCAUGUCCGUGAUCACAUCCGAGACUCCGAACUAUCUUCGGUACAUCAAAACACAUAAACUCAUAAUAUAACCGUCAUCUAACUUUAAGCGUGCGGACCCUACGGGUUCGAGAACUAUGUAGACAUGACCGAGACACGUUUCCGGUCAAUAACCAAUAGCGGAACCUCGAUGCUCAUAUUGGCUCCUACAUAUUCUACGAAGAUCUUUAUCGGUCAAACCGCAUAACAACAUACAUUGUUCCCUUUGUCAUCGGUAUGUGAUAACCCACAAGUGUAGGGGAUCGCAACAGCUUUUGAGGGUAGAGUAUUCAACCCAAAUUUAUUGAUUCGAUACAAGGGGAGCCAAAGAAUAUUCUUAAGUAUUAGCAGUUGAGUUGUCAAUUCAACCACACCUUGAUAACUAAUUAUUUGUAGCAAGGUAUUUAGUAGCAAAGUAGUAUGAUAGUAAUGGUAACAAUAGCAAAAGUAAAGAUAACGGUAUCUAUCUAUUAUAUUAUUAAGACAAGAGACAAAUAAGACACCACGUUCUUCCACAUAAGCUAAAAUAAUGUACAUCGUUAAUCAAUAAUAUUUACGGUCGAGAUUUAACGAUAUUACGUUACACACAAAAGUUAUGUAUGUUAAGCCAACACGUACAAGNNNNNNNNNNNNNNNNNNNNNNNNNNNNNNNNNNNNNNNNNNNNNNNNNNNNNNNNNNNNNNNNNNNNNNNNNNNNNNNNNNNNNNNNNNNNNNNNNNNNNNNNNNNNNNNNNNNNNNNNNNNNNNNNNNNNNNNNNNNNNNNNNNNNNNNNNNNNNNNNNNNNNNNNNNNNNNNNNNNNNNNNNNNNNNNNNNNNNNNNNNNNNNNNNNNNNNNNNNNNNNNNNNNNNNNNNNNNNNNNNNNNNNNNNNNNNNNNNNNNNNNNNNNNNNNNNNNNNNNNNNNNNNNNNNNNNNNNNNAUAUCACGUACGGUUGAUGGGCAGCAUACAAGGUAGAAAAGGAUGACAUGCCGGAUUACAUUGCACGUGCUGAGGUCAUGAUGACAAUAUACAAGAUCUGAAAAAGAUCCUUCACGUUUUUCUCUUUCAUCUGGGGAAAAAUAAUAGAGAAGCAGUGUACAUAGAGGUUCCAACUGGAAUCCAUCAAAAACAGAAACGGGCACGAGGUGGAGUAGCUAUCUUUUCAUCAAUCGGCCAGGGACAACCACAUAUACGAGCCCAACAUGCUACGAUUAAACUUACAGUAUCCAUCCCCUAAAAGAACUGGGCUGACAAUUCCAAACAAGGACGGGAUACGUGCAAAAUAAGAGAAGCAUAUGAUCAGACUUCCACAUGGUUUCGGCCACGUCCAAACAGCCAGCGCAACCUAUAUAAAGAGGUCCAACCUGCCGCAUAAGCACACAGAAAAGAAAUAGAAGUCAGCCAAACCAUGACUUGAAGACUCCACAAGAAAAUCGAAGUCCCAUGACCUAAUGCAUGACUCAGGACGUGCCAUGGAGAUUAAAGUUGAUUGCUUCACUCAACGUAUGGCGAAGUCAUGCCCAAGCACGCUCGACGCUUCACGAAUCAUGAAGCGAUGCCCAAUUGCUUCGUUCGACAUCCGAUGAAAUCACGCGUAAGCACUUCUGACCUGAAUCAUCAAGUUUGGUAAUUGUUAUUUACAAAUCUUCAUAGGUACUCUAUCAAUUGAUACUACGACGUACAAUAAGUUCAACACCAUAAUGAUAAGAUACGAAACUGGAACAUUCUACUAAAAGUAAUGAGAUGUGGGAUUUAGUCAAUCCUACAACAGAUGAGCUAAUUAGUCUAAGCUUAUUAGUCCUGAUAUUAUAUUGAUGGAUGAGCAUGUCUGUUCUUUAUAUUAUUAAUUUCAAAUUGGUCAAACAAUUUAAGCAAUGGUUACUAAGUAUAUCUGAAAAAAAAUUACAAUUUACGCAUUCGACAACUUUAAGGUCACGGAAUCCACAAAGUAUCGACCAGUGAGCGGUGAAAUUCAAAUAUUUUUUGAAUAUAUACAAAGGUAAAGGAGAAAAAAGAUCUCCAGAAGUUUUUUUCAGAUUAUUAUUUCGAGUUUGCUACCAAGGGCACACUACAAGAAUGGGAAGAAAAAAUAUACAAUGCUCAGGUAUGUUUAUAGUUGUAAUUACGACUUUGAAAUAAACAGUCGUUCUAAUUUAUAUAUUACUAAUCUACAAGUUUGCAUGUGUCAUUGUUUUACUAACACAAACGAAGACUGUGGAAACAAGAAUAACAAAAAAGACCCACAUCCUUCAUAUAUCCGCAAGAUUGAAAUUCUACUACCAGAGUAAGUGUAUAUGCAUAUGCAUGUCUCAAAUUGAACUAAACCUCCUUUGGCAACCAAACUGUCCUUAUUGUGACCUCAAGAAUGGCGCGUAAAUUCAAUGAUAAGUCAAUAAUCUUACAUAGAGGGAUACAUUCUUGAUUAAAUAGGUUUGCGGCUAAAGUCCAAUAAUGCCACAAGAAUAUAUGCAGAUCUGGAUAUACCUGAAACAGAUGAAGUAUGAAACACUACCAUCUAAUAUUUUUGACUCAUGAAUAGUGAUUCACGUUUAAUUCAGUAUUGCAUAACAAUUUUUCUCACCUUUGGCACGCAAAACUAUGCAAUAAAAAGAACAUUUGUGCCUAAUGUUGGGAUUGAGAUGCUCUACUUGAAUGACAAAGUAGAGGAGGUAAAGGCGCAUUUAAUUCUUUUCCUAAACUAAUACACCUUACAUAUAUUGCACAUGAAUUGAUGGAUGAUGAAGUAGACACCGUGUUAACGAAGAAGCAAAACAUGGCCAAUAAAAAGGUGAUUGAUUUUUUCCCCAUGCAUAUUUACAGAUUCUAGAAAUGUGUCAAAUUUUUUUUUAAAAAAUAUUUCUUUUGUGGUCACAAAAUAAUAGUCUCACCUUGCAAAUUGCCAUGCAAAUCAGUCCCUAUGAAAGAGGAACAACAUGACAGUAAUGGGACUACAAUAAACAAAGAUGAGCAUCAAGACAAAAUAUAAUCAUCAUCACGUGAGCUCCACAAUGACAAAAUGAGACUGGGAUCUGUUGUAAUAUCAGAUGACUCAUAGGAUGAAUGCACUUAGACGAGUUUGGCAGAGCGAAAAGAAAAGGGUGUCUGCUGAAACAAGAAUUUUUUUAAAAGUAAAAGCCAAAAAUACAAGUCUUGAAGAUGAAGCUGAAGUACAGGAAGUGCCUUUGGGGAACAAGGAAGGUUUCUUGAAAAUUUACCUUGCUGAAUAGCAGAACCAUAUAUAAGCAAAUCAACGGCCUCUCUGGUGUUCCACACAUACCACUAGCUUUGGUAGUGCCCCAUUCUGACCAAAAAUAGUGUUACCACUUUUAGACUUACGGAAAAAAUAAAUCCACUAAGUAAUCGCAUUAAGAUUAUUUCACGACUACUUGAUCAGGUGGCUAGAAGUUAUUUGAGAAAACUCAACAUGCAAAAUCCUGCUCAACAACCCUAUUUGCGAAUUGAUAAAAUACCAUCCAAGUUGACAUAUUAUCUGACAAGGUAAUCUGAUUACCAAACUAAUGCAGAAUAAUCCAUCAAAUUAAUUUUGCCAUAAGGUUACUUAAAAAAAUCGAGAAUGUUACAAGCCUAUCCAUAGCAGUCUGUAUUGUAUAAAUUAGAAAAAUAUAGUCAUACAUGCACUUCUGUCAGUUUAUUGUUCUUGGUAAUAAAAAACAUCAAUCUCAUAAGGCCUUUUCAUUAAAAAAAUCAUGAAGCCUUAUUUUUAAAGAAAAGGCAUCAUGAAUAAAAUAUUUCUUGCUAACAGCAAAUGCAAAAUACUACGGAGUGCAACACUGCUACGGAUAAACUAGAAGAGAUAUUUUUUGCUAGAAAGGAUGCAUAUCUUCAAUCGGCACUUACAUUUGGUAGAAAUCUGACAGCACCAACAAUAAGAGGCCACGAUCUCAUGGUCGUCCGCAGAAGCCGCUCACACCUUGCUGCUAUUUAUCAAUCCCACGAUCUACUUACACUCAUCUGCCUUCAGUGCCCCCAUACGAACAGCAACAAGCCCAAACUCUGUUCCGCACCUCACAUCCAACAGUCCACCAUCAGCCCGUGACUCCAUCAGUUCACUCACAGCCUCCUCCAUGGGGUGGUCGAGGAUUCACACCACAGAGGACGCGUCGAGCGUGUCUACGCACUCCAUGCGCACGGCCAACUGAGCCAAUAGAUCGACGAAGUGAAAUCAGAAGAAAUGAAUCUACGAGUACGACCGGGAUAGCUUGGGAAUUAGUCUGAUGAUGGCAAGCGGCGACAUCUUCAUCCGCUGGCCGCUAAUCGGAAGAUGUGGCGCAUGCGGAUGGAUAAGGAUCCUGGCAGUGGUGGGGAUCGACUGAGAUGAGAGGAGUGCUUUUUUUCUUAUACGUAGAUGUCUAGAUUUUUUUUGAGGGGAACGUAGAUUUUCUUUUGAGGGGAACGUAGAUGUCUAGAUGAAGGCCUGUACGGUUGUUC